Molecule: long non-coding RNA, 135144 nt
Filed under: Capsicum annuum
Lineage: Eukaryota; Viridiplantae; Streptophyta; Magnoliopsida; Solanales; Solanaceae
Description: long non-coding RNA (CANN_LNC010668)
Source: RNAcentral
UAUUGUUGAUAGUGAAUCGGAUGUCAGAGGAAAGUUCCACAAUACCAAUUCUUUCAAAUUGGAAGGAAAAUGAAAAUCCCACGACCAAUUUGUCGCUAAAGAGGGCCCACUGUCAUUUGUGUUUGAACUUUCAAAAUCUGCUCUAAGGUAAUCUAGUUCAGUUAAGUGAUCCAAUUUUGGGAACCAAUAUCGCUCUUUUGAGUAAUCCCAUGAUUCCUUGAGAUCAAAUACAAGACUUUGAAGAUUGGGGAACCUUAUGAAAAUAUCCUCUGUUUCUUUCGAAAAAGAAAGCACGAGUGUCCUUAAAUCUCUCAAGUUCUCUAACUUUGAGUGCUCUGCUAUCAGUAUUGGUUCAUCUGUAUCCAUAUCAAUAUCAAGGAAAGAACAAGAAGUCAUGUACAACACUCGCAACUUUGCAAGAUCCCAAAUACUAGGUAAUAGUACCAAGGUUGAUCCUUUGUUUUCAACCCAUACGGUCUCUAGAUUCCAGAGGUUUGAGAAAGAUGAAGGCAGCGAUUUAACUUCUGUCCCAAUUCUUAAGAACCCAAAAUGAUUCAACAUGCCUAUUUCAUUCAGCAAAGAAUCUUUCACCAUCAUAACAGAGGGAUCGAAGUACAACACUCUAAGAAGCCUCAAGUCUCUUACGUGACAUGCAUCAGAAAGACGAUCUUCCAUCUCGUCUCCAAUUAUCAACAAAGAACAGAGGUGCUUACCAGAAUGCCUUUUCUUUUUUUAACUGAACAGGACGAAAUUGUUAGGCUCAAAGUGCUCCUUAUCAUAAUUAAUGGUCACUAUGCUUGCCAUCAAAUCUGAAGAAGAAGAUGGAUCACUUGAACUUAUCCUGCCAAACAACUUUUCCUCUCUUGCUUUUAUCAUACAAAAGUCUUGUACAAGAUCAUAUAGCUGGCAAGUCGGGUUAUCACCUAUCUCAUUGAAAGCAAUUAUCCAAGUAAAUUUCCAUCACUUCUUCCAAACUCUUCAUACCCGUCUGUUCAACAAGCCCUUCAGCACGCAAAUACAUUUUCAACAUAACUCUAUGCACUGCAGUGUCCUUUGGAAAAGACGCAUGGUAGAGAAAGCAUGGCUUCAUGUGAUGAGGUAAAUGGUCAUAACUUAAUUCUAUAACUUUCAUCACAUCAACUUCACUGCCGAAAAUAAUGGAAUUCAAAUUAUUUCAAACUUCAAGCCACACAGCCUUUUUCUUUUCCAAACCUGCAAUGACUCCAGCAAUCAGAUCAGCCACCAAAGGAAGUCCCUCACAAUUUUGGGCUAUUUCUUUUCCAACAUCCAAUAGUUCAUCAGGGCAACUCUGCUCUCCAAAUGCCCUUUUUUCUAUUAACUCCCAACAUUCUUCUGGACUUAGCAAUCAAAGAUUAAGAGGAUCAGUGUUGACCUUUCCAUGAAAAGCCACUUCCUUUUGUCGAGUCGUCAAAAUAAUUCUACUUCCUUUCUCAAGAUCAGGGAAAGAUCUUGUUAAAUCAUCCCAUGUAGUAGUAUCCCACACGUCAUCUAACACAAUUAGGUACCUCUUUCCAAACAGUUGUUUCCGUAGCAUAUCAGCAACAUCAAUAUCCUCACUGAACUUCAAAUCCGAGCCCUUCACUUGAUUAAAAAGUUUCUCCAACAACUUCUUCUCAUCAUAUUUUUGGUCGACUGUGCACCAUGCACGAAGGUCGAAAUGACUACAAACUGAUUCGUCAUUGUAUACUUUGUACGCCAAAGUAGUUUUGCCCGAACCCGGCAUACCAGUGAUUGAAAUGACAUCUAGAUUUGCUGGUCCGCUGGUGAGCUUCCUAAUUAACCAGUUUGUCUCCUCCUUAAAACCUACAAUUAUUUUACCAGUUGUCAAUGAUUUUCUUUCAGCUGGACUCUUGGGAGAGUUUACAACAAUGAGGGUCUUGCUCUUGGGAAUCUUCUCCAGCAAUUGGUAGACAUCUUCUUUGAUAAGGUUGAUCUUUUUUAUGGUGAUGGGAAGUGAGAAAAUAAGAUGUAAGAGACCAUUAUCUCGUACAAUAAUUGAAUCAAUGACAUCUUUUGCCUUAUAUGCCACAUCUAAAACACGUGCCCAGAGAUCUUUAUACAAUCCUUGCUCAACAUUCACAAAGAACGAUCUUAUGAAUUCGAGAGCUUCUUUCACCAGUCUAAUGUCAUCCUUUAUCAAAGCAAUUGAAUAAGCAUUGGACUCUAGCAGAUCAUUCAAGUGGAUGAGUAGAAGACGCAUGAAGAGCGGGCCAUCAUUCAUAGGGAAGCAACAUUGAUAUGAGUCCGGAGGUUUCAGAUAAACAUGUCCAAAAUCUUCCUUGAGGAGUUCCAUUUUUUCUUCCAGCGAGUCUACAGUCGCACGACAUGUUUCAUCGGUACUCUCUUCAUUCCUUGAUUUUUUUUCUAAGUCGUGAACGAGAGUUGAUACCUCCCUGAUAAGUGCUCCAACACGUGCCAAAAGAUCAAAUGAUUUGUCGUGAUGAAUAAAGUCCUUCGGCAUAUCAGUAAGAACAAUUAAAAGGAACUCUAUCAUGACAUGAAUGUUUCGAGCCCCUGGAGUUGUAACGGUAAUGACAUUUACCAUGUGCUCUUGUAGAUGAAUCAGAUACUCUCUAAGAAUGUCUGGAGAGAUUUCCAGGAGAUUCUUAAUGAAGCGUCCAACUUCUGCUGAAGUUAAAGGUUUCAAAUUUGUAUAACAUAUUUGCAUUACCUCCAGUUCAAUUGGAAUAAUCUUCAUGAGUAGAUGUGCUAGCUUGAAGAGUCGAGAAUCUCCAUAAGUUCGACUAUUCCAAAAGAAGAUUCCAACUCUCUCAGCCAUGAGUUGAAACUGAGGCGAGACAUAUAGAACAAUCUCGUGCUCAACGCAACCAUUCACCAUCAAUCCAUGGAAAUCUUUCAUGUUGCCAGACACUUUCUGAAGAAUCUCAUACUGAGUCUCUAAUGGAAAACUCUGUUCAGCAGCAUACUUGGAUAGAUAAUGGAGAUUCAAGAGGAGGAAGUCCAACUGCUCGUCAGUCAUGGUGGCACUUGAUGUAGAAUGAUGACACAAGCUGAUACAAUCAUCGAUAUUAUCCACGAGGCUAGGAAGGACAUGAUCCAUGUUGUGUUUACACCCGACGUUGUUGUCAACAUCAUCCAAAAUUGGUCGAAGCAGAUUCUCAACCGCUUGUCUUGCCUCACUCAUUACAUCUUCAAAAAAUUUCAAAUCACAAUGAGAAAGCUGGACGUACGUACAAAUAAAUGUCAGCAUCGAUUUCAGCUCUUCAAUUUGAUUGGCCAUGUUGACAGCAUUUUAACCUCCUUCAUUCUUUAACCCCUCCAAGAAAUCCAGAACGUUGACAACGUCCUUGCGAAGAGCAGAAAAUGACACCUGCCAAAUGACCAAGCCAUUGUUUUAUUUAUUUUCUAUAUUUAUCAGAAUAUCAAGUAAAUAAGCAAACCCAUUAAAUUGAAGUCAUGCAUGUAUUGAUUUUCAUAUCAGGAAGGAAAAAUUUAUACAUUGAUUUUGCACGAUUGUUGGGUUUAUCAACAGUUUUGGUGCUUCAAAUGUUCUAUCACUAAAGGCAUAUAUUUUUCUUGCAAUUGGACUUUUGAAAAGAACUUAAAAUAAUUUUUAAUGUGGCCAUAAUUUUUAGCUAAUGUUUUAUUCAAAAUCUCUUGAAAAUCUCAUGAUAAAUGAUACAUUGUAAAUCUCUCAAGAAUUUUUUUAGUUAUCAUUUAAUUUUUUCUUCACCCACCUAAUUAAUAAAUCUUCAAUAUUGCUCUUUUUCCGCAAUGAUAAAAGAAAUUAGAUGUCAUUUUCAUCUUUGAGCUGAAAAUUAUGAAAAAAUAAUAGUGAAAAGUCAUUUAAAGGUUAUAUUUGUGUUGUUUUGAAUAGUGCACCGUCAAAAUUUAAGGUCAAAGUUAUAAUUUAGUGUCAAGUUUAGGGUCAUAUUUAUGUAUUAUGCCCUUAGAUUUUAAGUUGGACGCGCCCAGUUUUGCAUGUUGAACACGCAUUUUACCACGUAUGAUCGGGGGUCAUAUUUGUGCAGUUUUGAAUAGAUAAAGGUCAUAUUUGUGCACUGUCAAAGUUUAAGAUCAAAAUUAUAAUUUGAUAAAGUUUUGGAUCAUAUUUAUGUAUUAUCUCAUUAUUUUUCUAAUUUUUUUUUUGUUAAAAUAAAAAGCCACAUGGAUUUAGCCACAUGGAUUUAAUUAAACGAAAAUUUGCCAGAAUAACCCCCUCUACUUUCAAAACUUAUAUACAUCUAAUCUCCAUCUUUCAAUAAUCUGAACCAAAAUUUGACCUUUUAUUGAAUUGUAUUUUCAGGAUAAUUAACACAUAGUUCAAUAACUUAAAUGGAACAAAAGUUUAAUUUUAUGACCAGAUACAAGUAGUAAAGUUCAUUGAUUUUAGUGAGUCAAAAUUAGUUUAUAAGUGACUAAUUAACAGAUACAUAGAUAAGUAAAGUUCAGUGAUCAUGACAUACCUCAAAAUUAUUUGCUUUCCCUUUCUCCGGAUCUGAUGUAUUAAAAAAGUAGAUAAAAACUUCACCAGAUGAAAAAAGAAGAAGCAUAAAAUUAAUUUCUUUAUCAUUUUUAUUUCUACAGAUCUUAAUACCAGAAUUAAACAAAGUAAAUUUAUUAGAGACUAACCUUUAUCACUUAAUAAAAGUAUGUUUUUGUGUACUCUCCAGAAAACUAUUAGCUUGAAAAAUGAAAAGCUGAAAAUUAGAAGAUAAGAGAGAACAAAUGAUUGAUGUUAGGUAGAAAAUGAUGCAUAGUAUUUCCAAAAAAGUUUAUAAAGCAAAAGCAAAUGGGGCCUCUACUCAAGUGGGAAUAAUAAUAUGCAAUAGGGAAUAUUGGCCAUGAAAUUUUUAUUUUUUUUUAGAUAAGUAUCCAUUAUCUUUCGAACUAUGAUCAAAGCUGCUCCGAUAUAUUCCUUCACAGGAGUUAUAUUAUCCCUGAAUUCAAUUUUAACAUAUUUUUAUCGCCCAAUGUGGCACCUUUAUAACAUAAAAUGAGGCUCACGUUAAUGAUAUUAUAUCAGCAAAAAAAGUUGACAAAAGGUGUCACGUCAGUUAAAAAGAUUGAGAAAAAUACGUUAAACUUUAGUUCAGGAGGGUAAUAGAAUCCUCGUAAAGUUGGAGAAUGUCGUAGCGAAUUUGAUCAUAGUUCAAAAGUUACUAGGUGUUUUACUCAAAAGAAUACAUAAAAAUCAUAACAAGAAACAAUUUUGACAUCCAAAGUCCUAACUGAACCAUUGAAAACGUCAAUAUCUAUCCACCCAACGUAGAGAGUUUGAUUUCAAAUCUUAUGAUUUAUUAACCUCUAUGUGAAAUCUUUCCUUCUCCCACAAACUCUUUCAGUUGUUGGAUGCACAAAAUAACCUAGUGGAUGAAAAUAAUUUCUGUACGAAAAAGUUAAAGAAAAAAAUGGUGCAUGGUAUUCCAAAAAAGUGAAUCUAAAAAGCAGAAGCAUUAAUCAAUUUCAAUGAGGCCUCACUUGUUUGCCACUAGGCCCUCGGCAUAAAAUAUCAAAAAUUAAAUUACCGAAUCGAAUUUAAAAAAUUUGAUAAUUAGUAUUCGGUAAUUUGAUAUUUGAUAUGAUAUUUGGGAGUAAAAUUUCAAUAUUUUGGUAUUCGAGAUUGAAUUUGGUACAAGAUAUUAAUACCGUUUGGUAUUCGGUAUUUACCGAAUAAAUAGACAAUAAUAUUAGUCAUCCCAAAGAAUCUUUUGGACCUUGGUAAUAUAUUCAUAAAAAGCAACAAAACAAAAUACUAAAUAGGGUUUCUAUUAAAUAUACUCUUUGAAGUUUAAACGUACAUGUGCACAUGUCCAACUUUAAUAUGGUAUUACCAAAUACCGUACUUAACCAAAGUUUAAUUUACCGAUUACCGAACUGAUGUUUAUAAGUAUGUUAUAUGAUAUCUAUGUUCAAAUACCGAUUAUCGAAUUAUCGAACCCAAACUUUGAAAAUACCAAAUCGAAUACCGAACGCCCACCCCUAUCUGCCACAAAGUCUAAAAGGAAAGAAAGUUAAUCAGACUUUUAAUACUGCUCACUUUGUAUGAGACUUUAUUAUUAAAAUUGUUUGAAAGUUAAUCGGAUAACAAUUCUAAUAGAGAAAGUGUAUUGAAAAAAUUGAGUAAGAGCAAAUCAGAAAUGCAUGUAAGGAUGUGUACAAUAGGCACUUGUGAUUCAGCCUUCUUAGAUUUUGUGCAUAACGGGAACUUACUACCUACAUAUGAGAAAAUUAAAAAUAUAUUUUUCUCCAUACCAAACACACCCUUUACUUAUAAGUAGAGAUUGUUUUCUGGAGUUGAUUCAUUAAAUGGUCAGAAAAUCACUUACUUUUUGAAGAAAAUUGAAAUGAUUUUCUGAGAUAAUAACUACUCUCUUCAUUCAUUUUUGCUCGUACAACAUAUUGAAAAUAGAUGUCCAAUAUUUCUUUUUCAGUUUGAAAAAUCAAUGAAUAGUUUACUAAAAAAAGAAGUUUAACGCUAAAAUAAUAAGCAAAUAGACGAGUAUUGAUAAUAUAAAUAUCCAUAUCAAACAGAAUAAUGUUUAUAAAAAGGCCAAAUCAAUGAAAUUAGUUUGUUUAGUUGAUGACUAUAAUAACUUGAUAACAUUUGUGUGGAGGAGAAGAUAAAGAGAGAAGGGUUAGGUAGAAAAAAUUCCUUAAAUCUGGUGUAAAAAAGAAAGAAGCAUAAAAUUAAUUUCAUAGCAGUUUUUGCACAUAUAAAUAAGUCAAUUAUUUUUUGUCGACUUCAAUGAGUAAAAUUAGAGAUGUGAGUAACAUAAUUAAACACACUAUAUUUUUAAGUUAUUAGUAGAGACUAACCUUUUUAGUUGAUGAAAUAUCUGAAAUGGCUGCUCUUUGAUUUUGUGUAUGACUAUAUUAACUUGAUAACAUUGAAUGGAGGAGAAGAUAAAGAGAAAAGGAUGUGCGGGUAAUAAUAGGACACCAAAUUAUUGAUGUUAGUAAGAAAAUGUAGAUAGCUUGCAACUAUUAUAUAUAUGUUGCUCGGAUACUUCAAAAAUGUUAUUACGCUAAUGUCGGAUUCUUCGAAAAUACGCUACUUUUGGAGGAUUCAAUAUGUACCCUUCGACAUUAUUGAAGAGUUUGAACUACAUAAUUUUUAAGAAGGUAUGUAAAGUGUGACUGGGUGGUGUUGCUCUUUUGACUCUGGUUACCCUAUUGACAAAAUUUCAAGAACAAUAUGAUCCUUUUACUUACAGGACUUAGAUGUCUCAUAUUUUUCAAAAAAGUGAUUAGAUUGAUACGAUUUGGUAUGAGAUCGAUGAUCUCAAUGAGAUUGAUAUUCCAAUCUUUCUUCUUACAAAGUAUUGAUUUGACCCCUUAAGCAGAAUCAAACAUAUUGCCUCUAAAAGGAGAACUUAAUAUUUCUUUUAGAGAAUCUCCUAAUUAUUGCAGAGCAACUAGAAAGAGAUUCUUUAACUAGAAAGAAUUAGGUCCAAAUGUAGGAUACCUAUCCAUAAGUUUUCGCAACUCAAUCAUAGAUGAUGGAAUCAUAAAAAAUUUGACAGUUUUGAUCUACAGGCAACGCUUUUGACUUUUGACCAUAAAGGUUUGCGCAUGAGGCAAGUGAAGUCAAAAGUCCAAGACUACUUGAUUAUUAGGUAUAUCAAAAGUAGCUAAAUUAUGGCUAUCAAGCAUACCAGUUUCCUAACUAAAUUAUCACCAAAUGUAUAUCACAACUCUAUGAAUUGUUUACUUUUCUAUCAUCAGGUCCCAAAAAAAAAGAGGAACAAAUGAUAGUUGAGGCGUAUUUUGAUAAACAUUUUGAUAAUAGUUUGACUAGAAAACUAGCAUAAUGAAUAGUUUAGAUAAGAAACUCGAAAAAAUAGGAUAUUUUAGACGUGGCGUAAUUUAUGUACAUACCUCUAGUCCACUUGGAGUAAUUUUCAUGAGUAGAUGAGCAAGCUUGAAGAGUAUUGAGUCUCUUUCAAUAUCAUGCUUUUUUAUAUACAUAAUAUGAUUUUUCUAUGAAAAAGUAAUAAUUGGCUAUCUUUCAUUAAUAGGUAACAUUUCUUAUUUUAAAAAUUGAAUUUUCAAAUUUCCUGAGACCCAUCACGAGAUCUGAGCGAAAAUUGACCAGCGGCCCUCCGGCGGACUAUGAAGCGGAUCUGAGUGGUCCGACGGGACCACCUAGUCCACUUGGGUGGUCAAAUGGACGAAACGGUGAGAACCGAGUAAUUUUUGGUCUCUUUCGAUGGGUGUACGCCCACGGUUUGGUGGAUGGGCCUAGGGCCCAACACAGGAUUUGGAUGAAAAUAGAUUGGUGCCCCCCCCCCCUCCCGGCGGCCUGUGGAGUGGAUUAAGUGGUCCGACAAGGCCGCCUAGGUCAUUUGGGUUGUCAAGUGAAACGGUGCGAACAGACCAUUUUUGACCAUUUUCGGUGGGUGUUAGCUCAAGGUUUGGCGGAUGGGCCCAUGUCCCGAUGUGGGAUCUGGAUGACAAGGUUACGAAUUAGACACUUAAAAAAAUUAAGGAUAAAAUUAUUUUGUGUCGAGUACAUCAAAGAUAUAUUUAGCGAUUUUUUUGGAUAUAUCACAUUUUUUGAAUACAUCACUUAAUUUUACAAGGAUAUAUGACAUUCUUCAGUGAUGUAUUCACACUUUUAAAUAAAAUCAAGGAUUUAUGUAAUUAUGUAAAAAAAGGUUAGGAUUUUAAGCAGUUAUGAUAAGAUAAGUAAGUGGUAUUAAGUGGGAAUUUUAAUUUGCACACAUUAUUAAUUUUUCAUUGAGAAUCUAUAAUCUAUAAUAUACAAUAUAUAAUAUAUAAUCUAUAUCUAUAAUCUAUCAUAUAUUAAAAGUGUAAAGACCCUUAGAAAAGUGAAUUGAACGUUUUGCCAUUCAUUAAAAGUCACCGCUUUAGAUAAAAUCAUUUUUUCGCUAUUUUUUUAUUAUUUUAAUGAUAUUAAAUAUUGACUAUAGUAACAAAUAAAAACCUUCCCAAACAAAAAUAAGAUAUUGUUUUGACAAAAACCUUUCCUGGCUAAAAUAGAAUCAAUCAAAAUUUAAGAUUAUAUUUUCUACAAAUUAUUUUCUUGAAUUAAAUAUCACAAUUAAAAUACUUGAAUACUAAAUCUUUUCUUAUAUUCUUCUUCUUUUCAUGUUCUUUUUCUUCUUUUCAUGUCAAAUAAAUAUAAGGAAAGAUUAUAUUGGACACAUGAAAACAAAAGAAAAAAUUAUAUAGAGAUUUAUGAUAGUAUUUACUAAUACUGACUUUCUCAAGUAUAUUUAAUGUUCAGGAAGAAAUUACUAGUACAAAAGAAAAUGUUCAGAAAGAAAUUUUAUGAUCUAGUAUAUUUAUGAUAUACUUACUAAAAAAAAUAAUUUUUGAAUAUCGUAUUAGUAAGUAUUUCAAAAAAUUUAAAAUUUAUUUGAUAAUUUAUUUGUUUUAUUGUUAUUCAAGGUUUAUUUAAUCUGGAGAAAAACUUAUCUUAAAAAUUAACUUCUAAUUGAAGAAGUUUUAUUUUCUCAGGGUUUUUAUGCACUCCUUUAUAACAUUGGCUUUUCAUGGAAUAAUGAGGGAAUAAUGCAAAGACGAUAAAUGUUGGUAAUAGUUCAUGUAAUAAACUAAAAAUAUUGAGAUAUUUUAUGCGUGUUUUUGACCCUUCACUUUUUUUCAUAAGUCAUCAUAAGAAUUUUUAAGUUGUUUGUUGAAUAGGGGGAAAGAGGGAUUUGAAAAUCUCAUAAUUUAUUGUGGACGAUCAUUUAAAUGUAUAGAGCAAUUGGUGAAAGAUAAGGUAGGAAAUUAAAAAUUUUGAGAUACUUUAGGUUAUGUUUUUGACCCGUCGCUUUAUUGAUCAUAAAUCAUCAUAAUAAUUUCGAAGUUGUUUGUUGAUAGAGGAAAAAGAAAGAGUGAUUUGUAGUAUGAGAUCUCAUAAUUUGUUUCAGACUUACACAAUCAUAUAGAUGUAUAGAACGUUUGGUGAAAGUUUGGAUAGAGAACUAAAAUAAUUGAGAUACUUUAGGUUAUGUUUUUGACCCGUCGCUUUAAUGAUCAUAAAACAUCAUAGUAAUUUUGAAGUUGUUUGUUGAUAGAGGAAAAAGAAAGAGUGAUUUGUAGUAUGAGAUCUCAUAAUUUGUUUCAGACUUAGACAAUCAUAUAGAUAUAUAGAACGUUUGGUGAAAGUUUGGGUAGAGAACUAAAAUAAUUGAGAUACUUUUUGUGUAUUUUUUAUUCUCACUUUAUUUAUACAUCAUUAUAAUAAUUUUCAAGCUAUUUGUCAAUAGAAAAAAAGAGUAGUGUGUUGUAGUAUGAGAACCCAUAGUAAUUUCGAUAUGAAACUAAAAAAAUCUAGAUAUUUUAGGUGUGUUCUAAGUUACUAAGGAAAAGUGGAGGACAAGGACAAAUUCGAAUAAAAUCUCUAUCGAUCCUCAAGUAAUGAAUGUUAAGCCCAGAUUGACGAAUGACAUUCCAACUAAAGUAAUUAAUUUCUACAAUUACUUUAAGAUUUAUCUUUUAUCUGAUUUGAUUUAAAUAGAAGAAAUUUAUUAGCUAGUCAUUUUCAUCCUUUUAAAUACACCCAUAACCAACUGAAUACAAAUUUAAAUUACUAAAAGAUUUUGCUAUUCAAAUUUUGAAGUGAAAAAUUGACUUGUACCCUACAAUUCUGUUGUAUUUGAUCUAAGUAGAUUUAUGAUGCAAAUAAGAUUUCAAUGCUUCCUUCAGUUGUCGUAUAUAGACUAUAAAGCAUAUUUUUUCUUUGAUAAAGUUGAGUGCAUUAUAAGAGAAUAGCUAUUUUAUCUAUGAAUGUGGCCAUGAUUAUCUAAGAUUUGAUAGGAAUAAUUGACAUAUUUGGUUGUUAGUAUUAUUUGUCUAACUACAUUAUUUUACAUACCCGUGAAAUAAUGGUUUAUAUUAUAUUUAUACUAUAUUAACAGUGUGAAGACCUUAGAAAUAUUAUUUGAUUUUUUGUCCUUUAUUAAAAGUCUCUGCUUUAGAUAAAAUCAUCUUUUUAUUAUUUUUUUAAACAUUUAAGAGUUGAAAAUUAAUUAAAUAUUUAUGAUAAAACCUUUUAUUAAUAGAAGUAAUCAGAAUUAAUGAUAACUAAUAUCUUUUUCAUUAAUUUAAGAAUUCGAAAUCAACUAAAGUUGAUUUAAAGAAGGUUUGAAAAAUCUAGAAAUAAAUAAGUUUGAAAAUUCUAGAAAUAAAUAUGAAAGCAAUAAGAAAAGUCAAAUUUUGAAAGUUUUAAGUAAGUAAUCAAAGAUUUUCUAAAUAUUUAACUUUAAAAUAAGGAAAGAUUUUAAAUAUAGAUAAAUAAAAAAAGACUAUCGUACUACAAAUAUAGUUCAAGUCGAUGUCUCUCUCUUACCCUCUAACAGCAAAGAAAAGAGGUACCACAUGACAAACGCAAAAGUGACGAUCCAUUAACCACUUGAAACUUUUGGUAGUAUAUGUUAUAUUUACAUUACUAUAUUAAAGUGUGAAGGAUAUUUGAGAAGUGAUUUGAACUUUUUGCAUUUUACUAAACAUCUUCGCAAUAGAUAAAAUUGAAGCGUAUUACAACAAAUUUCGUCAAAGAUUAGGUAUAUUUCGAAUCCUUUUCCCUUUAAGAAACUAAAAAUAUACCAAAACAUUAUAUUUAAAGGGUCAAAAUAGACAUUACACACAUAAAUAAGUAAACAAUUUUGGCUUUAUAAAAAAAAAAAACUUAUUAUUUCAAUUGAAAUUUUGUAGAAGUAGAAUCUUGAUUAAAAAUAAAAAUAAAAAAUCCUCCAUAGUUUAGAUUCCUUGGAGUUUUGUCAGAAGUACUAGGUAUAUGGGGUUCCUCCAUUUUCAACACUUAUGACUUUGCAACUCCAAAAAAACAAGAAUCACCUUUUACAAUCUACUUUAUAGGUAGUUUACUUUAAGUUUUGCUUCAUUUUUUGUUGUGUUUCUUGUUUAUUCUUUGUUAUUUUUACGAAAUAUGUAGUGGGGUUGUGCUAAUUUGGGUGAAUUCAAUGUUUAUUCUUUGUUAUUUUGCUGAAAUAUGAAGUGGGGUUGUGCUAGUUUGGGUGAAUUUAAUGAGCACAUCGUUCUUUUUGGGUAUUUAAGGGGCAUUACUGCAAGUUUUGGUUCAAGAUUUGAUUUUUUGCUGUGUAUUUCUGUUUGUUUUUUUGUUAUGUUGAUGAAUUAUGGAAUGGGGUUGUGUUAGUUUGUUAUUCCUUUCUUUUUUAACCCAUCUCUAGCUCCAUUAGUGACUCGAACUCACAAUCUUCGGUUUGGAAGUGAGGGGUGCUUGCCAUCCGAGCAAGUUUGUUAUUCUAUUUUGGGUCAAGAUUUGAUUUUUUGCUGUGUAUUUCUGUUUGUUCUUUGUUGUUUUUCUGAAAUAUGAAGUGGGGCUGUGCUAGUUUGGGUGAAUUUAAUGACCACAUCAUUCUUUUUGGGUAUUAAGGGGCAUUACUGCAAGUUUUGGUUCAAGAUUUGAUAUUUUGCUGUGUAUUUCUGUUUGUUCUUUGUUAUGUUGAUAAAUUAUGGAAUGGGGUUGUGCUUGUUUUUUUUUUUCUUUUUUUAACCUCUCCCUAGCUCCUUUAGUGACUCGAACUCACAGUCUUCGGUUUGGAAGUGAGAGCUGCUUGCCAUCCAAGCAACUUUGUUAUUCUGUAUUGGUUCAAGAUUCGAUUUUUUGCUCUGUAUUUCUGUUUGUUCUUUGUAAUUUUGUUGAAUUAUGGAAUGGGGUUGUGCUAGUUUGUUAUUUUUUUGUCUUUUUUAACCCCUCUCUAGCUCCCUUGGUGACUUGAACUCACAACCUUCGGGUUGGAAGUGAGGGGUGCUUGCCAUCGGAGCAACUCCGUCUUGUCUGCUAGUUUGUUAUUCUGUUUUGGUUCAAGAUUCGAUUUUUUGCUGUGUAUUUCUGUUUAUUGUUUGUUAUUGUACUGAAAUAUGAAAUGGGGUUGUGCUAGUUUGCUAUUCUUUUCCUUUUAAACCCCUCCCUAGCUCCCUUGGUGACUCGAAUUCAGGACCUUCGGGUUUGAAGUGAUGGGUGCUUGCCGUCCGAGCAACUCCGUCUUGUCUACUAGUUUUUAUUCUGUUUUGGUUCAAGAUUCGAUUAUUUUGCUGUGUAUUUGUGUUUAUUCUUUGUUAUUGUACUGAAAUAUGUAACGGUUUUGUGCAAGUUUGGGUGAAUUUAAUGUCCGCAUCAUUCUUUUGGGGAAUUUAAAGGACAUUACUGCAAGUUUUGGUUCAAGAUUUGACUUUUUGCUGUGGAUUUCUGUUUGUUUCUUUGUUAUUUUGAUGAAUUAUGGAAUGGGGUUGUGCUAGUUUGUUAUUCUUUCCUUUUUAACCCUUCCCUAGCUCCCUUGGUGACUCGAACUCACGACCUUCGGGUUGGAAGUGAGGGGUGCUUGCCAUCCAAGCAACUCCGUCUUAUAUACUACCAUCAACUUUUAUGGUCUGACUUCUCGGUGCUUCGCUAUAUUUUGAUCCGUUACUGCUUCAUAAAUGCCACAAUAUCAUUCUUUUUGGGAAUCUAAUAUCUAUGAAUUAAAUAGAUCCAAAUAGAUACAUAGGAUGAUUGAGUUGGCUACAUAGGUGGUUGAUUGAUUCUUUUUCAAGAAAAAGGAAAGUAGUGUCUAGAAGGGAAGUGAAGCCAUUGUUGAAGGAGAGAGAUGGCGGAUAGGUCUGAAUUCGUACGAGUUACAGGACACAGAUUAACAGCAAGUGCAUUUGCUAUUCCAUCCUUAAAAUUCUCUCUCUUUUUUAAUGUAACCCGUUAGACGAACUUGCUAGGAGAAAUUAAUUAGAGUUUCCGAGCUAAGAUGUUAUAUGAAGAGUGUAUCCAGUCAAUUACGGCUAGCAGCGCUGCAUUUUCUCUCAGAUAUGGAUUUUGCGUGACUUUGCUUCAAUUUUUAUUACUUCCCCAAACCUGUUGACUUUCUGGGGAGAAGUGGGAUCAGGAAACCAACAAUAAAUCUGUGGGUUACCGUGCCGACUUGCAUCUGUUGGAUUUUGUUGACGGAAAGCUUUCUCUGUACUAAGGUUUACAGAUGUCUUUGGCUUAUGGCUUUUUGGUGCAACUUUCAGGAUGUAAAGAAUGAAAACAGUAUGUUCGAUUUCAGCAAUUCACUACAAGAAUAGAUUUCUGUAUAGACUGCGUGCCCCUCUUUUGUUCUUGCAUGGGGGGAUAUUCUGCUUUGUGCCUACAGAGAACCUUCUCAGCGCUUUGCUGUUUAUCUCAAUAUAGUUAAUUGCCGGUUGUGAAAAAAGAAAAUCAGAUUAGGUUCUUUCUGUUGUGUAUCCCUUCCCCCCCUUACUUUUGGUUUUCUCUGGGUAACAAGAUUUAUGUUCUUCAAUUUACAAAAGGAAUUUCAUGAAGAAUUUGUUUGAAAUUCAUCCACACCUAUUCUUAUCAACCUUGCAAUACCAGGCUCGACCAAAUUCUUUUUUUUGUUACUUUUUGUAUAUUAUUUAAAAUUUUACCAUAUGUCAUAUUUGGCUAGUAUUUUCUCAUUUAUCUGUGUUCUCUUGUUGCAGGUCAGUUCUGAAGUUGGAUGUCUGAUUGUGCUCGACAGAGAUAUAAAGGUGAAGUUAAGAGAUAAAACUUACAUUGACAUUGAUGAACUAUGCCUGUUUUUGGUUAUUUUCUUCCUUAGUGUCUAUGUUGCUCGGACUCUUCAAAAAUAUCAGCGGGUGCGUGUCGGAUUCUCCAAAAGGAGUGUACUUUUGGAGAAUCCGACACGGGUGCGACAUCGAAAGUAAAGAGUCCGUGCAACUUAGCUUAGUGUUAAAAGCCAAAAUAAGUCCAUGCCACGUUUCAUGUUCACUAAUGCUUUCCCUUUUGUUCCAGCGCUAUUUUGUUUCAGUGCUAAUGGGGGCCAAGCGCACAAGAUUACAUGGUGAAAGUGACGACUGGAAAAAGUAUCCAAUUCCACCUGGUUUUGAAUCGCCAAUGCCCUUCACAUUAAAGGAGGUAGAAAAUAAUGAGAAAGCCUGUAAAUUUGUCGCUGUUGGGAAUGAGUCUGAGCAAGAUCCCAGCCAGGCGGCAUCUACUUCAACAAUUAUUAGCGUAGGAAAGCUUAAGAGUUCUGUUAGGUGUAGGCCUUGGAUACUUGAUGAUGAUGUUGAUCACAUGGAAGAAGAUUCUGGAUGUGAAGCUGAUAAGGUUAGUAAGAUUUUCAUAAUUUUUUCUCAUAAAUCCUGUUUUAAUUUCCAUUACAGUAUAAACAACGCUACGUCUGUUGUUGUAUGCUUAGUAUAAAAAAAUUAAUAGUAGAUUUCAAUUAAAUUGAUUAUGCUAUAAGUUUUGAGCUUGUGUCACCUUCAAUAUCCCCUCGUGCUUUUUUUUUAUUGAGAAGGCAUGAAAAGAAGAGUGAAUACCAUAGCUGAUGCUCCUGGUUUGAGAGGAUGAGAUAAACAUAUCUGGUGAGAGAUGCAUAUACAGAAAACUAUUUUUGUGCUUUACCGAGGAUUAUUCCUGUUGAUCGUAUGCAUCCCUAUAUUUUUUGGAACAAGAAGAAACCCAUGUUAACUGUCAAAAACCUGGUGAUUUCUUCCCAUCUGUCAUUGCCGUAGUGACAGAGUUACCUGUUACCGGCAGGAGGUGGUGGAUAUCUCGUGAAUUAGUUGAGGUGUGCACAAGCUCGCCCAGACACUAUGGUUGUCAAAAAGAACUCUAUGUUAACUGACAGGUGAUUGGAAAUAGGAAGAAAUGGAGAAUUUUCUUCAAGAUAUUUAUCGCCACGUGCGAUAGCAAGGGCAGGACAGGAUGGUAUGUUUAGGCCCAGUAGCAAAACGCAAAUCUUGCUAUAGAUAUCUGGAUUAUAGAGGGGGAAUAGAACCUAUAAGUCGCAGAUACCUUUGCGACAUGGAAGUUCAGCUUAAGGAAAGAAUGGAAGAAAGUUUGGGAAAUAGCAUCAGUAUACUUUUUUUGGGACGAUGGAGAGAAAAGAUCAGGAGGAUUUCUAAAGGGGUGGAUAGAUUUUUUGGGAGCUAUACAACUGAGCAUUUAUACCUAUUAACCCUGCAUCAUCUUCUUGCACAUUUAUGAAAUUUAUUUUGGAUUUAUCAAUAGGAAAGUUGCAUCAGCUGAUAAGUUUGUGUUCUCUCAUUGCCGCUCACUGUAUAGGGGAAGGGCCUAAUGGUGAAUUCUUUUGCUCCUUUACUUGUCAAUAAUGAACUAGUAUAUGUAAAUAGUACUCCCUCCAUCCCAUUUUAUGCGUCAUAGUUUGACCGGGCACGGAGUUUAAGAAAUAAGUAAAGACUUGAUGCUUUUUACUAAAUUGUCCUUUAUUAAAAUAAUGUAUUAUUAUUUUUAAUUAUGUGGGCCUUAUAAGUGGGAUCAAUAAAGGUAAAAGUGGAAUUGUGUCUUUAAAUAGUUACCAAAUAAGCAAAGGUGACAUUCUUUUUGGGACGGACAAAAAAGGAAAUGAUGACACGUAAAAUGGGACGGAGGGAGUAGUUAAUAUGGAAGUGUAUAUACGGAACUAGCGUUAAAACUGAAUCGUAGUGUCUCUGGAUGUUGAGCCCUUGUCGCCCAUACUAUCCAGUAACAUUCCUCAAAAGCUUGUACUAUUAAGUAAGUUCUUCUCUGAUUAUAAAAUGAGAGGUACUAACUAGUCCUAAUCCUAAUAUACGUGCUUGUUUUCUUAUAACUCUACCUAGAAAAAGCAAGUUAAUUAGAUAGAGAAUUGUCCAAGAGACCAUAUACCAAUACGAUGUCCCAUUCCAUCAACCUAGUUAGAAAUAUGUGGGACUCCAACAUUCAAUGUAUCGCCUAAACCUGGACAUUUGAAGUGUGGACGACAUAGUAUGAUGCUCAACAAAUCAACAAGAGGAUGUGUGGCUUUGAUACCAUGUUAAGAAAAUGAACUUUGAAACUAAGUCAAUGUAAAAUGUUAUCGCAUUAGGUGAGAGUUGUCCACGACCAUAUGAGGAGUCAAUAAUCAAUUCCCUCAAUCAAUGUGGGACGCUGUAAAUUUGUUAAUGGGCUUUAUCAAAACAUAUUUCUUGGCAAGUGGGCUUGAGUACCGGUCAAUGAUGAUGUUCUUUUCUGUUUUCUACGGGUUUUCUUUUCUUCAUUUGAUUGUCUUGUGCGUUACUUGGAGUUAAGGUCCAAGAUAUAUUGAGUUAAAGGCCCAUCUGGUUGCAUCUUCGCUUGUGGUGGCUAGUCAAAGAAUGUUGCAGCAUCUAUUGUUUCUCUGUGUAAUUGUUGGCAUGUAGCGCUGCUAGUUAGAAAUAAUGGUUUGGUCUUUUGAUUGUCUCUGGGUUCAAUUUAUUUCUUAGAGUUCGCCUUCACGUGCUUAUCUCCCAAAAGGAGUGAUUCGAGGAUGUUCCAGUUGUCACAACUGCCAGAAGGUUCAUUCUUCCUUAAUAUUGUAUAAUAUUUGGUUUUAAGGCAAGGAUUAACUGUUUUCUACCCAAAAGUUAGUUGCGAUCGACAUCUGUCUUUUUUGGUUUUCAGUUACCAUUGAGCUUAUGAUGUUUCUUAUAUGCUUUUUCCACAGGUUAUUGCAAGAAGUCGUCCGGAAUUGGCACAGAUCCCUUCACUUGAUGAGGCUCCUGUACUCCAUCCUACUGAGGAGGUAUUCCUUGACAUCCCUUCGUUCUUUCAGCCUGGUAUAUGCCCUCUAAGUUGCACGGACUCUUCACUUUCGAUGCCGCACCCGUGUCGGAUUCUCCAAAAAUACACUACUUUUGGAGAAUCCAACAUGCACUUGUUGACAUUUUUGAAGAGUCCAAGCAACAUAGUAUGCCCUUUAUUGCAUCAUAAACAAGUACUCUGGAUGCUGCUUUCAUGACAUUAAAUCUUAUGUUAGGAGUUUGAAGAUACUCUCAAGUAUGUUGCAAGCAUCCUUCCAAAUGUCAAGAACUAUGGAGUAUGCCGUAUUGUUCCUCCCUCUUCCUGGAAACCACCUUGCCGCAUUAACGAAGAGGACACGAGGUAUGGAGUUGACACCCAUGUCCAGCGCAUUAGCGACCUCCAGAGUCUGUUUUUCAAGAAUAGGCUUGUGGGAGACCAUAAAAAGACAAGUAAUAGACGGCAGAAAAUCCUAAGUAUGAAGUCAGAUUUGGAACACGACGUGGAACUUAAAGAAUUUGAUUGUUGUAAUGAACACUUUGAAUUCGAAAGUGGGCCAAAGUUUAAACUGAAAGCUUUCAAGAAUUACGCUGAUCAUUUCACGAGGCAGUACUUUGUCAAGGAAGAUCAGGUCACAGUGUCAAACGACAAAGAAGAUGCAACGAAGAUGCUGUCAGAACCAUCUAUUCCUGAUAUUGAAGGAGAAUACUGGAGGAUUAUUGAGAAUCCAACUGAAGAAAUUGAGGUUUUUCUCUGGAAGUGCAAUUUUCUUUUCUAGAAAUCCGUCAAACACGUUUUCUUCUAUCAUUUUUUUUCUUACUUUUCGUUGUCAAUUUGGUUUAUUAGGUGCUCCAUGGGAAUAUUACGGAAACUAGUGGUUUUCCACUUAAAACCAAUCCACGGGAUGUAACCGAGUGUCCCCAAUAUGUGGAAUCAGGUUGGAACUUGAACAAUACCCCUAAGCUUCAAGAUUCUCUUCUCCGCUUUGAGAGUUGUAGCAAUUCCUCUAUUUUCUUUCCCCGGCUCUCCGUUGCAAUGUGUUUUUCAUCAAAUCACUGGGUAAGAUUUACAGUCUUUUCAUUGAGCAAGGAUUUUCGUUCUUUUAAUUCGAAUUAUGCUUGGGAAUUUGUUCUUGUGUCUUAGUUUUUUCUGGGAAGGGGCAUCAUCAUUCUCGGGGCAGUAUCUCUCUUGGGAGGAAAAAGUACGAUGAGCAUUAUUUCAUUUGUUAGCGUUUUCUUUUUGAUUGAUUAAUUGCCUAUAUUUUCUUCUUUUUCUGUCCUCUAUUAGAGAACUGAAGAGCACCACUUAUAUUUGCUAUCCUACAUACAUUUUGGUGCCCCGAGAAUAUUUUAUGGGGUUCCUGGCAGUUUUCGUUGCAAGUUUGAGGAAGCUGUCAAGAAGCAUCUGCCACAGUUGUCAGCACAUCCUUGUUUGCUUCACAACCAUGUGAGUUUCAAAUUCGUGAAUAUAUUUUUCAUUAUUUUAAUUAGGAAAUGUCUUUUACUACUCUGUGGGUGUUUUCGUUUCUUUUAUUAUCUAGUGGUGUGUUACCCCAUUUUGUUGUUUGUUUUUAUGUUUUCUGCUUGUUAUACUGCUAUUUGUCCUGAGCCGGGGGUCUAUUGGAAACAACCUCUCUACUUCAUCUGGGGUAGUGGUAUGGACUGCGUACACUUUACCCUCCCCAGACCCCCCUUUGUGGGAAUACACUGGGUAUGUUGUUGUUGUUUGCCUUUUACUGGAAAGAAAGGAAUGAAUGUUUAGCUGGUUCCAUUUUCAAUUUUACUAAUAAAAUGAACUCUCCUAACGGAAUCCGAAUGAUCUCUGGAUUGUUGUUGUUGUUCUUAUAAAUUGCACGAUGAAGAUGAAAAGUUUGUCUAUUACCUCCCAUUUGAUCGAUCAACCCUUAUAUUUGAUGCAGGCCACACAAUUCUCUCCUUCUAUAUUGACUUCAGAGGGUAUACCUGUUUAUCGUUGUGUGCAAAACCCGAAGGAGUUUGUUCUCAUUCUCCCUGGAGCAUACCAUGCAGAGUUCGAUUGUGGAUUUAAUUGUUAUGAAGCAGUAAACUUUGCUCCCUUUGACUGGUUACCACAUGGUCAGAAUGCUGUGGAGCUGUACCGUGAGCUGGACAGAAAGACAUCAAUCUCCCAUGAUAAGCUGUUGCUUGAUGCAGCUGCAGAAGCAAUUAGGUCUUUAGGAGAACUUGCGCGACAAAACAAUAAUUCGUUUGAUAAUUCAAAAUGGAGGGCAGUCUGUCGGAACUAUGGUUAUUUAACGAAAGUAUUCCAGGUUAGCCUCUAUUAUAAUUGACUUCUAUAUAAGGAGCCAUUCCAAAUUCCUGAACUUCAAUUCUAACAGGCUUUCUGCGACUUGUUCGUUUCAUUUGACAUUGCCAUUUCUUCCAUUCCUUGUUAUGUUGUACUUCUAAUUUUGUUAUCAACCACAACUGUUUUCCCUCUCUAGUUGUUCGAUCUCUUUCAACAAUAACUCCUGCGUAAUGCUCUCUUUUUGAUAUGCUUUCUGUUGUUGUUACUGUUCCUUUUCUGGAUGCUGUGUAGUCAGUACUGCUUUUCUUAUUCGUUGUCAGGUUUGCUUUGCUGUCGUGUUUUCUUUUCACAGCUAUUUGAUUAACCUGAGCUAAGGGUCUCAGAAUCAGCCUCUCUACCUCCACGUGGUAGGAGUAAGGUCUGCGUACACUCUUACCUUCCCCAGACCCCACUUCUGUUGGUCCCUCGUUUUGUGAGGAAGUUACUAUGCUAACUGGCCCUUAGUAAGGGCUAAUGUCAUGUUGAGUUAGAAACUCUCGUAAGAGAUGCACGCAUUACUGACUAGUUAUGUUUUUUUUGAAUAUGAUACAUCGUUUCAUUUUUAUGUUGGAUAGACUCGGGUUGCCGCUGAAGUGAGACAACGGAAAUAUCUGUGUGCUGCUCUUGAAUCACGAAAGAUGGAGUAUGACUUUUGCGCUACCACCAAAUGGGAGUGUGUUACAUGCUUCUAUGAUCUAUACCUUUCUGCCAUUGGCUGCAACUGUUCUCCGCAUAAAUAUACUUGUCUUCUUCAUGCCAAGCAGCUAUGUGCUUGUGCUUGGAGCGAGAAGUAUUUGCUUAUACGGUAUGAAAUAGAUGAGCUGAACAUCAUGGUUGAAGCUUUGGAUCGAAAGUUAAGCGCAGUUCAUAAGCUGGCAAAAGAAAAACUUGGAUUGCCUGUAUCCGACGUUUCUAAAGAUGCCAAAAAGGAUGGAGGUACGGUAACAGUGAAGGACGAACCUGUAAUUCCUGACGUGAAACUCUCUGAGAGUGAAUCUCACCGAUCAACCUCCAGACAAGCGUCAGAUGCUCAACGGUACAAGAAAGCAGACGUGUUCUUUGCACCUUCGGUUCGUCCAAGUUCAACGACAAAUACUUUGGAUCAGAUAUCUGGAUCGUGUGUUGGUGCAGAUGUUGGUGCAGAUGCAUUGAAUCAUCGAUCACAAUCAAAAGAAAACACUCCAAUACAGCAUACUGCCGUUGGAAAAACUAUUCCGACUUGUUCCACAGUUGGUCCAAGUUCAACGACAAAUACUGUGGAUCGGAUAUCUGGACCGUGUGUUGGUGCAGAUGCAUUGAAUCAUCGAUCACAAUCAAAAGGAAACGCUCCAAUACAUCAUACUGCCGUUGGAAAAACUAUUCCGACUUCUUCCAAUACAGAUCUGAAGAAGCAUCUUGCACGGGGGUCUUCAUCGACUGAUAGAAAUGUGAUUGUUCUCAGCGAUGAUGAAGACUAGCUACCCCAAGUUCACCAUAUCACGAAUGGUAAACGAGCGUUUAUUACACAUUAAUCUGUUGCUGUAAGUCAGUUCUUUGAUGUAAAUUUGCAGAUAGUAAAGCUAGAAUUCUGUUACAGAUUGUAAGUCAGUCUUAAAUUUUGUUUUUCUUGAAGUACAUUCAUCAUCACCAUCAAAUAUGUAAAUGCCACUAAAAAGAUAUGUACAAAGAAGUACUAACAAGUGUUUGAAUAGUGUGAGGAAGUAAGAGAAGUUUUCUGACGGUGGAUUUAUCGGAUACAACCUCUCUAAGCUACAUAGGUAGGGGUGAGAUCAUACAUCCUAUCCUUUUUAAACCCCACUUGUUGUAUCUUUACCUUGAGCCGAGGGUCUAUCGGAAAGAGCCGCUCAUCAAAACCUUCCACGCCCCACGCUGGAUUUACAGGUACUUUUCACGUUGGUCCAUAAGGAUUGGACACCCAUAUUCCGGGACCAUGAAAUGCAUUAAAACCAAAGCAAGCUAUCCUUGAGAGAAAUAAAUGAAUUCUAAAGAUCUUUGACAAAUCCAAAGAGGUUUUCCUGUACGUUCGUCACAAAAUAUUUUUAGAUCUCAAUACACCCAAUGCUAGCUAGCUGCCAAAAAGCAUAAGCUAGUCCACCGUGAUACUCCAACUGCUCCAUGAAUUGGUUAUUCCUAAACGAGUCAUAAGGGUAUAACGAACAUACCCUGUCUCCACAUUGGAUCAAGAACAGAAUCAGAAGGAUCAAAAACCACUAAUUCAUACAAAGCCAUCGAACCGGCCCAACCAGCAACCAGAGUUGUAUGCAUAGAGUGGAUUCGAAACGAGGUAGUGAAUGAGUCAACCGAAACUGUAACUAUGGAGAAGCAACUAAAAUGCAAGUAUUAUCUUUUUUGAUAAGGUAUGUAAAACUCAUUGAUAACAAGAAGGCCAGCUUGGCAGUAUACAAGAGGUAUACCAAAAAUAUAGAAGCAAAUCACAUAAAUAUACACUUUAAGAGUUAAUAUUACAAAAACUAUCCAUAGUUUCUAUUUUACAAAAUAUAACAAUAGAAAUAUAACAAAAUCUACCAAAUAAGGCAAAAGAAAAAAUAAAAGACAAUAAAUAAAAUAGCAUGAUUUAAGGGGGCAACUUAAUAGUUGAUGUUUUACCCUGCAAAUUCUCCUAUAUUGUUUUUCAUCAAUUUUUUUUAAAAAAUAAUAAAUAAGGCAAACGAAAAAACAUUGCAUUUAUUUGAUAUUUGUUUUAUGUUUUCAAGUUUAAUUUAUUUAAUUCAAUUGACCUUAAUUUUUAAUAUUUUUUAGGAGAAAACAUCAUUAAUGGUAGUAAAUUCUCCGGUUGAUUCAAACUACAUCCUAUACAAAUUUUAUACACCAUAAAAUUAUUGAUACACCUAUUUUUAUAUACACUUAUUUCUAUAUCGAUCAAACACCAUAAAAAUAGAUCAAUUUCUAUACAUAUUAGACACCAUAAAAUUAUGAGAAAAUGGCCAAAAGACCCCCCAACCUUUACCCCAAAUUUCAAUUACACACUUAUACUUUGCGGGUGUCCUAUGACCCCCUGAACUAUUUAAAAAUGGAAUAUAUGCCCGUCUAAAAACUCAUACCCAGAUUUGUACAAUCGAGUGAGCUGCACGCGCCUAUCAGCUAAUACCACGUAAUAUUGUUAUUUUUUUGAUAUAAAAAAAUAUUUUUAUCCUACUUUUUCCUUAUUUUUUCGAGGCCCAUUUAAAUGGUCUUCUCAAUGGAAAAAACUUCAAUCCAUGGAACCCAGAACUUCAAUUCACUCUCACAUGAAGAAUCAGAAGAAGAUGGUGAUUUCAUCUACCUUCAAUUAACCCUCAAUAAAAUCCCACCCAAACAACUCACUAUCUCUCACAAAAUCACCCUUGCCACAACUCAAAAUCCAUUCUUGAUGCUAAAACAGACAAUUUCAACAAAUCCACAACUCAAAAUCCAAUCUUGAUGCUAAAACAGACAAAAUUAAGAAACCCCACAACUCAAAAAUCAAUCUUGAUGCUGAAACAGUGCAAAAAAAAAAAACUUAAAUAUGAAUAUUGAUUUUGAGAUAUAAUAUUGAUUUCAUGGCUUGAAAUCGUUUCACUUGAUUCGGAAUCCUCAUGAGACAUAAUUUUUUGAACUAAUUCCCACUUUUUCUCAGAAAUUACCCUAAGAAUCGCUUUAAUCUUUUCAAAUUUCUGAGAAUUGUGAGAUGAAUAUGUGUGUAAUUGUUUAUGGGAUUGGUGCGUAUCACUGAUAUAUUCAUUUUGGAACUGGUCCGAUGGCCGGACAAGCUCCACCGGCGGCUGUGAAGCCAUUCCGGCGGAAACACUUGGAAUUAUUUAUCCUCAUUCACAAGAAGGAGAAAUUAGUUGGUCUAAAAAUGAUAAUUAAAAAAAUAAUGAUGAAAAAAGUGUUGGGCUUGUGGUAUAAAUGAAAAUGGAGAUAAAAAAAUGAAGAUGGAGAUGAGAAAGAUGAAGAUGGUGAAGGAAGAUGAAAAUGGAGAGAAGGAGAGGAAUAAAGGAAUAAAAUAAAUAAAGAAAAAAAGAAUCUAUAUAUAUAUAUAUAUAUAUAUAUAUAUAUAUAUAGUCAAAUAUUAAAUCUGCUACUCACAAUUUCAAAACAAUAUCUAGUGGAUGCUCAUUCUCUCAAGGAGAGUGAGAUUCACUCGCAUUGCCACGUAAGCAUUUAGGGAGGUAAUAAUAUCAUUUUUAAAUAGUUCAUAGGGGUGAUAGGACCCCCGUGAAGUAUAGGUGCGUAGUUGGGAUUUGAGGUAAAGGUUGGGGGACUUUUGACCAUUUUCUCUAAAAUUAUUGAUACACCUAUUUCUAAAGAGUUUGAACACUAUAAAAUUAUUGAUACACCAAGACACCUUAAAAUAAAAUUGAUGAUAUACCAAUCUCUAUAUAAUAAUUCAAACACCAUAAAAUUAUCAAUAUAUCAAUUUCUAACUAUUUCAAAAAUCAUAAAAUUAUUGAUACACCAAUUUUUAUACUUUUCAGACGCCAUAAAGCUGUUGAUACACCAAUUUCUAUACAAUUCAGACACCAUAAAACUAAUAAUACACCAAUUUCUAUACAAUGCAUACACCAAUUUCUAAACAAUUCAUACUGAUACACCAAUUUCUAUACUGCACCAUAAAAUAACCGCUGACAGUAUGGCUGGGCAUAUUUUGGUUUAAACUGAAAAAACCAAAAAAUCGAAUCGAAAUUUAAUUUUGGUUUGGUUUUUCGAAUUGGUUUCGGUUUCAAAUUUUAGAAAUUUGGUUGAACGGUUUGGUUUUUGGAUUUACAAAAAAGAGAAUUCGGAUAAACCGAAAAACCGAAAUUAUAUAAAUAAUAUAUUACAAUAUAUAUAAUUUAAUAUAUAUGUAAAUAUACUAAAAAUAUAAUAUAAUCUGAUAUAAUAUAUAAAUAUAUAAAUUAUAAUCAUUUAGUAACCCUAAAUCCUAAUAUACUGCUUUGCUUUACACCUUAACAUUAACAUGAAGGCUGCAACAACUCUCAACCAUCCUCAGUUCGUCAAUUCAUUUGAAAUUUCAACAUCGUCAACAACAGUCGUUUGUUCAGUUCGUCACUGCCAUCGGCAGUCGCUGCCGAGUGCGAUCACUGCCGUCACGCCAACGGCGAUGACUCAGUGAGGUCGAUAUUUAUAGUUAUUUCAUGCAUGUUGAAUUAAUUAUAUUUGGGAAUGAAAAUUAGGUUUGAAAAAAAAGAUUAUUUUUCUAGAAAAAUCAUCAACUUUAAAUACUCACUACUUUAAUCUUUAAAACCGAAAUAAAAAUUCGAAAUAACCGAACUGAAUUUGUAAAAACCGAACCAAACUGAAAUAAUUUUGGUUUGGUUAUGGUUUUCAUUUUCGUCAAUCCGAAAAUCGAACCGAUAUUCAAUAAUCAAAUCGAACAAACCGAAUGUCCACCCCUAGCUGACAGUCAAGAUACUCAAGGAAACUUUCAGCAGUAUGCUUAUCAUAAGACUAAUGGUAGCAAUUGGAUUAGAGUUUGGAAGAUCCCUUCAAAGCCAUGUAUGGUGAAUGCUAUUUGUGGGGCUUAUGAGCCAUGUUUGGAAGAUCCUUCAAAUACCCUUUUAAUUGGGUUUUUCAAUCAAGAAAGAAGAGAGGAGAUAAAAAAGGAAGAAGAAAAGGGGUUUUUGGAUUAAAUUUUUUACACACACAAAAAAAAAAUGAAUAUUUGGUAGAUUUUGUAAAUAAAAAUUAGAUUUUAUAAAUAAAAAAAAAGUAGUGAUAGAUUUUGUAAUAUUUACUCUUAGAGCGUAUAUCUAUGUGACUUUUCCUAAAUGAUAAUAAAAUAUGAAAAUAUAGAAUACAAAAGACACUGAUUCAGGGGCUUAUCUAGGUGGGCAUUACCAGAUUCAUGUGAACUCAUGUUUUCCACCUUAGAUCAUAUGUAGUGAUGUUAUAUUCUUUUAAAAAUAUUUAAAUAUAGAUGAAUGAAGCCACGCUUGACGUAUUUUCUUAAUAGUACAUCCACCCUCUCAAAAUCCUGCAUACGCCCCUGCGCACAUUCCUGUAUACAAACAUGAACUACAUGGGUGCACCAAAAGAAAAUAAGAGAUCGAAUACUACUAGUCAAUCGAGCAAAGCUCGUAUACACCCCUUCAAACCAUGCCUUUUGCGAUCUUCUUCUAGCUCCACUCCUUCAACUGAACAUGAACUAAGAAACGUUAAAUCAAAUGAAGAUAUCCGCCAAUAACCUCAUGGUUAAUUUAGGCGCAAUAUAUAAACAUGCCCUUUAACUUGGCCUCAGAUCACAUCUACGACCUUCAACUUUGGGUGUGCACAUGCAGACACUUAAACUUGUAUGAAGUUUUAACAAGUAGACACAUAUGUCCUAUGUGGAGUCUUACGUGGCCAGUUCUUGUCCCACAUGACAUCCUACAUGUAUUAUGUUACAUUGGACGUGUAUAUCUAUUCGUUCAACUUUAUACAAGUUUAAGUAUCUGCUGGUGCACACCUAAAGUUGGAGGUCAUAGAUGUGAUUUGAGGCCAAGUUAAAGGCUUGUUUAUGUAUAAUGCCGUUUGCAAAUGAUAUAGAAAUGACAUUCGAUAAGAUCAGGUUGCGCCUGAGUGUAGUUUACUACGAUAUCUAGGCUCGAUCUUCUAGGAGAACGACAUGACAUUUACCUCUCAAACGGAGUAGAGCUUUAUAAUCUGAUCGAUUUUUACUCGACAGAUGGGGCAUUCCCCUUUCUUGGAUUUGAUCUGGUUCAAACACUGGAUGCAGCCAACCAUGUGACCACAAGGUACACAGGCUCCUUCAACUGAACCUUCCCAACAUAUUAUACACAAUGCAGGUUCAUGUUCAUGUUCAUGUUCAUUUUCCUUUUGAGUCGUAACAGAAGCUGUUUUUUGAUCCACAUGAGGAUUCAACAGGUGCAAUGGGCUAAGAUCUAUGGCCGGAUAACAAACAGUUUCUUCGUGUACAACCUCUUCUGGAAGUGGUGGAGCUGAAGGGGACGCAAAAUCAAAAGCAGGAUUGUUGCCUUCUCGAGUUUCAGCAUUUUCAACCAGAUAGACAAUCGGUCUAAACUCAGAUGCAUUGUCUGCAUUAGCCAUUGAUUCACGGCUAGUUACACCUGGGGAUUCUGUUUUGUCCUUUGCGGUGUGUCCCCAUCCUUGAUAAUGAACUUUAUCCGAGGCAUCUCUAUGUCCCUGCCGAGGCUCAGGCAUGCCCCAUCCAUUGUACUGUUCUACAGCAGGCUCGGCAUUCCAUCCGCUGCAGCUUAGUUCAGAAGAUGUGGAUUUAGGAAGCGAUUGCUGCUGUCGUUGACUGGAUACAUCUGCGUUACUUCCCCAUCCAUUUUCUUGGACCUUAGUUCUGUCACCCGUCCAAUUGUAGUUAGUAAUUUCACAUGUAGGCUCGGAUCUGACAAGUGAACCCCAUCCGUUGUAGGCAGAAUCAUCGGUGUCAUCACACCAGUCAUUUCCAUUUUUCACACCGGAGCUUUGUCCGUGAUGAUGUAAAAUCUUAUUUUCUUUAGCAGAAUGAAUGGAAGAGUUGAUUCCAAUUGCUAAUUCCAUUGCUUGUGCAGCAGUUUCAGAUUGUGGCACUGUGGUUCGGGUUUUCUGUGGUAAGCGACGAGGCGUGACCUGAAAUGCGAACAUGUCAAGCCCCAGAGGUGGUUCUACUAUACUAUGAUAUAUACCUUAUUUGUACCCUCCGUUAUACUUUGGGAUCAUUGAUACCGUUGUCAUUAGCAAAUCACCGUAUAAAGUCCAGAGCAAAUAUGAGACGAUUUGCUAACAGCAAGGGUACGGAUGGUUCCAAAGUAUAACAGAUGGUAAAAUUACGGUAUUCCGUAUAUUAGAGGAAUAAAUUUGGAUCUUUUCCCCUAUGCGCGGGGUUCGGGGAAGGGCUGGACCACAAGGGUCUAUUUUACGCAGCCUUACCCUGCAUUUGUGCAAGAGGCUGUUUCCACGGCUUGAACCUGUGACCUAAUGGUCACAUGGCAGCAACUUUACCGGCUACUCCAAGGCUCCCCUUCAGGCAUAAUGCACGUGUUUCAAACACAACUUGUGUAAUAUCGCAAGGUACAAACUCAUCCGACGAACAAACAACAGAUACAGAAUUGGUAAAAAAGUAUGAUUCAGUCUGAGUUGGUAAUAACCUCAAUUGCAGCAAUACAUGCUCUGUGCAACAACUGAAGCUGUUGUUGCUCGGAAUCGCUCACUGAUGUAAAGUUAUAUCGAGUAUCUGAUACGAAAGCAGCAAAAUCAAAGAACUAUUAUAAAGUCUAUUCUGUAAAGACGCGUUUCAGGAAAAGAGUAUUACUACUGGUCUUGUCGAAAAUUGUCAGCACAGGAUCUGAUCGUUGCCACCUUAGAUCCUCAACAUUAGCCUUCCAUAAGGCGAUAACAUUACGAGGCUGGGCAUCCUGUUCAACGGAACAUCAUUUCAGUAAAUUCUCCAAUUUCAUAGUAAGGAGAGAAGAAGUAUCACGAGUCCAUUGAAUUGUCAACCAACUCUAACUAGUUUGGUUUUGAGCAUCGUUGUUGUUGCUGCUUUAUUGAAGUUUCAACCAAGCACAGAGAACCAUGUAUAGAGAAGAAGGAUAACUCGACCACAGCAUAUACCGAGGAGCUGGCUCAUAUACGGCUUAUGCUUAAACCUCACAUAGAUAUAGUAUACCUACAUUUACGUCCAGUUUUCAUACCUACUCCUCGCUGGCAUACAUCAUUAUCAAGAAUUCUCUAAAGAUGCUGCGAGCUAAACGACAGGUACCUCACAACAUUGCCAGAAGAGUUUUCAUAGAAGUGUUUAUUUACCUGUAAGGAUGAGUAUAUCGCCAGCUCCAAUUUAAGAGGCUUCGCAGGAUCAGCUAUACUGCAAGGUACGACUACAACCCAACUGCAUUUUAUAAUCAUUUGUCAGCAAAUAUGCGAGACAGCUUACAACAACAACAACAACUACGCUUAGGGUGUGUUUGGUAUAACGGAAACUGUUUUACUGUAUUUCUGGUAUUUGGUAAAUAUGCAGGAAAUAUAGUCUCAAAGCAUUUGUACAAGUCUGGCGAACACUAUUGAGGUUGACGUGGGGGAUGUGUUGGAGGGCGGAAUUAGACAGUUAGUAUGGAAGGUCACUUAUGCAACCUAUUUUCCCUAUUUCCACUAUGUACAACCGAACAUGAGAAAAUUGGAAAAUAUUUCCAUACCAAACACAACCUUAGUCCCAAACAGGUUAAACAAGACUGCUUACAUAUGUCUAUUUCAACAGCCUUCGGCAGAACAAAAGUUUUGAAACUUGAAACAUUACAACAACAACAACAACAAUUGGAGUAUAGAGGUUGUUUCCGAUAGACCCCAAAACUUGUAGCAUUAUAUACAGAAAAGAAUUCAAAGCACAGACAAGGGGUACUUAUAAGAAAAGACAAGUCGGAAUCAUACUGACAUCUUCCUAGAUAACAAUUGAGGAGCUAAAGCUUCAAGAAUUCCUCGACCAUAGAACUCCCUCAUCCAGCCGGAGAAAAUGCAGAUUUGUCUCUGCAAGUGAAAGCAAUACCAGAAUAAAUGAAUUUACGAACAUACAAUCCAAGUCAAGAAGGGGGAGAACGUACAAAAAUCUUGAAACUAAUAUCAAGUACACCUCAAUAGUACGAACGACAUUGCUAAAACCCUUUGCUCGAGCAACUUCAAGUGGAGUUUGGCAACCAUCGUUCUUGAUCAAUGGAUUUGCUGGUAAAUUAGUUGCAUAGUAAGUUAGAUACAUACAUUAAGCGGCUGAUAACUAUGCAAAAAUGACAAUCGCUCCAUCCCAAUUUAUGUGAAGGUAUUUGAUGGUUGCGUAGUUUAAGAAAGAAAAAAUUGCUUUUGAAACUUAUGGUCUAAAAUACAACAACAACACACCCAGUGUAUUCCCAUAUAGUGGGGUCUGGGGAGGGUAAAAUGUACGCAGUCCAUACCACUACCUCGGAAGAAGUAGAGAGGUUGUUUCCGAUAGACCCCAGCUCAGGACAAAGAGAUGGUAAACAAUGUCGUAAUAAAACAUGAAACAAGAUGAAAAAACAGAAAUAAGACACUCACAAAGUAGUACUACGCACUAUCGAACCAAAAGGACACAAUUCAGCCAAAAUCUCCUAACUAGAAGCUCCAACCUAUGUACAAAGCCCUACGACUACUAGUCAGGCUACACUAAAGCACUCCUAUCUACUGGCUACAAACUCACCCACAUGCACUAGUCCUCUAACCUAAUUCGCAUCCUCCAUACCUUCCUAUCUAGGGUCAUGUCCUCAAUAAACUUUAAAAUAAACCAAAUAUACUUGUGUGACUAUGAAUCAUCUCACUAAGGGUAAAUCAACAUUUUAAGUUAAAUUGUACAAAAUAUAGAAAGAUGUCGUUCUUCUGGGACCGACCGAAAAGGAAAGACUCUCGCAUAAAUUGAGACGGAGGUAGUACUAGAUCAUCGAGAAAUGCAGUCUGGAUCGAUCUAUAGAGCAAAGCCAGAAAGCAUGUUCACUCUGCAAAGCUAUAAAUAUGUACCUCCAUAGGAAAGAAGUAACUGAACGUUAUCAUCCAGACCUCUCUUAGCUGCGUGAUGCAGUGCAGUUCCAGCACCAUAUCCUGAAGAAAAUUAGUAAUCGGAAUGAUGAUUAUCGUAAUAACUAAAGCAGAUUACAACAAAGUAAUGAAGGUCGUGACACUUAAAGCCUACUGACUUAAAAUCCAGGAGCCGCCUCUAGUGACAAGUUGGGCGAGAAAGGGAUACCUGGCCGGUAAGCAUUGACAUUAGCACCGAGCUCAAGCAAAGUUUUUGCAACAUUCAAGCCAUUCGGCUUCAUGCACGCUACAAUCAAUGGUGUCUUUCCUUCUUUGUCGGUCCACUGAUUCAAAGGGGGCACACAAUUACAUUUAGUAUAUACAGAUAACUCAUGUAACCUCCUAAACAGCGAAGCUCUUUUAUGUUCACCAAAACCGGAGUUGAUGUAGAGCUAAACUUUUCAAGUAAAUUGGCGCAUAGAACUUGUAUACUACAGACUUGCACCAGUUAAAAGAUCACUUAUAACACCUCCUAAAAGUUGAAUUUUUUGUAUAUUUACCAAAAGUGUAUUGCUAUAGAGUUAUAUUCUUCCAGUAAAUCGGGUACAUGGGUGAAUAUGUAUGACUACGGACUUAAAACGGCAGCUCGGUGCACUAAAGCUCCCGCUAUGCGCACGGUCUGGGAAGGGCCCCACUACAAGGGUGUAUUGUACUCAACCUUAUCUUGCAUUUCUAUCAUCAGAGGAUGUUUCCAAAGCUUGAACCCGUGACCUCUUGGUCACAUGGCAACAACUUUACCAGUUACUCCAAGGCUCCCCUUCCAAAAGGAGGGAUGCAACACGAGGACUUCUCAGGGGGUCACCCAUCCUAGUACUACUCUCACCCAAGCACGCUUAACUUCGGAGUUCUGAUGGGAUCUGGUAUGUUAGUGCUGGUAUGAUCGUAUCAUCUCCGAAAAGAUGUUUGUAUAUUCACCUAAAUUUAGAACUUAGUUAUUAGCACUUGAAAUCGUCGUUGCAAAAUUAAGAACUAGUAAAGCUGAAAGCUCCACCUAUGUGCACCAGUGACAAAACUUAAUGUCAUAUCCUAAAAGUUGAAUCUUUUUCAUAUUCACCAAAAAGGAUGUUAAUAAAUAGUUAAAUUCUUCUGUAAAUUGGCAGCAUUUGUAUACCUCCUAACUUUCACCAGUUAAAUUACUUACGAUAUCUCCAAAAAUAACAACAACAACAACGACAACAUACACAGUAUAUUCCCACAAAAUGGGGUCUGGGGAGGGUAAAGUGUACGCAGUCCAUACCGCUACCUCGGAUGAAUUAGAGAGACUGUUUUCGAUAGACCCCUGGCAUAUCUCCAAAAAUAAAUAGGAUCUUAUUCAAGUUUAACCAAAAGGGUGUUGAUAAAAAGCUCAAAUUCUCAAGUAAAUUGUGGUUCAUAAUUGAGUUUAUAUACUUCAAGAAUUGCACCAGUGACAAAAAAUACUCAUGACAUCUACUAAACAUUGAAUUUUUUUCAUAUUUACCAAAAUGGGUGUUGAUAAAAAGCUAAAAUUUUCAAGAUAAUUGGGUACAUGAGCAAACUUAUGUUUUUUAUUUUUAUUUUUGGUUUUCCAACCAGUGUCCGGUAACCAUAUCGGAGCCCAAAUAAAUCCGAAUUAGCACCGGGAAGUGCCACAUUAGGGGAAAAGCGCUCUCUAACAAAGGUAACUCCAUACCCAGGGGAAUCGAACCUAAGACCUCUGGCAAACUUAUAUACCUAUACUUCAAGACUUGCACUAUUGAAAAAAACACUCAUGGUACCUUCCAAAGAUUGAACAUUUUUCAUAUUCACCAAAAAGGGUAAAAGGGCAGCCUGGAGCACUAAAGCUCCCGCUAUGCGCAAGGUUCACGGAAAGGUUCUACCACAACGGUGUAUUGUACGCAGCCUUACCUUGCAUUUCUGCCAGAGGCUAUUUUCAAGGCUUGAACCCGUGACCUCCUAGUUAUAUGACAAGAACUUUAUCAGUUACUUCAAGGCUCCCCUUCAUAUUCACCAAAAAGGCUGUCAGACAAAAAGUUACUUUUGUCCAGGUGCACGGAAGCUAGCCUAUACACCAGGAUUAUCGUAAAAAAAAAAGGGCUAAAUUAUUCAAGAAAAUUUUUAUACAUAGGUGACAAUAUAUAUACCUCAAGACUUGCACUAUUGAAAAAAUCACUAAUGGUAUCUUCCAAUGAUUAAAUCUUAAUUUUCAUACUCACCAAAAAGGGUGUCAGACAAAAACUAAUUUAGUCUAGGUACGCGAAAGCUGGCCUAAACACCGCUACCACAACAACAACGACAACAUCGCCAGUGUAUUCCCACAAAAUGGGAUCUGGGGUAAAGUGUACGCAGUCCAUACCACUAUCUCCUAUGAAGUAGAGAGGUUGUUUCCGAUAGACCCCGGCUCAGGAUAGAUAACAGUAUAGCAAACAAAAACAAAAAAAGCAAACAACAAAAAUGGAUAUCACACUGCCAUAUAAUAAAGGAAACAAAACAGGACGAAAACAACAACAACAUACCUAGUGUAUUCCCACAAAGUGGGAUUCAGAGGUAAAGUGUACGCAGUCUAUACCACUACCUCACCUCAGAUGAAGUAGAAAAGUUGUUUCUGAUAGACCCCCGGUUCAGAACAGAUAACAGGAUAACAAACAAAAAUAUAAAAGCAAACAAUAAAAAGGGAUAUCACACCGCCAGAUAAUAGGAAACAAGACACACAAGGAGGCUGUUUCCGGUAGAUGCCCGGCUCAGGACAUAUAAAGUAUAGCAAGCAAAAACAUAAAAGCAAGCAAUAAAAAGAGAUAUUACACUGCCGGAUAAUAAAAGAAACAAGACACCCACAAGGAGGCUGUUUCCGAUAGACCCCCGGCUCGGAACAGGUAACAAUAUAGCAAACAAAAACAUAAAAGCAAAUAACAAAAAGGGAUGUCACACGCCAAAUAAUAAAGGAAACAAGACACCCACAAGUUCAUACUACUGGUCUAGACACCACGAUUAUCGAAAAAAAACAAAAAUAAAAGCUAAAUUAUUCAAUAAAUUUUUUUUACAUAGGUUAAAAAUUUUAUAUACCUCAAGACUGGCACCAUUAUUAUGAAUAGCUUUGAUAGCUUCAACAUUUCCUUCAAUGACUUGUUGAUACAGUAACUCAUCUUUUGAUUGUUGUUGCCCCAUUAAUCAAUAAUUGCUAAACAUUUCACUUCAAAUGUUAGAUUUUUUUCUUAUAACAAAAUGUUCCGGCUAACUGACGCGCACCUCGACUAAUUAUAUGUAAGAUUUUAUGUGCAAUCAUUUGUAUACAUGUGGCAUAAUUUGAACUCCCUGCCGCUGAUAAACCAAAUCAAGUCUGUCCAAUUGGGAAUAUUUGUGGAUAGUAAUUUUUCUCCCAAUUUUUUUAAUAAUAAUAAUAAUAAUAAUAAUAAUAAUAAUAAUAAUCUUGGUACAAAAUUUAACUUGCAAAACACAUAGAUUAAAUGGAAAAAGGUUUGAAAUAUACCUAAACUUUGACGAAAUAUAUUGUAACGUGCCUCAACUUUGCGGGGUCCUAUGACCCUCUUGACUAUUUAUUAUCAUAUUUCUGUGGCAGAUUUUGCCCAGCUGAACUACUGCAUGAACACACGUACACUGAGCAUGUAAGGAUUUGAAGUGAUCUAGCUAGACAAAUAUAUAUCACAGAAAUACGAUAAUAAAUAGUCGAGGGGGUCAUAGGACCUCGGCAAAGUUGAGGCGUGUUACAGCAAAUUUCGCUAAAGUAUAGGUAUAUUUCUGACUAUUUCCCUAAAUAAAAUCUUAACUUGGUUUCAACCGUCAAUCAUACACUUUAAUUUUGAGAAUGCACAUGUAGAUAUUUCAAAUCGUCUUUAUCAUGUUAGUUGAACGUUCUGACUUAAAAAAUGAUUGUGUUAGACACCUUUAAAAUAUAUGUGUUACGUUAGCGUAGAAUAUCCAUGAGACACAAUGAGAACAAGUUGAGGAGUCAAAAUAUAAAGUAUCCUUGAACAACUAAGUCAACCUCUAAUCUUAUGUUCGAGAUUCAAUAUAUACAGUGGCGGAGCCACCUUAUGAUUAGGGGGUUCAUCCGAACUCCCUUCGAUGGAAAAUUAUACUAGUUAUAUAUGAUUAAAAUUAUUUUUUUAUGUAUAUAUCAUUGAUAUUGAACUCCCUUCGGCUAGUUCAUGUGCCUAUUUCUUUUGAUUUUGAACCCCUUAGUGAAAAUUCUGGCUCCGCCAUGAUAUAUAUAUAUAUAUACAUGUGUGUACAUAUACAUAUACACACACAUCACCCUCCAAUAAACCUCAUCUUUAUCGCACUCUUGUAGCCUUCAUCCGCAUUGCCUCAUAUUUUUAGGAUAAUAUUUUUCGCAUAUAUACCACACAUAAGAAAAUAAUCAGCAUGGAAUAAUAAUUUAAAUUAGAGUAGAAAACCAAAUUUAUUUAAACCAAGUCUCAAUAAUGAAACGAAUCCCUUCGCUCCUUUUUACUUUGUCACUUUUCAUUUUUUCGAUUGUCAAACAGUAUGAACGUACCUAAUAAGUUGUUUUAGCGUUUUUCGUUUUGUUUCUGAAUAAGUAAUGUUUCACAUAGUCAAAAAACAUUAAUGACAUUAUUCCAGUUUUACCCUUCUUUAGAUGAAGAGAAUUUUACCUAAUCAAGAAACGUCUCCUUUUCACUUGUCACAUUUCGUUUCUUGAUUGUCAAACUGCAUGAACUUCAAUUUUAAAAUCUACUAUUUCAUUAUAUUAAUUGUAAUAUUUCAUGAUUGCUAAUUAAUGACUAAUUAGUAUAAAUUAAUAUCUCACAAAGUACAUAUAUAAAUUAUAAUCACAACUACUAGCUAUUACAACAUUAUAUUCAUAUACUACAAAAUGACCUUGAUCAUUAUACCUUGUAAUUUUCACCUAAUUCAUAAAAUUUCUUAAAAGGCGAGUAAUUUAACUCUUCAAUUCUUGAUUUAUUUUAUUUUAAUGAGGUUGAUAAGGUUUGAGAAGUUGAAUUAGAGAAAAUAUGUAAUAACAAUUAAGCUGCAUAUAUAUAAUAUAUAAUAUAUGGUUCAUGAUCGCAAAUUAAAUGACUAAUUAGUAUAAAUUAAUAUCUCACAAAGUACAUAUAUAUAUAAAUUAUAAUCACAACUACUAGCUAUUACAACAUUCAUAUACUACAAAAUGGCCUUGAUCUACAUGACAAGUGUAAGUCGAUCGAGCCAUUAAAAUUUAUUUGUUCGUAUAUUUUUAUUAUUAUACCUUGUAAUUUUCACCUAAUUCAUAGAAAGGCGAGUAAUUUCUCUCUUCAAUUCUCGAUUUAUUUUAUUUUAAUCAGGUAGAUAAGGUUUGAGGAGUUGAAUUAGGGAUCCUUUAAGGUGAAGUGACAUAACUUCAUUUGUUGAUCCAACUAAUUUCCCUCCAAUAAAUACUGCUGGCACUGACGCAUUACAACCCAUUCUCAUAAGAGCCUUUUCCAUAUCCUUUCCAUCAUUAUCGUGAUCGAGUUCAUGUACGUAAGGAUCAACACCGAGAUCGCGAAAUAAUAUAGUGACCGCGUAACAUAAACAACACGUGCUCUUGCUAAAGAUCACGACCCCGUGCUCUGAUGCCAUUCUUUGUACCUUAUCCAUUUCAGGUCGUGAAAGAAUCGCCUUAUGCCCUUGGAGUAACAACAAUGUCUAGUAGUACAAGAUGAAAUUAGGGUUUUAUUGCCUCUGGGUGGAAUCAGACUGUUUGUACGAUAUAAAAUUAGGGUUUUAUCACCUCUGAGUGGAAUCAGACUGUCUGUACGAUAAAAUUAGGGUUUUAUCGCCUCUGGUUGGAAUCAGACUGUCCCACUCUCAAUUGCUAUAUUAUGUUGGUUGCCUUGUUAAGCUUUUAGGUAGUAUACACCUUCUCAAAGCUUUAGUGGCUAGAAGACAGAUUGGUACGAGUUACACUUGAUAUUCAGGUAUUUGGAAACUUAUCAAAAAAUAGGGUUAAAUGAAGGUACGCUUUAGUAUACCAUCGGAUCUAAGUUCAACAGAAAAUGAACAUCGAUCCGAUGGUUAAUAAGAAGUGAUGAAGGAAGAAGCAAAUAGAAAGAAAAAAAAACUUGAGAAAUAUUAGGGUUAAUUUUUAGUUUUUUUUAGAGGUUGCUUGGAAAUGUAGGGAUUUCAUGGCCACACUAUUUAUAAUACAAGGAAAAAAAAAUGGAACAAUCUAAAAAUGAAAGUGGAAUUCUCUGACUAAAUUGUAAAGAUUCAAAAGAUGGUGUGCUUUAUUUAGAUGCUCCAAAAAUUGGACUACAGCUCUACUAAAAAGAAUUUUAUUUUAAUAAAUAAAUCAAAAAGAAGAAAGGAAUUUUAAUAAACAAAUAAAUAAAUAAAAAGAAGAAGAAGAGAAUUUUAAUUUUUAAUAAAUAAAAAAACAAAAAAGUAGAUACUAUUUCAUUCCACAAACUUUGAGCAAGUUGUAGGAUAGUACAUAUAUUCUAUUUAUUUAGUCAUGCACUUUUUGAAUAGAAUCUUUUUGGUGGAAAAGUCUUAUUUGAACCACCUAGAAAUAUAUACCUAUAUGCACAUUCCAUAUAGUUAGCAUUUAUUAUUUUUUAUGUAAAAAAUUUAGUAUCUUUGAAUUAUGACGAGAUUUAUUAAGAUACACUCCAUAAUUUCACAAGUGUUUUAUUAUUUUUGAACUAAAUUUUAGUAUAUUUUUAUCAACCUUUUCAGCUGAUGUGAUACCUUUUGUCAACCUUUUUAGCUGACGUGACACCUUUGACGUGAGUCUCAUUUUAUGUAAAUAAAGGUGUCAUGUCAGCACAAAAAAAUGACAAAAAUAUGUUAAAAUUAAGUUCAGGGGUAAUAGAAUCCUUGUAAAGUUGGAGUGUAUCGUAGCAACUUUGGUCAUAGUUUCGAGGGAUACUGAAUGCUUAUCUCUUAUUUUUUUUUGGUACAUAGUUAUAUAUUUUUAUAACAAUCAUCUUUUAUAAUAACAUAUUAUUACACACUAUUUCAUUCUACUUCUUAUUUGGAAUUGCUAUAUUUGGUCUUUCGAAAAUAGUCUCUCUACCUCCAUGAAAUAGUGAUAAGAUUUCACGGGGUAUUUUAUUAUUGUUGAUUAAGUUUUCCUUCAAACCGACAAUUCAUUAUGUUGUAUUAUAUAUUCUUUAUAAUAACGUUUCACUAUAAUAACAAAAAAAAAAAUAUCCAUAAAAUGAAACUGUACUAUUAUUAUAGAAAGAUUCGAGCAUAACAAAUAACCUGUUAUUUUUCCUAAGUUAAUUACUAUUUCCUCCGUUCAUUUUACGUGACACACUUAUAUUUUUAAUUCAUCCCCAAAAAAAACGUCACCUUACUCUAAUUAAAAAACAAAGUUUACUUUAUAUUAAGUAUGCAUGUUAAAAUAAUUAAUUAGACUAAUGAUUAUCCAUAAUUAGUAAUUAAUUCCUUACUAUAAAAAGUUCUCUAGACAACGUGGACAUAAAACUAGCCGUGGAAGAUUAAACUUUAUUAUAAAAAUUUUAUUCUUGAAGAAUGAAGAUGCAUUACAAUAAUUAUUUAUUUAUAUACAAUAUAAUGCAUGUGUAGUCAAUUUUUUGAGAUUCUUUUCCAAUAUUCUUGGAUUAUAUUCUUUGCUCGAAUAUUUAGCAAAGAAUUGAAAAGUUUUUUGGUGGCUUUUAUUCUUUUUCUUUGUGUCCAUUUCCAACUUUAAGUUAUAUUCUUCACACACUAAAUUUUAUCAAUGGUGGUACACUUGUACACAACGGAGAAGUCAGAAAUUUCGUUAAGAAUAUUUAAAAUUUAAUAUAUAUGUGAAGAAAAAGUUUAAAAUAUAUCUAAAUUUUAAUGAAAUUUAUUGUAACAUGUCCCAACUUUGCAGGGUCCUAUAACCCCCUAGAUUAUUUUUUAUCGUAUUUCUGUGACAUAUAUUUGUUAGUUGGACCACUGCAUGAAUACACGCAUACUAAGCGUGUUAGGGUCUCAAAUGAUUCAGUUAAUUAAAUAAAUGGCAGAGAAGUACAGAAAAAAACAAUUUAUGGGGGUCAUACGACUCCCGCAAAGUUGAGGAGUGUCACAACCAAUUUUGCCAAAGGUUAAAUAUAUUUCGGACUUUUUUUCCAUAUACAUGUAUGAAAAUAUACUUUAUUUAAUUUUCUAUAUGUGCGGUAUAAUAUUUUAACGAAAGUUGUUCCACUGACCACCCUUAAUUGUAUAUGGCCGUACACGUGUACACGACAGUGAAAUUAGAAAUUUUGUCAAAAGUACAAAAAUUAAUAUAUAUGUAUGAAAAUAUACUUGAUAUAAUUUUCUAUAUAUACAAUAUAUAUUUUUAACAAAUGUUGUUCAACUGAUCAUCCUUAAUUGUAUAUGGCUAAGCCAAUGCUUAUAAAUAUUCUAGUAGUGUAUGUGUGAGGCAAAUGCAAGUUUUAGCCUAAUUUGGGGGGUGUAAAAUAUGUAUUCCUAAUCUUUCAUGUGAGUUAAAGGGGUUAAUUGACUAAUUAAUUAAUAUAUUGUCUUGCCUCGCCAUAUUCAGGGAGGUGACUUGGUGUAUGUUAUUUACUGAUGAUGUAGAGGUUAUUGACGAAAUUCGAGGAUGAGUUAAUGAUAAGUUGGAGGUUUGGAGACAGACCAUAGAGUCUAAAGGGUUUUGGUUGAGUAAGACCAAGACGGAGUACUUGGAGUAUAAGUUCAGUGAUUUGACGAUUUUACCUGUAGUCUAAGUGUUAUGAAUGUGUCUUGACGUAGUUUCUUAUUCGUGGUAUUUUAGGGAUGUUUGUGAUUUUGGAUAAGUAGUUCAUAGUAUUGCUCAGCGGAUAAGUAGUUUAUAAUAUUACAUAUUACACACACACACACACAUAUAUAUAUAUUAUUUGAUGAUGUUGUAGUGCUUAUUGACGAGAUUCAGGGAUGAGUUAAUGAUAAGUUGGAGGUUUGGAGACAGACUAUAGAGUCUAAAGGGCUUAGGUUAAGCAAGACUAAGAUGGAGUACUUAAAGUGUAAGUGAAGUGAUUUAACGAUUUUACCUGUAGUCUAAGUGUUAUGAAUGUAUCUUGUAAUUUCUUAUUCGUAGUGUUUUGGAGAUGUUUGUGGUAUUGGAUAAGUAGUUCAUAGUAUUACAUAUAUGUGUGUGUGUAUAUAUAUAUAUAUAUAUAUUUCUAUAAUAUUUGAUCGAUAUACAUUAUAUAACUUUCCGGUGAAAAGGUAUUCAACUGACCAUCCUUCAGCAUACGCAACUACGCGCCAUGUGAUCUCUCCAUCUUAGGGUGAUCUAAAGAUAGCAAUCAAAAGAAAAAUUUUCAAGAAAAAAUUAGUAUGUGCUGCAUGAAUAUUUUUAUGGUCAACAACAACAUACUGAGUGAAUUCUCAUAAGUGGGGUCAAUCUGCGGAGGGUAGAGUGUACGCAGACCUUACCACUACCUCAUGGAGGCAAGAGAAGUUGUUUCCAAGAGACCUCGAUCCAAGUGAAUAUUUUUAUGGUCACUUUACUAAAGUGAGUUGAGGGAUCAAAUAUAUAUGUCAAAGUUUACGGAGAAUAGAGUGUACGCAGAUCUUACCACUAUCUCGUGGAGCCAAGAGAGAUUAUUUUUGAGAAACCCACGGCCAUGAAUAUUCCUAUGGUCACUUUACUAAAGUGAGUUGAGGGAUCGAAUAUAUAUGUUAAGUUUGCAGAGGAUAGAAUGUACGCUGAUCUUACCACUACCUCGUGGGGGCAAGAGAGGCUGUUUCCGAGAGACCCUCGAUCUAAGUGAAUAUUUUUAUGGUCACUUUACUAAAGUGAGUUGAGGGAUCGAAUAUAUAUGUCAAGUUUGUGGAGGGGAGAGUAUACGCAAAUCUUAUCACUGCCUCGUGAAGCCAAGAGAGAUUGUUUCUAAGAGACCCUCGGCUAUGAAUAUUUCUAUGGUCACUUUACUAAUUAAGUGAGUUGAGGGAUCGGAUAUAUAUGUCAAGUUUGCGGAGGGUAGAGUGUACGCAGAUCUUACCACUACCUCGUGGUGACAAGAGAGGCUGUUUCCGAGAGACCCUCGAUCCAAGUGAAUAUUUUUAUGGUCACUUUACUAAAGUGAGUUGAGGGAUCAAAUAUAUAUGUCAAGUUUGUGGAGGGUAGAGUCUACGCAGAUCUCAUCACUACCUCGUGAAGCCAAGAGAGAUUGUUUCUAAGAGACCCUCGUCCAUGAAUAUUUCUAUGGUCACUUUACUAAAUUGAGUUGAGGGAUCGAAUAUAUAUGUCAAGUUUACGGAGGAUAGAAUAUACGCUGAUCUUACCACUACCUCAUGGGGGCAAGAGAGGCUGUUUCCGAGAGACCCUCGAUCCAAGUGAAUAUUUUUAUGGUCACUUUACUAAAGUGAGUUGAGGGAUCGAAUAUAUAUGUCAAGUUUGUGGAGGGUAGAGUAUACGCAAAUCUUAUCACUGCCUUGUGAAGCCAAGAGAGAUUGUUUCUAAGAGACCCUCGGCCAUGAAUAUUUCUAUGGUCACUUUACUAAAUUGAGUUGAGGGAUCGAAUAUACAUGUCAAGUUUGCGGAGGAUAGAAUGUACACAGAUCUUACCACUACCUCGUGGGGGCAAGAGAGGAUGUUUCCGAGAGACCAUCGAUCCAAGUGAAUAUUUUUAUGGUCACUUUACUAAAGUGAGUUGAGGGAUCGGAAUAUAUAUGUCAAGUUUGUGGAGGAUAGAGUAUACGCAGAUCUUAUCACUGCCUCGUGAAGCCAAGAGAGAUUGUUUCUAAGAGACCUCGGCCAUGAAUAUUUCUAUGGUCACUUUACUAAAGUGAGUUGAGGGAUCGGAUAUAUAUGUCAAGUUUGUGGAGGGUAGAGUAUACGCAGAUCUUAUCACUGCCUCGGGAAGCCAAGAGAGAUAGUUUCUAAGAGACCCUCGGCCAUGAAUAUUUCUAUGGUCACCUUACUAAAGUGAGUUGAGGGAUCGAAUAUAUAUGUCAAGUUUGUGGAGGAUAGAAUGUACGCAGAUCUUACCACUACCUCGUGGUGGCAAGAGAGGUUGUUUCCGAGAGAUCCUCGAUCCAAGUGAAUAUUUUUAUGGUCACUUUACUAAAGUGAGUUGAGGGAUCGAAUAUAUAUAUAAAGUUUGUGGAGGAUAGAGUAUACGCAGAUCUUAUCACUGCCUCGUGAAGCCAAGAGAGUCAAGUUGAGGUGGUAGAAUCUCUAAGAAAAAUAUGAGAUUCACCUUGCAAGAAAUGACAUUUGUUUAACUUAUGGAUAAGUUCUUAUUCAUCUUUAGAGCUUUGAUUCCAUGAAGAUGAUAAGUUCUUUUUAGCUUCUCAUGUCUAUUUUCUUUAUAUAUUCUUUUCCUUACUAUGUGGAGGAAAAGAUAAGAUAUUCCUUUCAGUGACGAAUUCAGAAUUUAAAGUCAUUUGGCUGUAAGAAGAGGAGGUCAAGCCACUCUAGCUACUUCAAUCNNNNNNNNNNNNNNNNNNNGACAGAUCUGAUAGGUGGAGAAUACAUUUAGCCGAUAAAACCAUUAGUUUAUUUCUCUAUUUAUUGGAUAUGGGACAAUUGGCACAUAAAUCGCCCCCGCUUGAGAACCAACGACCUCAUUGGUCACGACUAGCAUCCCUCUUGGGUCAAGGCCACCACUUCGAGUCGCGCCCCCUGCAUGGAACGGAUGACCUUGUUUGUCACGGCUGAGCUCAUUUGGUCACGACUGACAUCCCUCUUGGGUCCAGGUCACCACUCAUGUCACACAAGCCACCACUUCGAGUCGCGACCCCACGCAUGGAACCAACAACCUUGUUGGUCGGGGCUAGCACCCCUCUUGGGUCCAGGUCACCACUCUGAGUCGCACCCCCACGCAUGGAACCAACGACCUUGUUGGUCACGGCUAACACCCCUCUAACCAGGACAUCCUUCCACCCCUCUUGGGUCCAGGCCACCACUCGUGACACACAAACCACCACUUCGAGUCACGGCCCCACGCAUGGAACCAACUACCUUGUUGGUCACGGCCGGAACCCCUCCUAGGUCCAGGUCACCACUCCUGACACACAGGUCACUAAUCCGAGUCGCGGCCCCACGCAUGGAACCAACGACCUUGUUGGUCACGGCUGGCACCCUUCUCACCAGGAAAUCCUUCCAUCCCUCAUCAUUCAAUGAGAUCAAUCUUAAAGUUUUGCUUUCAGUGCCUAGAAGACUCAAUAGCAACUUUUAAAAGUUAAAAUAUUCAUAUUAGUUCAUGUUGGAUCUUCAAUAUGAAAGUUGUGCUGAAUGUUGAUGAGUAAGUAGUGUUGAUGAGUAAGUACUUAUGCAUAUAUAGAAAACAUUGUCUCAGUUGGAACAAUCUGCAACUCGAGAACAUAAAGUUGGAGUCACUAGUAAUCACAUGUCAACAUGUUGAUGUGAAUAUAUCAAGCCUUGUAUGUAUCGAACCAAUGAUCAUCUAUGACUUUUUUGGCACUAUUCCAUGCAACUUAAUUUUUUAUUUUUUUUUGCGUUAUGUUAAGUAUGUGACAUUAUAAUCCAUAGGCAGAUUUAGAAUUUAUAAUUUUUGCGAGUUCUUUAACACAUGCAAUAAGUUCUUUCAAAUUUGUAUCGCGUAUACUCUACAUCUGCCUCUGUUCGAAUCCAAAUGUCACGACAAACGGGAAGAAUAAUAGAUUGCGAACAUCCAACAACAACAACAACAUCAGCUAUUAUGUUUCAGUCUCAAACAAGUUACAAUCGACGAAACAGAAAAUUUUACAAGCAUGAGAAAAGUUUUCCAUUAUUAGCCAUUUUGACAAAAUAUAUGGCUUCCUUUUCUCCCUCAAUCUCCAUUCCUUUUAAAGGAAAAGAGGACUACUUAGAAAGCAAAAAAAAAAAAAAGACAUUGGGUUGAAGUUGACACACAAAAAAGUUUGUGUACAAGCUAGGAACCUACAUGUUGUUUUUAUAAUACAAAAACUUACAAUAAACCUAAUUUGGUCAGAUCCUUCUGCGAAUCCAUGCAAGUAAAAACUUAGUCCAGUGGACUAUUCUUUUUUUCUUCACUACAAGAAAUCAGUCAAUUUUCGACGGACAGUCCGUCGUCCGUUGGAAACAUCUCAGACGAGUGCAUUUUUGACGUAUUUAUCGACAGAAUAAUGUUAUCGAAAAAUUGACUGAUUUCUAGUAGUAGUGUUUUUUACUUAUAAACUAAGUUGUUCAGACUCUUCACUUUCGAUGCCGCACCUGUAUCUGAUUCUCCAAAUAUACACUACUUAUGAAGAAUCUGACACGUAUACGCCGACAUUUCUGACGAUAUUUUUGAAGAGUCCGAGUGGCAUAGCUUAGAACCAAAUAGCUUUGGCAUCAAUAAGCAUUUGUUUAAGUGAUCCAUCAACUUGUAAAGAUAUAAUAUCCUUAGAUGAUCCAACAAAUUUCCCACCAAUAAAAACAGCAGGAACACUUGGAUUACAACCUAAACUUCUCAAUGCUUUCUCCAUUUCUUUCCCUUUUGGAUCUUGAUCAAGUUCAUGAAUUGCUGGACUUGCUCCAAUGUCAUAAAAUAAUGCUUUAAUACUAUGACACAUAAAACAUGAACUCUUUGUGAAUAUUACAGCUGCCUUCUUUGAUGCCAAGUCACCUAUUCUAUCCAUAUCGAUCGAUAUGUAUAGAUAUAGAUAUAGAUACAGAUAUGGAUAUAAAUAUAUACGACGGUGAAACGAAGAAAAUAUGAAGAGUUGAUCACUAAGUUUAGUAGUAGAUGUUGGUGAUGAUAUUUGAGGUUACAUAUCUUGGUUAUUUAUAGGGAUUUUUAGAUAGAUAUGGAUUACAUUAUUUAUCCAGAAAAGGAAAAAAUAAAUUAUACUAAUGCAUAAAUGAAAAGGCAAUGUUCCUUAAAGAUAUUUCUUUAGAUAAAGGAAAGCAAAAGUAAGAAGAAAUAAAAUGUCACAUACUUUGAGAAAUUGAGUUUAACUUCUAUGUACUGACAGUUAAUGUGGAUUUUUAAGCGUUCAGAUAGUACUAUAGUAGUCAUCGUAUUGUCACUGUAGUUUUUAGUCCUUCGAUUCUUGUUACUAUAUGAUAUUUCUAUGCACUUACGACGAUUUUUAAGAGUUCAGAUAGUGGUAGUACUGUGUUGUCUUGUUAUUUGUCCAUACUAUAGUAGUCAUCGAAUUGCCACCGUAGUUACUAGUCCUUCGAUUCCUGUUACUAUCUGAUGUUUCCUGUACUUUGAUUAUUGUAUUAUUUAGAUGUAGUCACUUUUCGGUGUGUUUUGUGAUGCUUUCACUUCCUUGUUCUCUUUCUAAACUUCUUUAAUUUGAACUGUUUUUUCUCGAGUCGAGGGUCUAGUAGACGCAGUCUCUCUACCUUUGAGAUAGGGUAAGUUCUGCGUACUUUCUACUAUCUGUGUUUAUUGCUAAUUCCUAUGUUCUUAAAGUAGUAUUUGUCGAAGAGAAAUCGGUUGACAUCUCUUCAUCGGAAAAUUACACUAUGAAGAUCAAUCAAUUUCUUUUUUUGAUGUAUAUAUACUAUAUAUUGAAUCCCGUUGGCAUAUUUCUGCGUAUACUUUUUUAUAUUUUGAAUCUUCAUAGUGAGAAUUCUUGGCUCAACCUCUUUGUUCAAAUUCAGUUCAUCUAAAAGAUAUUUACAUGUACAUAAAAUCCUCAUAAAAAGUGGAAGGAAUAUCACAAAAAUAAGGUAAAUUGCUAAUUACGAUAGAUUGAAUAUUAGAUGGUUCUUUUCAUUUGUUUUAAUCUUGAAGAACAGAAUUACGAUAGAUUUAAUUAAGGUGCACGAAAACUAGUCCAAACACCACAGUUAUUAAAAAAAAAUCACUCGUAGUGUAAAAAAAGUUAUAUUUUGAGUGUAUAUUAAACUAAAUUCUUCUAUUUUGACCCUUUAAUACUAUGAAAAGUUGACAGACCAUAAAGAUAAUACCAAACUUUUUGUAGAAUCCAUACAACUAUUUAAUAAUAGUUAUUAAUUAAUAAACAAAUUGAUGGGGUAAAAGGCAAAGAUAUUAUUCCUUGAUUUUUUUCAUGAAAAAUUCUUUCAUUAGUGGGUAAAGUAAUUCUAAUUUUGGAGAUCUAGAAACUAAUACAGUAAUAUAUAGAUUUUUUUUUUCAAACUUUAAUGAUGUGUAAAGACAAUGCUACUGGUACAAGAGAUGUAUAGGAAUAUGGAAUAAAGAAAAAAAAAUUGGAAUAAAGAAAAAAAAUUAUGUUCUAUAUUCAAUUCAUAUAUAUAUAUAUAUAUAAUAGUAUAUUUUUAUGUGUCAUCUAAAAGAUAAUUAAUAUAAUUUUACUUUUGUAUAAGGAUGGUGUAAAUUUUUUAUUUUUUUUUACACUAUUAGGUUCGUUUAAAAGGUAAUUUCGGUAACCGAAAAGUAUAAUCUUUUUUAACCGCUUAAACUUUAUCAUUUUAUCAUAGCAAGUAAAGGUUUUCCCGCCCGCAAUUGUCUAAAAGAAUUUACACGUAUUUGGUCCAAAACGUAGGCAAAGACCUAGAUGUGUGGAAAUGCAAGUUGGUUUCGCGUCUGUUAUAACAUGUUAAAUUAUACUGAUAAAGUAAAAGAGAUAAGCAUUCAAUACCUCCACCAUCCACCCACCCGAAUUAUGGCCGCCCAUCCGAAUUAUGAUCAAAGUUGCUACGACACACUCCAACUUCACAAGGGUCCUAUUAUCCCCUGAACUCAAUUUUAGCAUAUUUUUAUCAUUUUUUUGUGCUGUCGUAAUAUUUUUAUUACAUAAAAUGGACCCCACGUCAAAGAUGCCACAUCAGCUAAGAAGGUUGAUAAAAGAUGUCACGUCAGCUAAAAAGGAUGACAAAAAUAUGAUAAUAUUUAAUUCGGGUGGUAAUAGGACCUUCGUGAAGUUAGAGUAUGUCGUAGCAAAUUUGUUCAUAGUUUUAAUUAUGAUGUAAGUGCAUAUGUGUUAAAAGGAGAGAUAUUUACAUUAUUACAUGUGUGGUGGUCCAAUAUGAUGAUUAUUGGUAGAGAACUUGGAGGAUUUUUAGAUGAUGUGGAAUAGACAAGAGCUUCUAUUAUUUUGUUCUUAUAACCUUUCUUUACUAUCAUGAGAUUCAAUAUUAUUUGUUCAAUGGGAUGUGUCACAAUUGUAACCAAGUUGAGUACUCUUCUUUUACUUUGUUAAAAUGGAUGAUAGAUAUUAUUGUUUCAUGUAGUUGAAUCUAGAUUAAUGAAGAUAUUCGAGAUAAGAUGGGAAUAGUCUGUGUAGUGGACAAAUGAAGUAGGCAAGGUUGAGAUAGUAUAGGCGUGGAGAUAAGCAUUCAGUGCUCCCGAACUAUGAUAAAAGUUUCUACCGAACUAUGAUAAAAGUUUCUACGACACACUCUAACUUCACAAAGAUCCUAUUACCCUCUGAACUCAAUUUUAGGGUAUUUUUGUCACUCUUUUGUGAUGAUGUGGCACCUUUAAUACAUAAAAUGGGGCCCACACCAAAGGUGCCACAUCAGCUAAAAAGAUUGACAAAAGGUGUCACGUCAGCUAAAAAGAAUGACAAAAAUACGCUAAAAUUUAGUUCGGGGAUAAUAGAACCCUCGUGAAGUGGAGUGUGUCGUUGCAACUCAUAAUUCGGGGGUACUAGAUGUUUUACUCUAUAGGCGUGCGAAGAAGAAAUGUCAAAUGUCGUAGUGAGGAGGUGUGAAAGAUUCAUAUGGUGGGAACGAGGAGAGGUAGAAGUAAGUUAAAGAAGUAUUAGAGAAGGUGAUUAGACAGAACAUGACGUAGUGGCAAUUUACUGAGGACAUGACCUUAGAUUAGAGGCUAUGAAGGAAGCAGAUUGGGAUAGAAAGUUAGUAGGUAGUAGAGCGCUGUCUCGCUUUAUGACGUAGAGGUUAUGGAGGAAGCCGAAGGAGUAUUAGAGAGAGGUGAUUAGACAGAACAUGACAUAGAUGCAACUUACUAAGGACAUGACCUCUAGGAAACAGAUCGAGGUAGAAAGUUAGUAGGUAGUAAAGCAUUGUCUCGCUUCUUGGUGAUAUAGUUUGAAGCACCGUUUAUGUCGUAGUAUUAAACUUAUUCAUGAAUUUCUUGUUUUUUCGAUAUAUGCUACCAUAUAAAGUCGAUGUUAUUGUUCCUUUUCUGUAUGCUUUGCAUUGCUUUUCGUAUUAGUUACCAUGUUUUCCUUGUUGCCGUAUUCCCUCGUGCAUGACUAUUUUGACUUAAUGCACUUGACUCGAAGAUUGUUCAGAAACAACCUCUUUGCCUCCAUGAUGUAGGGAUAAAGUUUGCAUACACUCAGGAUGGACCAAUGACCAUCUUCUUGGUGCUCCGGCACCCGUUGAAUUCGAGGCAGACUUAUAAAAGCACCUAGUAAACCGAACCUCCUAAGCACCCACGACUCCUAAAUCCUGAGUCCGCCACUACUUACACUGAACCCUCCCCAGACCCCACCAGUUGAAUUACAUUGAGUAUGUUAUUGUUUUAUGUAGUUGAAUCUAUAUAAUCCGUCUAAGGGAAUGAAAGAAAAAACAAAGAGUAUCUUGUAGUGAUAGAGAUGCAUCUUAAUUUGCUUCAUCUCUUUUUCUAUUGUAUAUGAUGAUGUUUUCAAAUACUUAGGACAGGGAAACCCCAUGCCCAAAGCAUCCCACGUUUACGCAGGGUCCAGAGAAGGGCCGCAUGGCAAGGGGUCCAAUGAGACACGUUAACACAGGGUUAGGGGAAGCCGCAAGGGGUCCAAUGAGACGUUUACACAGGAGAAGGGGAAGGGCCGCACCACAAGGGGUCCAAUGAGACACGUUUGCGCAGGGUCAGGGGAAGGGCCGCACCGUAAGGGGUCCAAUGAGACAAAUUUACGCAGGGCAGGGUUAGGGGAAGGACCGCACCGUGCAAGGGAUCCAAUGAGACAAUGAGGAGAUUCUUCAAUUGAAAGAAGGUAACAUUGAGCCAUUUAUUCAUAAUGUACAGAAAUUACCAGGAAAAGCAUACAUAGGAGUUGUUGUUUACAUCAACUUUGCUGGCCAACUUCGCCGACUUGAGAGUUGCAUAUUCGGUAUUGAAGAAAUACCAGACGCUACGCUACACAAUGAGGAGGGGUCCGUAUUGGAUCCUGAAACAAUCCGGAUUGUUAUUCUGGCGAUGACAUGUAAGGGGCAUUCGGUAUAUCAGGAAGAGAAGAAGCUGAUGAACUAUCUCGUACUGUUCCCAUUGGAUGAUCGAAUUUACAAGUGCCACCGAAUUUGCAGAAUCCUCUUUGCAUAAAGAAGGAACAAGGCUGCACCCCCUACUUUCACAAGUGAAAUUAGUCGAGUCUCAAAACAGACUAACGAGUUACACACAUCAAUACUUUCAGACUCAACAAAGCUAAUAUAACAAGAUGAAAGUGUCGCAAUCGUUCAGGUAUCAUGAAGCUCACCAGAUAUCUGAACCAGAUAUGAAGGUUUUGAAACCGGAGAAAGGAGAUUUUACACUUCCUCCAACCAAGGCAAAGAAGUAUUCAUGUAUCAUGCAGAGACUCGAGAUGAUAACAAACAUACUUGGUUAUACUGGAACCAUCGAAGGAGGCUAACAUCUCUAGUGUAGCUAUAUGUUCUCGAGUCUAGAAGAUGUGCAGCCAUCAUUUUGGCAUUUGAAAGUUAGGCAAUCGUUAGAAUUCAACCGUUUGUAUUCUGUGUGAACAUAUCGUGACAUUUUCAAAUCGCAACAUAUUUUGUUUCAUUUCUUGUUAGGACUGAUAACUAACAGCAGCCUAAUAAGUCAUACGGACCAGCGGCCAGCGACUAAUGCAGAACAGGUAAGAGUAGUCAGACUGCCCUUUUGUAGUUUAUCUACAUGGCAUAGAGCAUGCAAGAGGCAAGUACCUCUGUAGCUCCAAGAAGAACCGUAAAUUUAGAUUCAACAAAAUAAUACUACUUGAAUUCUGUGACAACUAUGCAGCUGAGCAGGCUAAGAACGGUAAUGCAUGGCAGGAUCUCAGUUUCAGGCAAGACCAGAUAGACAACGAUGCUCAUCACAGAUUUAUCCAGAUUGGAUUCUAAAUUCGCGAUGCCAAGUCAAACAGAAGGAAGAAAGAAGGAUAUUAGUCAUACCGGGCGCAAAGGAAGGCCUAAGGAGUUGACAGCGCAAUCUGUCUUUGAUGGACUCCAGUCGGCAGGAUGAUGAAACUUACAUGAUGAUCCAAAUUUACAAUCCCCCGUUUGCAUGUAAUAUUGACAUACUCGUUGGCCUGGUCUUUCAGGAAAAUGCUUUUCCUGCAAUGCACUGCUUGACGGGCCAUCAGCUAAGUGUAACGAGGAGUAAGGUGCUGCAAUGGCAGGUGUCGAAGAUGCUAGUUGUGAUAGUGCAAGACUUCCCGGUGCCUGCAAAAAGCAAAUUAAUCACCCGAUAGGAUUGUUAUUUUCCGUCAUAUCAGAUAAUCGACUGAGAGAAUAUCUCCAUCAUACCGAAUAAGUGCUCCAGUUCUGAACGGUCGCUAAUCCUGGGUGAAGCAGAACUGGACCGUAAGUACCAGGUACAUAAGAACUAGGUAAGAGUUGAGGCCUCGUUUCUUCAAGAGGUGCAGGAAGAGACGGCACUGUCGGAUAAAAUGGCCGUGCAGUUACUGGCGCUGAUACCUCAGCAGGGUUAGGAUGAUGGAAUUUACAUGUUAAACCAAAUUUGCAUUGCCCCGUUUUCAAAUAAUAGGAGCAUACUCUUUCCUCCUGUCGUAAUUGAUAAAUUUUGAGAGCUCUUAACCAAACUUAUCGAUAGAGUACACAAAUGCAUACAUACAACGAAAUAGAUCAAUUACCGGGCGUAAUGGGUAUCCAUAUUCAUUUAGUGGUACAUUGCUCAAAGAUCCACCCAAGUUUCUUGGAUGGUGGAACUUGCACGAUGCACCAUAUUUACAGGUCGCUGUUCUUAGAUAGUACUGCAAAUAGAAAUUAUCCAUUCAUCACACACGAAAUCAAUAUUGCAUACACGCGUACUUGAUAAAACAACAUGAUCAAACACGAACAAACUCAGGAUGUUAAAUAGAGUUACCUGACAUAUAGGCUCUCCUAUUCGUUCUGGAUAUUCACUUCUUUCCAACGGCACAACACCAACCUUAAAUCCGAGCCACACCCAAGUAAGAGUCAAAGUAACUCAUGCUUACCAUUCCGAGAAACUAACAGAACAAAUAAAAAUCGUCCAUUUCUACUUCAUCUUGUUAAGUAUACAAAUAGAAAAACAUAAAAUGAUCGGCCAAAUAGUACCACUCUUUUGUUAUCGUUAUAAUAUUUCUUCAAACACUCUGCUUUUGAUUAGAUUGCCUUUGAUUUUCUUGCCGUGCCUACUCAGUGCAUUCUCUGUGCAGGACCUUUUCAUUCAAAUCCUCACUCUCAACUAGUCUUAGUUGAAAUGUAAAGUUAGCUACCGAGUUACUUACGGUGUAUAAUUGUCUUUUACAUCACCAAUAUGAGCGAAAACGACCUAAAUGAUCCCUUAUAGUUGUGCGUAGACACAUAACAUCAACCUUAUUCUUUAGUAUGGUGCAUGCACUAUUAGCGCAUCAAAAUCGGUAAACAAUAAGGAGUAAUAGUGCACCAGGUAAAAGAAUACAGAUAACUAUAUUACUCAGCUCGAAAUAAGGGACUAUUUUAGACUUUUUUUCCCAAUGAGACAUUAAGGUUUCAGCGUAUAACGUUAGUACCAAUUCAAUAAGCUUGUCGGUUCAUGAUUCUCUAUGAAACUAUAGGCUCCAUUAAACAAGUAAUGAUCAGUAUAGUCAUCAGGAGCGGAUCUAGCCUUCAACGUAAGGGUUCACGUGAAUCUAGUAGCUUUUCGUCAAACUCUAUGAAGCCCAUUGGUAAAAGUACAUCAAUUUGAGGUCGCGAUAGGAACUCAUAAACUUCAAAUCUUGAAUUCGUCUGAUGAUAGUAAGCUUAAUUAACACAAUAUAUAACUACAAGAUGAGAUCAAGAAACUUACAGAGGUUAAAUCAGGAGGAUGAUUAUACCGACAUUGAGCACCAUAUCCACAAGACCCCGUACGCAUAUAGAAGGAACAAUUAGGUGUCCCGGACCUUUCCGGGUACCCUUCAUUGCUCCAUAACCCCAACCUCCUCAUUGAUUCUACAUUGUCAAAACACACACACACACAAAGAAUGUGGACAGACCCCAAAAAGUCAAAUUCAUUAAAUCAAAAAAUACCAAAGGAAAAUUCUUCCUUUAUAGACAUGAACAUAAGAAGGAAAAAAUACUAUUUACACUAUAUUUCCACUCCAUUCUUUCAUUUUCUUGAAAAAAAAAGUCCGUCGCUUAUGUUUCCGAUGAUCUUUCGGAAACAGUCUCUCUACCUCCACGAGGUAGUUAUAAGGUCCGCAUACACUCUACCGUCCGCACAUCCCACUUGUGGAAAACCCCUUGGUCCCCGAGUGUCUUACGGAAACAACCUUUCUACCUCUACAAGUUAGUUAGUGGUAAUUAAGUUUUGCGUACACUCUACCCUACUGUCACCGAUUUGUCAUCAAAUUUGUGCAGUGAAAGAACUCACCUUCUAGACCGGUUUCCGGUCCAACAGGUACCCAUUCUGGCUGCUGAUCAGAUUGUGAUCCACCAUACAUCUCCAUAUUUUUUUACCUAAAAUUCACUAAAAAAAGUGAAAAAAAAAAUUAGGCAAAAAAUUUACUAUUCAAAAGAGCAAGAUCGUGCAUAUAACAGUCCGGUGCACUAAAGCUCCCGCCAUGCACGGAGUCUAGAGAAGGACCGGACUACCUGAGUCUAUUAUACACAACCUUACCUUCCAUUUCUGCCCGAGAUCGUGCAUGUAUGUAACACAAACAUUCAAUUUAUGUAUAGAUAUGUGUUAUGAGUAGGAAAAACACACACAGUGAGUGUGUGUUUUUGGUGUUUUUUUCUCUUUUUUUUGCAAGAAUCUAUUCUACGAAGCCUUACCUUGCAUUUCUGUUAGACAUCAUGCAUUUAUGUAACAAAAACAUUGAAUUUCUAUAUACAUAUGAGUUAUAAAUAUGAAAAAAAAACACAGUGAGUGUGUGUUUUUGGUGUUUUUUUCUCUUUUUCUGUACGAGUCUAUUAUACGCAACCUUACCUUGCAUUUCUGUCAAAAAUCAUGAAUAUAUAUAACACAAACAUUCAAUUUCUGUGUAGAUUAUGAGUUAUCAAUAUGAAAAAAACACAGAGUGAGUGUGCGUUUUUGGUGUUUUUUUCUCUUUCUUUAUGCACGAGUCUAUUAUACGCAGCCUUACUUUGCAUUUCUGUCAAAGAUCAUGCAUAUAUAUAACACAAACAUUGAAUUUCUAUAUAGAUAUGAGUUAUCAAUAUGAAAAAAACACACAGUGAGUGUGUGUUUUUGGUGUUUUUUCUCUUUUUCUGUACGAGUCUAUUAUACGCAGUCUUACCUUGCAUUUCUGUAAGAAAUCAUGCAUAUAUAUAACACAAACAUUGAAUUUCUAUAUAGACAUGAGUUAUCAGUAUGAAAAAAAAACACAGUGAGUGUGUGUUUUUGGUGUUUUUUUCCUCUAUUACUGCAAGAAUCUAUUAUAUACGCAGCCUUACCUUACAUUUCUGGCAGAGAUCACGCAUGUAUGUAACACAAACAUUCAAUUUCUGUGUAGAUUAUGAGUUAUCAGUAGGAAAAACAAACACAGUGAGUGUGUGUUUUUGGUGUUUUUUCUCUCUGUUUUUUUGCACAGUACAGUGAAGUUCAAGAAGUGAAGUAAACUACUUUUUCUUCUUAUUAUUUUGCUUUUAUAUUUUCUCAAACUGUAACCGUUCAUUUUUAUUUUUUAUUUUUGUUUCCUUUCAUUAAGCUACCCGCCAAAGUAUGUUUGAUGGGGGGUAUGCAUUAAUUAAAUUAAAGAAAAACAAUAAAUAAAAUAAUUAUGUCAUUUUAGUUAGUUUUUGUGUUUUUAAAUUUUAGAUGUGUGUAACUAGUAUUUAAAUUUGUAUAAAGUUGAAUAAAUAAAUACGUGCAUUGCCACGUAGAUGUCACGUGCAUCCUUGUACUUUUCAAAAAGAAAAAUAAUAUUUGCCCUUUAUUAUACUUUUUGGAUAUAUUUAUAUUUAUCAUCGAAUUUUGAGUACAUAUUUAUUCCUGAAUUGUUAAUUUCUCUUGUCUCGCCUUUACAUCCUACGUGGCAUGCUCACGUGAAUUUUUCAUCUUCUUUCUUUUUGUAACCAUUCUUUUCUCACCUUUACCUCCUAUGUAGCACGCCCGCAUGAAUUUUUCAUUUUUUCUUUUUGUAACCGUUCUUUUCUUUAUUUUCUUCCUUUCAGUACCUGCCAAAGUAUGGUAUAGGGCCAAGCAUGAUGAAGUAGGAGUAUUCGGUAGGCAAUCUUUUUGACUUGAUCAAAAAAUGAGUCAUUCAUUAAAGUAAAUAGAACCGAUAAAUGUAUAAUAUGUGUUUUGUACAUAAACUAUUUUAACAGUAUUAAAUUUACAUGACUUAGUAUAAACAUCGAGCACGGAUGAGAUAAUUAUUUGCCUUUAUCAUUGAACUUUGAGUACAUAUUUAUCCCUGAACUGUUAAUUCCUCUUCUGGAUCAUCUUUACUUUCUAUGUGGCAUGCUCACGUGAAUUUUUCAUCUUCUUUCUUUUUGUAAGCAUUUUUUCUUUCACUAUCCGCCAAAGUCUGGUAAAGGGCCCAACAUGAUGAAGCAAAAGCAUUCAGUUGGCAAUCUUUUUGACUUGACCAAGAAGUGGGUUAUGCAUUAUAGUAAAUAGAAUCGAUAAAUGUAUAAUAUGUGUUUGUAUAUAAAUUUUUUAACGGCAUUAUAUUUACAUGAUUUAGUAUAAACAUCGAGCAUAGAUAAGAUAAUUAUUUGCCUUUAUCAUCAAACUUUGAGUACAUAUUUAUCCCUGAAUUAUUAAUUCUCUUGUCUCACCUUUAUCUUCCACGUGGCACAUUCACGUGAAUUUUUUUAUUUUUUUUUUGUAACCAUUUUUUUCUCACCUUUACCUCCUACGUGGCACGUUCAUGUGAAUUUUUUUUAUCUUUUUUUCUUUUUGUAACCGUUCUUUUCUAUCUUUACCUUUUACGUGGCACGCUCACGUUAAUUUUUCAUAUUCUUUCUAUUUGUAACUGUUCUUUUCUUUGUUUUCUUCUUUUAGUAUCCGCCACAAUAUGGUAAAGGGUCAAACAUGAUGAAAUUGGAGCAUUCAGUCGGCAAUCUUUUGGACUUAAACCAAGAAAUGAGCUAUGCAUUAAAGUAAAUAGAAUCGAUAAAUGUAUAAGAUGUGUUUUGUUCAUAAAUUUUUUAACAGUAUUAAAUUUACAUGACUUAGUAAAACAUCGAGCACGAAUGAGAUAAGUAUUUGCCUUUAUCAUCGAACUUUGAGAACAUAUUAUCGUUCUUUUCUUUGUUUUCUUCCUUUCAAUACUCGUCAAAGUAUGAUAAAGGGCCAAACAUGAUGAAGUAGGAGCAUUCAGUCAGCAAUCUUUUUUACUUGAUCAAGAAAUAGGUUAUGUGUUAAAGUAAAUAAAACCGAUAAAUGUGUAAAAUAUAUGUUUUGUACAUAAUCUUUUUUAGCAUUAUUAAAUUUACAUGAUUUAGAGUUAGAGUUUGUGACCCAAAUUCUGUUGAUCUGACCCUGAAAAGUUCGCGGUACGACCCAUGUUUGUGAUUCUUUGUGGGGUCAGUGGUGGGCUCCGAGAUCGGGCCGAUACUUGUGUGUUUUUGGGCCUAGAAUUUAUUUGUACACACGUAUUAUAUAAGUGCAAUUUAAUGGGUUGUUUUGGACGGUUUGAAAUACGUCAUUGAGACUUCCGUCUCCUAUUGUACUCCUCUCCAUUAUAGUGAAAUUCCUCCUCCUCUGCCUGUGAUUUUUCCCGCAAAGAUUUUCACAUAAAUCUAUGUGUCUUCUUUUACUUUGUGAUAUUACUUAUUCUGCCCAAAUAUAACAUUUAAUAUAAACAUCGAGUAUGAAUAAAAUAAAUAUUGUACCCUAGUAAAUGAGGUUUCAACAAAGUGGUUUAAAAGAAUUUUUAAAGUCUCAACUAUUAACAAAAGAGUUUAAAAUAUUUUUUUAUGUCCAACUAUUCAUGUUAGAAGCACCUGAUUAAUCAUUUUGUGUUGAAAAACUGCACAAAAUUUGCACUUUUACUGAUAAAAAUUUGCACAAAUAAUUAUAUAUAAAAAAAAAAAGAUCUAGACAAAAUACAAAGUGAGCACUUAUAUUUCACACUUAUAUUUUCUUUCUUUUACACACAGAGUAUUGGAAAUGGGGGUUAUCCAUUAAUUAAAUAAAAAAGAGCCAAUAAAUGAUACUCCCUAUGUGUAUCAUGUGGUAUAAUAGAUUUAUAAUAUGAAUUGCUCCGUACGAUGUCAUAUAAGACACAUGUAUUAUUUAUUUAAGUAAAUAGAUUUAAAUGUCUAUUUGUGUACAUCUAAAACUGAAUAACGUAAAUGUCAGUUGAGGUUAAAUUAAAGGACACAUUUAUAUAUUAUAUCUCAUCUAUUCAUGAAAUCUGAGAAGAAUUUGAUUAAUCAUUUGUUUUUGAAGAAUUUCUUGAAAAUUCUUCAAGAUUAAAUUGUUUUUGUACUUUUCAAAAAAUAUUAGUAGAUUUGCUUUUCGUUUUCUUAUCGUUCAACUUUACACACAUAUUUAUCCUACGUGGUGCGUCCACAUGAAUUUUAUGUUUUCUUUCUUUCUAUAACAGUUCUUUUUUUGUUUUCUCCGUCUUAGUACCCACCAAAUUAGGGAAAGGGGGUUAUGCAUUAAAUUACAUAGAAUCGAUAAAUGUGUAAUAUGUGUUUUGUACAUAUUUUUUUAGCAAUUUACAUGAUUUAGUGUAGACAUCAUGUGAUACGUAUUUUAUCUUAGUAACAGUGAAUCUAGAAUUCAAAAUUUGAUUCUCAAAAUGGUUUUCUGGAUAUUCUUUUAUAGCUCUACUAUUCACGAAAUGUGAGAAGCACCUGAUUAAUUAUCUAUUUUUAAAAACAAAUCGAAAAAUUUCUUGAGAUUUUACAAGAUCAUUCGUUCUUUUUUUAGGAAACAAAUUUGUUUUUGUACUUCUCAAACAAAUUAUAUUUGCUCUUCAUUAUAUAUAUAUAUAUAUAUAUAUAUUUGUUCUUAUCAUCCAACUUUAAAAAUAUAUUUCUGAAUUAUUAAUUUUUCUUACAUGCCAUCACUUUAUUUCCUACGUAGCGCGCUCACGUGCAUAUAUUUUUAGUGUACUUUUUUUCUUUGGUUAACCAUUCUUUUUUCUUUGUUUUAUUCCUCCCAAUUUCAACAGUCCACCCAACUAGGGGUGGGCAUGGUAUGGUAUGGUACGGUAUUUUAAAUUUCAGUACGGUAACUUUGGUUUUCGGUAUCUAAAAGAACAAUACCAUUACCAUACCAAAUUAGUUUGGUAUGGUUCGAUAUUUUUGAAUUCGGUUUUGAUAUUUUAUGGUACGGUAAUUCAGUAACCAUACUUUAUUUGAUUUCGAUUUACAUAUAUUCAUAUAAAAAAACUAUAACUUAAAAACUUAAAAACGUCUCAAUCAUAUCAGACUAACAACUAUCUUUGUUAAUCAUCUACACAACUAUCUUUAUUAUCCAACUUUGCACACAUAUUUAUCCUUGAAUUGUUAAUUGCCCUUGUCAUCCCCAUAUUUUUUUCCUACGUGGUGCGUGCCCACGUGAAUUUUUUGUUUUCUUUUUUUCUAUAAUAAUUCUUUUAAUUUGUUUUCUCCAUCUAAAUACCCACCAAACCCGCCAAAGUAGGGAGAGAGGGUUAUGCAUUAAAUUAUAAAGAACCGAUAAAUGCAUAAUAUGUAUUUUGUACAUAAGCUUUUAGUCAUUUACAUGAUCUAGUGUAAAUUUAUCCUAGUAUCAGUGAAUCUAGAAUUUAAAAUUUGAUUCUCAAAUAUUUUUUCUAGAUAUUCUUUUAUAGCUCAACUAUUCGUGAAACGUGAGAAGCACUUGAUUAAUCAUCUGUUUUAAAACAAAUCGAAGUAUUUCUUGAAAAUUUUACAAGAUCAUUUGUUCUUUUUUUUAGAAAAGGGUCAAAUUUGUCGUUGUACUUCUUAAAAAAAUUAGAGAUAAUACCCAAUUACCUCCCUGAACUAUACCCAAAAAGGCUAUGACAUACCUCAACUUAAAGGGGGUCCUAUUACCCCCUGAACUAAUUAAAAAUGUAAUUUUGACACCCUUAGUGCCUAUGUGGCACAUACGUGGCACAACACACUGAAGUGUCCACGUAGGCACACGUGUGUGCCACGUAGGCACUAAGGGUGUCAAAAUUACACUUUUAAUUAGUUUAGGGGGUAAUAGGACCCCCUUUAAGUUGAGGUGUGUCACAAUCUUUUUGGGUAUAGUUCAGGGGGGUAAUUGAGUAUUUUCUCAAAAAAUUAUGUUUGCUCUUCAUUAUAUAUAUAUUUUAGAUAUAUUAGUCCUUAUCAUCCAACUUUAAGAAUAUAUUUCUGAAUUGUUAAUUCUUCUUACACGCCAUUACUUUAUUUUCUAUGUGGCGCGCUCACGUGCAUUUUCAAUGUACUUUUUUCUUUUUGUAACCGUUCUUUUCUCUUUGUUUUCUUCCUCUCAAUUUCGACAUCCCACCCAACUAUUCACGAAAUGUGAGAAGUAUUUGAGUAAUCAUCUUCUUUUACAAAAAAAUAAAAUAAAAAAAAAUUGAAGCAUUUCUUGAGAAUUUUAUCAAAUUCGUUCUUUUUUUUUUUUUUUUUUUUGAGAAAAGGUCAAAUUUGUUGUUGUACUUCUCAAAAAAAAUUAUAAUAUCUCUUCAUUAUACUUUUUUGUUAUAUUUGCCCUUAUCAUCUAAGUUGGAGCAUAUAUUUAACAUUGACUUGUCAAUUCCUCUUGCAUGUCCUCACUUUAUUUCCUAUGUGGCGCGCUCGCAUGCAUUUACAGUGUUCUUUCUUCGCGCUCGCAUGCAUUUACAGUGUUCUUUCUUUCUUUUUUCUUUGUUUUCUUCCUCUCGAUUUUAAUAGUCCACUCAACUAUUCACAAAAUGUGAGAAGGACCUGAUUAAUCAUUUUUAAAAAUAAAAAAAAGUCAAAGAAUUUCUUGAAAAUCUUAUUAGAUUUUCAUUCUUUUUUGGGGAAAGAAUGUUAAUUCCUCUUGUGACCUCCUACGUGGCACGCUUACGUAAAUUUUUCAUGUUCUUUUCAGCAUCCGUCAAAGUAUGGUAAAGAGCCACACAUGAUGAAGUAGGAACAUUCGGUAAGCAAUUUUUUUGCCUUGACCAAAAAUUUGAAGUAAAUAGAAUCAAUAAAUGUAUAAUAUGUGUUUUGUACAUAAAUUCUUUUGAUAGUAUUAAAUUUACAUGACUUGGUGUAAAUAUCGAGCGCGAAUAAGAUAUCUAUUUUAUCCUAGUAAAUGAUGUUUUAACAUCUGUGGCCGGUUUCCUACCGCUUAAUGCACUGACAGAGGAACGAAGGAUUAGUCUCAUGAUUGCCGGCUGUGGGGAUACCUUGGGAAACCAAAAAAAAAAAAUAAACAAAAAAAGUCUCAAUUAUUAACAAAAGAGUUUUGAAUAUUUUUCAGUAUCUAAUUAUUCACGAAAGGUAAGAAGCACCCGAUUAAUUAUUUUGUGUUAAAAACUCCAUAAAAUCUGCACUAUUACUUGAUAAAAAUCUAAAUAAAAUUAUAAAAGAAAAUCUAGAUAAAAUACAAAGUGAAAUGUGAGAGAAUUUGAUUAAUCAUUUAUUUUCUAAGAAUUUCUUGGAAAUUCUACAAGAUCCAUUCGUUUUUAUUAGAAACGAAUCAAAUUUUUUCUUGUACUUUUCAAAAAAUAUUAAUAGAUUUACUUUUCGUUAUAUUUUUUGUGAUAUAUUUGUCCUUAUCAUUCAACUUUACACACAUAUUUAUCCUUGAAUUGUUAAUAUUCCUAGUGUUAUCCCUAUAUUUUUUUUUCCUACGUGGCACGUGCCCACGUGAAUUUUCUUUUCUUUUCUUUUUUUUAUAACAAUUCUUUUUUAUUUGUUUUCUCCAUCUCAGUACCCGCCNNNNNNNNNNNNNNNNNNNNNNNNNNNNNNNNNNNNNNNNNNNNUAUGCAUUUUGUACAUAAAUUUUUAACAAUUUACAUGAUUUAUUAUAAACAUCAUGUGAUACACAUUUUUAUCCUAGUAUCAGUGAAUCAAGAAUCUAAAAUUUAAUUCUCAGAAAUAUUUUUCUAGAUAGUCUUUUAUAGCUCAACUAUCACGAAGCGUGAGAAACACCUGAUUAAUCAUCUAUUUUUAAAACAGAUCGAUGAAUUUCUUGAAAAUUUUAUAAGAUCAUUCGUUUUUUUUUUUUUAAGAAUAGAGUCAAAUUUGUCUUUGUACUUCUUAAAAAAAUUAUAUUUGCUCAUUAUAUAUAUAUUUUGGAUAUAUUUGUCCUUAUCAUUUAGCUUUAAGAAUAUAUUUCAGAACUGUUAAUUUUUCUGAUAUGCCAUCACUUUAUUUCCUAUGUGGUGUGCUCACGUGAAUUCUCAAUAACCGCUUGACAUAUUUUUUAGUGUUCAAUUAUUCAUAAAACGUUAGAAGCACCAGAUUAAUCAUAUUGUGUUAAAAACUGCACAAAAUUUGCACUUUUAUUUAAUAAAAAUCUGCACAAAAUUAUUUAAAAAAUCUAGAAAAAUACAAAGAAAAAUUAUAGAGCAUUUGAUUAAUCAUUUAUUUUCGAAGAAUUUUUUGAGAAUUCUACAAAAUUCAUUCGUUUUUGUUUAGAAAAGAAUCAUAUUUGAUCUUGUAGUUUUCAAAAGAUAUUAACAGAUUUGCUUUUCGUUAUAUUUUUUUGAUAUAUUUUCCCUCGUCAUUCAACUUUACACACAUAUUUAUCCUUGAAUUGAUAAUUGCUCUUGUCAUCCCCAUAUUUUUUUCCUAUGUGGCGCAUGCCCACGUGAUUUUUUUUUUUUUUUAUAACAGUUCUUUUACUUUAUUUUCUCCAUCUCAGUACCCGCCAAAGUAGAGAAAGGGGGUUAUGCAUUAAAUUACAUAGAACCGAUAAAUGUAUAUUAUGUGUUUUGUACAAAAUUUUUUAGCAAUUUGCAUUAUUUAAUAUAAACAUCAUUUGAUACGUUUUUUAUUCUAAUAACGGUGAAUCUAGAAUUUAAAAUUUGAUUCUCUAAAUGUUUUUCUGGAUAUUUUUGUUAUAGCUCAAUUAUUCACGAAACGUGGAAAGCACCUGAUUAGUCAUUUAUUUUUUAAAACAAAUCAAAGAAUUUCUUGAAAAUUUUACAAGAUUAUUCAUUCUUUUUUAAGGAAAAGGUCAAAUUUAUUUUUGUACUACUAAAAAAAUUAUAUUUGCUCUUCAUUAUAUAUUUUCUUUUUUGGAUAUUUCUUUCUUUAUCAUCCAAAAGAAUAUAUUUCUGAAUUGUUAAUUCUUCUUACAUGUCAUUACAUUAUUUUCUACAUGGUACGCUCACGUGCAUUUUCAGUGUACCUUUUUUUUUUUUGUAACCGUUCUUUUCUCUUUGUUUUCUUCCACCCAAUUUUUAGUGCAUUUUUAGUGACCUUCUACAUUGCACACUCACGUUAAUUUUUCAUAUUCUUUCUUUUUGUAACCGUUCUUUUCUUUGUUUUCUUCCUUUCAAUACCCGCCAAAGUAUGAUAAAGAGCCAAGUUUGAUGAAAUGGAAACAUUCAGUUGGAAAUCUUUUUGAUUUGACCAAGAAGUGAGUUAUGCAUUAAAGUAAAUAGAACAGAUAAAUGUAUAAUAUGUGUUUUGGACAUAAAUCGUUUUAACAGUAUUAAAUUUACAUGAUUUAGUGUAAGCAUCGAGUACGGAUGAGAUAAUUAUUUGUCUUUAUCAUCGAACUUUGAGUACAUAUUUAUCCUUGAAUUGUUAAUUCCUCUUCUCGAUCUCCUUUACUUCCUACGUGGCACGCUCACAUGAACUUUUCAUAUUCUUUCUUUCUGUAACCGUUCUUUUCUUUGUUUUCUUUCUCUCAGUACCUGUCAAAGUAUGAUAAAAAGUCACACAUGAUGAAGUGGGAGUAUUCAGUCGUCAAUCUUUUUUGACUUGACCAAGAAUUGAGUUAUGCAUUAAAGUAAAGUAAAUAGAACCAAUAAAUAUAUAAUAUGUGUUUUGUACAUAAGUUCUUUUAACAAUAUUAAAUUUAUAUGAUUUAGUGUAAACAUCAAGAACGGAUAAGAUAAGUAUUUUAUCCUCGUAAAUGAGGUUUCAACAAAGUGAUUUAAAAGAAUCUUUAAAGUCUCAACUAUUAACAAAAGAGUUCUGAAUAUUUUUUUUAAUUUUCAACUAUUCACUAAACCUGAUUAAUUAUUUUGUGGUAAAAAUUGCACAAAAUCUGCACUUUUACUUGAUAAAAAAUCUUCACAAAAUCAUUUAUUUUCGAAGAAUUUUUUGAGAAUUCUACAACUUUUUUAGAAAAGAAUCAAAUUUGUUCUUGUACUUUUCAAAAAAUAUUAAUAGAUUUGCUUUUCGUUAUAUUUUUUUAAUAUAUUUACUUUUAUUAUCCAACUUUACGCACAUAUUUAUCCUUGAAUUGUUAAUUGCUCUUGUCAUCCCCAUAUUUUUUUCCUACAUGGCGCGUGCCCCCGUGAAUCUUUUGUUUUUUUCUAUAACAGUUCUUUUUUCUUCAUUUUCUCCGUCUCAGNNNNNNNNNNNNNNNNNNNNNNNNNNNNNNNNNNNNNNNNNNNNNNNNNNNNNNNNNUGUUUUGUACAUAAAUUUUUCGCAAUUUACAUGACUUAGUGUAAAUAUCAUGUGCUACGUAUUUUAUCCUAGUAUCAGUGAAUCUAAAAUUUAAAAUUUGAUUCUCAAAAUAUUUUUUUUGGAUAUUCUUUUAUAGCUCAACGAUUUAGAAACAUGAGAAACACCUGAUAAAUCAUUUAUUUUUUAAACAAAUAGAAGAUUUUUUUCAAAAUUUUACAAAAAUAUUCGUUCUUUUUUUAGGAAAGGGUCAAAUUUGUUUUUGUACUUCUCAAAAAUAUUAUAUUUGCUCUUUAUUUUAUAUUUUUUGGAAUAUAUUUAUCUUUAUCAUCCAACUUUAAGAAUAUAUUUCUGAAUUGUUAAUUCUUCUUACAUAUCAUCAUUUUCUUUUCUAUGUGGCGUGUAUUUUCAGUGUACUUUCUUUCUUUUGGUAACCGUUCUUUUCUCUUUGUUUUCUUCAUCUCAAUUUCAACAGUCUACCCAAUUAUUCACGAAAUGUGAGAAGUAUGUGAUUAAUCACCUUUAAAAAAAAAAAGAAAUUGAAGAAUUUCUUGAGAAUUUUACCUGAUUCGUUCAUUUUUUUUUUAAAGAAAAGAAUCAAUUUAUUGUUGUACUUCUCAAAAAGAUUAUAUUUUCUCUUCAUUAUAUUUUUUUUCGGUAUAUUUACCCUUAUCAUCUAAUUUUGAGCUUAUAUUUAAUACUGAAUUGUUAAUUUCUCUUGCACGUCCUCACAUUAUUUCCUACGUGGUGUGCUCACGUGCAUUUACUAUGUUUUCUCUUUCUUUUUGUAAUCGUUAUUUUUUUUUGUUUUCUUCCUCUCAGUUUUAAUAGCUCACCCAACUAUUCACGAAACGUGAGAAGUACUUGAUAAAUUAUCUUUUUAAAAAAAUGUCAAACAAUUUCUUAGAAAUUUUAUCAGAUUUAUUCAUUCUUUUUUGGUGAAAGGGUUAAAUUUGUUGAGAAAAUUGAAGGAAAGGUGUCUUUUAAGUCUUGAAUGAAGGAUUGUUGACAUUGACCAACUUAAAAGGUCAAACAUAAUUAGGAAACUUGAUUAAGUUAAUUGUGGACUUGAUUAAUAUUUUUAAAACUUUCUAAUCUUUUUAAAAAUAUAAAUCAACUCAACCCACAUCCCUCUUCAAUCCAAACCAUCGACUGUCUCUCUCCUCUCUCUCGACAGCUUCUCUCAACCAGCAGUUUUGCAAAUUUCUCCUUUCAACCCCGGCGACUUCAACCUCCGAUGACAAAUAGUUGGGCUUCAAGUUUCUUUUCGACUUCAACCGUCAAUCGACGUGACAGCCUUGCUCUCCGGCCACAACAGCUUCGAAUUCUUCAUCGUUCCUUUUCUUCUUUCACAGGUAAAAAAUUAUGGCCUUUUUAGUUUUGAAUAAAACGAGGAACUUAAGCCAAUUUCUCUUAUAGUAUUGGUUAACAAUUUCAAUAUUUGUUGCUUUAAUUUGAAAUGCGGUCUAAAUAAAAUCCUAAUUUCUGGUAUUUUUUCUCUUCUCUUCUCUUCUUUUUUGUUUUAUGAUUUCGAAGUUUAAUUUGUUGCGCCGUUGCUGGGUUGAUUUGUUCUUAUUCUUGGUAAAAAUGGUGAUAUUGUUGUUGUUCUAUUGAACAAAAUUGUGCUACUAUUUUUUUCCAAUAGAUUAUCCAUUUGGUGCAACAUAUUAACCAUCAGUUGCAACAGAUUUAGCAUAUGAUGCAAUAGAUCAACCAUCUGAUUCAACAGAGGAACCAUCAGAUUAAAAUUUUGAUGCAACAGAUUAACUAUCUGAUCCAAUAGAUUAAUCAUCUGAUGCAACAGAGGAACCCUCGGAUAAAAAAUUUGAUGCAACAGAUUUAGCAUAUGAUGCAACAGUUUAACCAUCUGAUGCAAUAGAUUAAGCAUAUGUUGCAAUAGAUUAAUCAUCUGAUGCAACAUAAUUACUAUCGAAUGCAACAGAGGAACCAUCGAAUUAAAAAUAUGACGCAACAGAUUAACCAUCUGAUGCAAUGAAGGAAACAUUGGAUUAAAGAUCUGAUGCAACAGAUGAACCUUCUGUUGGAUAAAGUCUUAUCAACUCUUCCAACAGAACAUGUCCAAGACUUGAUUUUUUCAACUAAUCAUUCAUCUAUCUCGACAAACGACUCUUCUGUUUGAAGAAAUCUAAACAAUAUUGACUGUUGAUAAUUAUUUCAACAGAUCACUCAGAUGUUGCAACAGAUGUGUCUUCUGUUGCACAAACCAUUCAUCUUUCUCAAUAGAUAAGUGAUAUAUUUUGUAUUGUGGCAACAAAUUACUUAGUUGUUGCUACAGGUUAGUUAACUGUUCCAACAGAUCACUCAUAUGUUGCAAUAGUUGAUUUGUCAUGUAGAAAUUUAUCCCAACAGUUGAUUCAUCUGUUGCAACAGAAAUAUAAUCUGUUUGGGACAAUUUAAAAUAGGAGGAAGACUUGUUUGAUUUGCUAGAACAAAUGAGUUAUCCUUUUCUGUUUUGUUGUAUCUCCGUGAUUAGCAUUGACCAAUUCUGGCUUUCCAGGUGGAUGUAGAAGUUGCUGCUGAAUAGCAUUGAUAAUAUGCUACUCUUUUUAUGGAAAUACGGAGAACAGAAAGCGCAGAAAUCAUACGUAAGCGACAAUAAAGAUCCACGACGACCAAAACCAAAUUCCAUAGCACCGGAUGAAGAACAACUUGUCCAUAUUGAGUAGAUCUUUAUAGCUUGAGUCUGUCAAAGUAAUAACUUCACCCCUCCUUAGGAAUUCUUGGCAUCAAUACUUAGAUUAUUGAAGUAUUUGUUGAGAUCUGUACCCAUAACAAUUUUUUUUACAUUUCAUUUAUUCAUUGAUUUAUUUCAGUUAAUUUCUGAAGACUUCAAUUUAUUUUAUUUUGUCUAUGAAUUUUAUUUUUUCUUAGAUUUGAACUUAUUAAUAAAAUAAAAUACUAAAUUUAAAUAUUGCAACAAAUAAAAAUAUCAAAUAGAUUUAGACAUAUGUUGCAAUAGGUAGGUAAUCUGUUGGAAAUUAUCAAACAGGUCUUCCUACUGUUGCAACAGAUAGAUUUAGAUAGAAACAUCAACAUAAUGCAACAGAUGACCAACCUAUUGCAACAGAUAAACUAUAUGUCAUAAUAGGUAAAAUAUCUAUUACAACAGAUGGACAAUCUGUUGCAUUAUAAAAGUUCAACUUUUCUAAGACAUAAAAAAUUGCCACUACAUGUAAAAAGUUAAAAUGACUUGAAAUAAAAAAGGUGGAACCCAUCUACAAUGUUCAGUUUAAACACCUAAAAUAAAAUAGGCAUCAAGUAGACAGUGUUCAUUUUAAAUAUGUAAAAUAAAAUAGGCAUCAAAUGUGUCAGUUGUCACUUUUUGCCCUGUUGACUGCUCACAUGUAAUUCACGCAGCCAAGGUUCGUUGAACCUCUAUUUUUGCUGAUUUGGCCCCCAACGGUUACUUUUCUUCCAUUGUCUUAUAUAUUCAUCUUCUUCCUAAAAUUUAACCCUAAAUUCCUAAAGCUUCUUUUUCUUCUUCAUCUUUUUUCUCUAUCCAAUUCAUCUCAAUUAUUUGUAUUUUUUUUGCGCAUUUUUUUUUUCCAACUGAGCUUGACAAUGUCGAGUUCAUCUUCCACUGUUUUUUGUGAGAAAGAUUUUUGAUAUUGUAAGUGCAGUCAUAAAGCUCUAUUUAAGAAUUCUUGGACUCAACAAAAUCCAAGUCGUAGGUUUUUUACUUGUAAGAUUUCAAAGGUAAUAUUUUUUUAUUUAAUUAGUUGAUUAAUUAUUGACUUGUAAUUAUUUUGUAAUUGUGUUUUUGUUUUUAUAGAAAUUGGGUGGAUGCGAUUACUUUGAUUGGUAUGAAGAAAGACACCCUUCACAAGCAAAUCGUGGAAUAUAGGGUUUGUUGAAGAAAGUCAAGGCUUCUGAAAAGAAACAAAAUCGAGCAAGAAGAUACUACAUUGUUGUCAUUAUUUGUACUGGUUUGGUGGUGUUGGGUACAUAGAUAUUCAAGCCUAAUUGCUGAAAUUUUCAUGGUGGUGUAUUUGCUACUGGUUUGGUAUUGUCGAGCACAUAGAUAUUCAAGUGUAAUUGUUGGAAAAUAUCAAACAGAUUUAGGCAUAUAUUGCAAAAUUUAGGUUAUCUAUUGGAAAUUAUCAAACAGGUCUUCCUACUGUUGCAACAGAUUUGACUUAGAUUUGAUAGAAAUAACAUUGGCAUAACGCAACAGAUGACCAACCUAUUGCAACAUAUAAACUAUCUACCAGAACAGAUAGAAUAUAUUUUACAACAGAUUGAUAAUCUAUUGUAUUAUAAAAAACUCAAAUUUCAUCAGAAAAAAAUUAUUGCCACUACAUGGACAUGUAAUUUAAAGUGAAGUGUGACUUGAAAUAAAAAUUAUUAUUUCACAGGCUCUUCUUUAUACACAGGCUCCAAGCAUCCAGUUAGUACCACAUAAAUCCAAACCUCUUGCAAUUUUGUCAUAGCAUUGUCGCACAGAAAGAUCGCUGGCUUGAUCAUUUCUAUGCAGGUCAGCAAACAUUCGAUGUAUGAAAGUGCGUGUGAGCUGCACGAGAAAUUGAUAUCAUUUUUUGAAAGGUUCAUGCCCUUGUUUCGCCUUUCAAAACCCCAUGACUUCUUCAUCAACACUUUCUCUGGCAAAUGUUACAUCAGUUUACUCUGCCUCAACAAGAUGGGGAAUAGGUCCAUCAGUGGCUGCACGUUGAUAAAAAAAUGACCUCAUCGAUGGCAGGUUCGUUGCAGUCAUAAUCAUUGAUCUUUCCCUCCUCAAGUAGUAUCUCAACAGCCCGAUAAUGUAUGUCGUCCACGUUCAUGACUACAAUAAUCCUCUUUUCCUCGAUUCAGCUCUUGUCAUGUGGAUUUGGCCUCUCCCCUCUAACAUAUUUUAUCAUUUCUUAUUCAUCCCAGUCUAAUGUAGAAACUAACGACUCAAAUCCUGCGCCACAGGAUGACGCUAGACAAUUGAGUUUAUCGUACUUAUCCUUGAGCUUCUUGUAGAAGUCGAGGUCCAUUAUCCUAUCAGCAGCGUCAUAAGCUUUCGGGUACGCUAAUUGUCUUUUCUCAUAAGGCAGAGAAUUUCGUCAACAUACUGUGAUAUAAGAAGUCAAUUUUUAAAUAGGUUAGUAUUUGUAAAUAUGCAAUGGAUGGUCCAUCUGUUGCAUAGGGUUCUCUGAAUCAAUAAUCCAAUGCAACUUAUGCAACAAAUGAAUAAUAAGUUGCAACAAAACCACUAUCAGUUGCACCAGAAUACCCAGUUGUUGCAACAGAUUUUACAUCUGUUGCGUAUUUGCUUCUUCAUGGAGUAGAUUAGAAGGCUAGGUUAGGAAAAGUAAACUUACCUUGUCCUCGUAUCAUAUACGCAUAUCUGCUAUAAUCUGGAAGUCUUAGGGGUAAAAAGGAGGCCUGGGGUAAUUUGGUGUGCCUCGCUUGGCAUUCUUGGCUCGUCGCAGAUCCUUCUUCUCUUUGGUACCAAGUUCCACGUAUAUGUUGACCUUUUUAAUGGCCUUUAAUCUUUAAUAUUUUUUUAUUUUCGACUGGAGAGUACGUCGCUAAUUGAUCUUUUUUUCCUCUUAACCGCCAUUGUAUGAGUGUAUGGCUCCCUCACCUUCUUGGAUGGUAUGACACCUCUUUUGGAUUUGAACUCCUCGACAGCUUUAGCGAUAGCCUCUACCAUUUCAAAGAGUUUAUCCUAGUUUUCCUUGCACUCUUUAUAUUUGCAACAUGAAUACAAGGGUGAAGAGGGGUGAGAGGGACCGGUGUAAGGGUGAGAGGGACCUGUGUAAGGGUGAGGGAGACCUGUGAAAGGGGUGUUUUAAACAUAUUUAUUUUUUCUUGAGCACCAACAUGCUCAUCAUUACGAGUGGUAUCAUCAUCAGCAUACCUGCCACCAACACCAACAACUCCACCAGAAGAAGCACCCAGAUCUGCCUCAGUAGGUUGGUCAUGAAGAGCCUCAACAUUAGGCUGACCUUGCCUAACUACUCUUCUUAUGGCUAUUUCUCCAGCCAAUUUCUUCUUUAUUAACUCCAUAAUUGGGUCUGCUAUAGUAUCAACAUGACCUAGAGUAAUAAAAGAAGUCAUCCCCAACUCCUGCUCAGUAAGCACGAUCCAUGGAUGAAACCUAUAAAAAAAAUAGAUACAUUUAAAUCAUAUGAUAUAAUAAUUUUCAUAGCUAAGUUACAUGUUAACAUAGAUAACUUAUGCAACAGAUGAUCUGUAUGUUGUAACAGAUUAACAAUAUAUUACAUCAGAUUACACAUCUGUUACAUAUUUUGCAUUAGAUGAUUAAAAUCCAUUUGAGUCGGGUUCAGAGCAACAGAUGGAUAAUCUGAUGCAAAAUAUCAAUCAUCUAUCUCAAUAGAUUACCAAUCUGUUACGCCAGUUGGCACAAGACGAGUAAUCUAUUGGGUUACAUGUUAUACAAUAGAUGAUCUGUAUAUCACAACAGAUUAACAAUAUGUUACAUCAGAUUACCUAUUUGUUGCAUAAUUUACAAUAGAUGCUUAAUAUAUUAAGAGUCGGGUUUGGAGAACCAAAGCAACAGAUGGGUAAUCUGAUGCAAUAUAUCAAUCGUCUGUUGCAACAGACUACCCAUCUGUUGCACCAGUUGGCAUAGGACGGUGUUGCAACAGAUGUCCCAUCUGGUGUAUCAGAUAUAAUAUUCGUUGCUCCAGAUAUAAUAUCUGUUCAAUAUCUUUCAUUGAAUCAAAUUAUUUUACUUGAAGAAGACGUACUGCAUUAUCCAGAGGGUUAAAGAAAUCAACUUCCUUAAUUCUUGUGUUGUUCUUUGUAGCUAACCACCUAAACAUUCUUGGAUGAGAAACCUCAUCUGGGUAAUCCAUUACCCACUUUCGGAGGGGAGGAAUGACUUCAAAUUCUCAAGCCUAAAAAAUGUAAACAGGAAGCAAGAAACUUUUUUUAUAAUAACUAUAUUCAAUAUAAAUUAAUGGAUGAGUAAAAAUAAUGAUUAAUUUUACAAUAAAAGCCCAAGAAAAUACGUAUAAUGUGGUCAUCCCUAGGGAUAGCUUUGUUAGUAAAUAUUGGAUAGUCAAGUAGAAGCCGUCAUAUCCCCAGGGAUAAUUGUUGAAUUUAUCAAAAUCCUCAGCACACGCCAACAAAUCAUCUUUUAUGACCUUGUUGACAUCUCUUGCCAAUAUAACCAAAUGGGAAAACCAAACUAAGCACAAUUUCUCCCUGUACUGCUUUGGUAUGGUUUUAUCCUUGAUAUUUAUCAUCAAAUCCGAUGCUUUGUAGCCACGUCCAGCAAUGUCCAACAACCCAUCUAUGUUUUUCUUCCAUUUGUUAGUUUUACUGGGUGGUGGCUAGGACAAUGCCUUCCCUCUAUUUGCUUGUGGUGAUUUGUCUAUCCUGCUUGCCUUGGACCUUUUGCGGGGUAUUUCCUUGGAGAUAGGUUCUUCUGUACGAUCGCAUCUCAAGCCCGUCACUAUGGCAAACUCUUGCAAGCCAAAACAAACCAGCAUGCCACAAUACUUGAUCAAGAUUUCAUCCAUCUUUUUGCCCACUCCUUCGAAUCUUUAUCAUCCCCCACGUACUUGAUCCUGCACUUGAGAAGACCAUAUACCAUCCUUAUUUGGAAACAAGCAGGGGGUCCUCGGGCAGCUCGAGAAAGCGUCCAAAGCAGCUCCUAUAAAAAAGUCCAUCUAUGUUUUCCUUCUUCAUAAUAUUCCUAGAAUAAUUAAAAAAUUUCCCCAACUGACAUUUAAGUACAAGUUCACCAGUUAGUUCUUUUGGGUCAUCUAUCGACAUCGCAACUUGAAACCUAUCAAUACUAAUAAUUUUGACAGAAUCAUGCUGGGAUGUCGAUAUUAAUUCACGCCCCAUUGGUGAUCCAUUGUUAUCAUGUUGAUGAUGAUCUUCUUUAUCACUUUCUAAUUCCUCCUCUUUCUCACUGUCAUUUUCUUCAUCACCAUUUAAUGACCCUUAUCCAUCUCCUUCAACGUUGUUUUCAUAUCUCUCCUCAGCUUCACUUUUUCCUGACUGAGAUUGUUCAGGAAGCUCCUUUGAAUCCUUUUGUACUGUAGCCUUUGUUGUUGGGUGGUCAGAAGUUGAUCCACUUUCACUUUUUUUUCUUUUGGGAGACAUGUUUUACCUACAAACAACAGAAAAACAAAAAUUAUAUUACAAUUGAUGUAUGCAUAAAUUUUAAAAAAUACAUUACAAACACCACCAAUAUCGACACACCAACAACCACCACCACAAACACAACCAACCAAUGCCACAAACACCACGGAUACCGAUACAACCAACAGCCACCACAAACACCACCAAACAAUUCUACUAACAGACACUACAAACACCACUAGUGCCACCACGACGACUACCAACACUAACACCAUGACCACCAACACUACAAAUAACAUCAAACAAUACCACGAAAGUCAACGGAACACUGCGACAAAAAUUAGGGUUUUCUCGAGUUCUUCCUCUGAUUGUACCAUCAAAACUCAAAAUUAUAAAUCCAUUCUUGAAGAUAAUACAACUAAAAGUCUUUUUUUCAUCAUUAACUUAAAAACCCUUAUUUUUUAGAAAAAAUAACAAAUAUAGAACUCUUCUCAAACUCUGUUACCUACGAAGACAGAUAAAAUGACUGAUACAAGCAAGAAUGAAGUCGAAAAUACACCUACAUAGUCGAAAAUGAGAAGAAAAAUAAUUUGUUAUGAAGGGUUGAGCAAUUUGUUGAGUAGCUGUUGUAUUGUUGAGAGAGAGAAAUAAGCGAGAACUCAAGAUUUGAAAUGAUGAAACGUCUUUCUCACAAAUGGAUGAUUUGUAUGGGUUGAUUUGUAUUUUGAAAAAGAAUGAAAAGUUUUAAAAAUGUUAAUUUGGUCCGAAUUGAUCUUUAUUAUUUUUAAAAAUUAUAAAAGAUAUGCAUAGUUUUUAAACCUCUCAUCAUGUGAUUGCUAAAAGACUCAAUUGAAGUUAUAGUUGACACUAUGAGAACUCACCCCUAGUCCUAGAUUAAUCAAUUAAGGCAUUAGUUGAACAUAUGAACUCAUUUGAAUUUGUAUAAAACAAAUGUUCAACCUGUUGCAACAGAUUACCCAUCUGUUGUAAAUUAUCAGAUAGGCGCUGCCAUCUGUUGUAGUUUACCCUAUGAUUAAUUAAGGUAAUCGUUGAACAUAUUAGGUAGUAAGAAUCGCUUCACCUCAAAGUGAUCGAUCGACGACUCUGGUCGGGAGAAACGCAAUACCAUCUCAUCAUGUAUUUGCCAAAAGACUUAAUUGAAGUUGUAGUUGACCAUAUGAGAACUCACCCCUAGUCCUAGAUUAAUCAAUUAAGGUAUUAGUUGAACAUAUAAGGUAAUAAGAAUCGAUUCAGCUCAGAGUGUUCGAUCGACGACUCUAGUCGAGAGAAACAAAAUACCGUCUCAUCAUGCGAUUACCAAUAGACUCAAUUAAAGUUAUAGUUGACCCUAUGAGAACUCACCCCUAGUCCUAGAUUAAUCAAUUAAGGCAUUAGUUGAACAUAUGAACUCAAUUGAAAUUAUAUAAAAAUAAAUGUUCAACCUAUUAAAAAAGAUGACCCAUCGGGUGGAAUUAAUCAAAUAGAUUAAGUUAUCUGUUGCAACAGAUUACACAUCUGAUGGAAUUAAUCAAACAGAUUAAGUCAUCUGUUACAACAGAUUACCCAUCUAUUGUAAACUAUCAAAUAGAUGUCGCCAUCUAUUGUAGUUGACCCUAUGAUCAAUUAAGGUAUUAGUUGAAUAUAUUAGGUAAUAAGAAUCGCUUCACCUCAGAGUGAUCGAUCGAUGGCUCUAGUGGGGAGGAAUGCAAUACUGUCUCAUCAUGCAUUUCCUAAAAUACUCAAUUGAAGUUGUAGUUGACCUUAUGAGAACUCACCCCUAGUCCUAAAUUGAUCAAUUAAGGUAUUAUUUGAACAUAUAAGGUAAUAAGAAUCGAUUCAGCUCAUAGUGAUCGAUCGACGACUCUGGUCAGGAGGAACGCAAUACUGUCUCAUCAUGCGAUUGCCAAAAGAAUAAAUUGAAGUUGUAGUUGACCCUAUGAGAACUUACCCCUAGUCCUAGAUUAAUCUACUAAGGCAUUAGUUGAACAAAUAAACUCAAUUGAAAUUAUAUAAAAACAAAUGUUCAACCUAUUACAAUAAAUGACCCAUCUAUUAGAAUUAAUCAAAUAGAUUAAGUUAUCUGUUGCAACAGAUUACCCAUCUGUUGGAAUUAAUCAAACAUAUCAAGUCAUCUAUUGGCAUAAAUUACCCAUCUCUUAUAAAUUAUCAAAUAGGAAAUGCCAUUUGUUGUAGUUGACCCUAUGAUCAAUUAAGGUAUUAGUUGAACAUAUUAGGUAAUAAGAAUCGCUUCACCUCAGAGUGAUUGAUCGACGACUCUGGUCGGAAGGAACGCAAUUUCGUCAAAUUAUGUAUUUGCCAAAAGACUCUAUUAAAGUUGUAGUUAACCCUAUGAAAACUCACCCCUAGUCCUAGAUUAAUCAAUUAAGGUAUUAGUUGAACAUAUAAGGUAAUAAGAAUCAAUUCAGCUCAUAGUGAUCGAUCGACGACUCUGGCCUGGAGGAGCGCAAUACCGUUUUAUCAUGAGAUUGUCAAAAGACUCAAUUAAAGUUAUAGUUGACCCUAUGACAACUCACCCCUAGUCCUAGAUUAAUCAAUUAAGGCAUUAGUUUAACAUAUGAACUCAAUUAAAAUUGUAUAAAAAUAAAUGUUCAAUCGGUUGCAACAGAUUACCCAUCCAUUUGAAUUAAUCAAAUAGAUUAAGUUAUUUGUUGCAACAAAUUAUCCAUCAGUUGGAAUUAAUCAAACAACUUAAGUCAUCUACUAUAAAUUAUCAAAUAGGUGCUGCCAUAUGUUGUAGUUGACCCUAUGAUCAAUUAAGGUAUUAGUUGAACAUAUUAGGUAAUAAGAAUCGCUUCACCUCAGAGUGAUCAAUUAACAACUCUGGUCGGGAGGAACGCAAUAUCGUCUCAUCAUGCAUUUGCCAAAAGACUCAAUUAAAGUUGUAGUUGACCCUAUGAGAACUCACCCCUAGUCCUAGAUUAAUCAAUUAAGGUAUUAUUUGAAUAUAUAAGGUAAUAAGAAUCUAUUCAACUCAAAGUGAUCGAUCGACGAUCUGGUCGGGAGGAAUGCAAUACCAUCUCAUCAUGCAAUGGCCAAAAGACUCAAUUAAAGUUGUAGUUGACCCUAUGAGAACUCACCCCUAGUCCUACAUUAAUCAAUUAAGGCAUUAGUUGAACAUAUGAACUCAAUUAAAAUUAUAUAAAAAUAAAUAUUUAACUUGUUGCUACAGAUGACGGAUCUGUUGGAAUUAAUCAAAUAGAUUAAGUUAUUUGUUGCAACAGAUUAUCCAUAUGUUGGAAUUAAUCAAACAAAUUAAGUCAUCCGUUACAACAGAUUGUCCAUCUGUUGUAAAUUAUCAAAUAGUCACUGUCAUUUGUUGUAGUUGACCCUAUGAUCAAUUAAGGUAUUAGUUGAACAUAUUAGGUAAUAAGAAUCGCUUCACUUCAGAGUGAUCGGUCGAUGACUCUGGUCGGGAGAAAUGCAAUACCGUCUCAUCAUGUAUUUUCCAAAAGAAUUAAUUGAAGUUGUAGUUGACCCUAUGAGAACUCACCCCUAGUCCUAGAUUAAUGAAUUAAGGUAUUAGUUGAACAUAUAAAGUAAUAAGAAUUGAUUCAGCUCAUAGUGAUCAAUCGAUGACUCUGGUCGGGAGAAACGCAAUACUGUCUCAUCAUGCGGUUUCCAAAAGACUCAAUUGAAGUUGUAGUUGAACUAUGAGAACUCACCCAUAGUCCUAUAUUAAUCAAUUAAGGCAUUAGUUGAAUGUAUGAACUCAAUUAAAAUUGUAUAAAAACAAAUGUUCAACCCAUUACAGUAGAUGACCCAUCUGUUGGAAUUAAUCAAACAGAUUAAGUCAUCUGUUGCAAUACAUGACCCAUCUGUUGUAUUUAAUCAAACAAAUUAAGUCAUCUGUUGGAAUUAAUCAAACAGAUUAAGUUAUCUAUUGUAACAGAUUAUCCAUCUGUUGUAAAUUAUUAAAUAGGAGCUGCCAUCUAUUGUAGUUGACCCUAUAAUCAAUUAAGGUACUAGUUAAACAUAUUAGGUAAUAAGAAUUGCUUCACCUCAGAGUGAUCGAUCGACGACUCUGGUCGGGAGGAACGCAAUACCAUUUCAUCAUACAUUUACCAAAAGACUCAAUUGAAGUUGUAGUUGACCCUAUAAGAACUCACCCCUAGUCUUAUAUUAAUCAAUUAAGGUAUUAGUUAAACAUAUAAGGUAAUAAGAAUCGAUUUAGCUCAUAGUGAUCAAUCUAAGACUCUGGUCGGGAUGAACGCAAUACCGUCUCAUCAUGCGAUUGCCAAAAGACUCAAUUGAAGUUAUAGUUGACCCUAUGAGAACUCACCCCUAGUCCUAUAUUAAUUAAUUAAGGCAUUAGUUGAACAUAAUGUUUAACCUGUUGCAACAGAUGACUCAUCUGUUGAAAUUGAUCAAACAGAUUAAGUCAUCUAUUGCAACAGAUUACCCAUCUGUUGGAAUUAAUUGAACAGAUUAAGUCAUCUGUUGCAACAGAUUACCCAUCUAUUGUAAAUUAUCAAAUAAACACUGCCAUCUAUUGUAGUUGACCCUAUGGUCAAUUAAGGUACUAGUUGAACAUAUUAGGUAAUAAGAAUUGCUUCACCUUAGAGUGAUCAAUCGACAACUCUGGUCAGAAGAAAUGCAAUAACGCCUCAUUAUGUAUUUUCCAAAAGACUCAAUUGAAGUUGUAGUUGACCCUAUGAGAACUCACCCCUAGUCCUAGUUUAAUGAAUUAAGGUAUUCAUUGAACAUAUAAGGUAAUAAGAAUCAAUUUAGCUCAGAGUGAUCGAUCAACGACUCUGGUCGAGAGGAACGCAAUACUGUCUCAUUAUGAAAUUGUCAAAAGACUCAAUUAAAGUUGUAGUUGACCCUAUGAUAACUCACCCCUAGUCCAAGAUUAAUUAAUUAAGGUAUUAGUUGAAUAUAUAAGGUAAUAAGAAUCGAUUCAGCUCAGAGUGAUCAAUCGAUGACUCUGGUUAGGAGAAAUACAAUACCGUCUCAUCAUGUGAUUGCCAAAAGACUUAAUUGAAGUUGUAGUUGACUCUAUAAGAACUCACCCCUAAUCCUAGAUUAACCAAUUAAGGCAUUAGUUGAAUAUAUAAACUCAAAUGAGAUUGUAUAAAAACAAAUGUUAAACCUGUUGCAAUAGAUAACCCAUCUGUUGGAAUUAAUCAAACGGAUUAAGUCAUCUGUUGCAACAGAUUACCCAUCUGUUGUAAAUCAUCUGUUGCGAUAGAUGACCGAUCUUUGAAAAUUUUUAAACAAAAAUUGUCAUCUAUUGCAAAGUAUGACUUUGAUAUUUCAAGAUUCUUUUUUUAAAAGUAAUUUAGAUAUUUUUUAUCCGAGAUAAAAAAACAUAAAAUACUUAGGCGGUAAAAAAUAUUACUUGGAUAACUCAAAAAUCUCCCUAGUGAGUAGUCUUAUCUGGUCUUUUUAAUAUCACCGUCUCCUCGUGCCCCUCAAAAGUUAUUAAUGAAUAUUUAAAACUCGUAUCUACUCCUUCCAUUUCAUUUUAGUUGACCCUCUUUCUAAAAGUAUUUGUUCAAUUUAGUUGUCCCAAUGAUGAAAUCAAGAGGAUUUUAAUAUGUUCUUCCAAUAAUACCCUUAUCAUUAAAUGACUAAACAAGUUGUAUAUAUUCAAAUUUAUAUUUUUAAAGCAUAAUUAAUAAGGCUAAUUUGGUAAAAUAGACCCCUAAUAAAAAAAAUUCUUAAUGGAUGUGCCAAGUCUAUAGGGGCCAACACAACUAAUAUGAAAUGGAGGGAGUAGAAUACUCUCUCCUUCAGCCAUAAACUCGAGACGAGAAACUCAACUCAUAUCUCUCUCUUCUUUAUUCUCAAUUCUUUUUUUUUCUUCCUCUCUUUUCUCUCUUCUUUCAGAUGAUGAUCCUUUAGGAUCUCAACCUAUCAAUAUCUUUUCUCGACUGAACUAGAUGUUCUGAUCCCUUUGCUUUUUUGACAUUGCAGGUAUGGUUUACUAUUGCUCUGUCCUUCUCGUCUUCUUCUUUAUAUGUUAUUUAAAUUAGAUAUUUAUAUCUAUUGCUAUUAAUGAUUUACCCAUUACCAGUUUCCUAUUUAUUGAGAAAAUUGAAGGAAAGGUGACUUUUAAGUCUUGAAUAAAUGCAUUGUUAUUUUUAUUAAAAUAUGCAAAAAAAGUCAUUUUUUGUGAGAACUUAAGCCUUGUUGUCAGUGUAGUUUUUUUUAUGUGUUGGGGGUGGUGGUGGUGUUGGAACAUGUGGUGUUGGUGUUGUUAAUGGUGUUGGAACAUAUGGUGCUAUUUUUUUUGUUGUUGGUGGUGUUGCAACAGUUUUCUCAACUGUUGCAAUCGAUGAAUCGGCUGUUGGAACAGACGGAGCAACUGUUUGAAAAAAUCAAACUAGUAGAAAGGCUGGUUUGAUUUAUUCCAACAGAUAACCCAUCUGCUGUAACAUAUCAUUCAUCUGUUACAACAUAUGCCUCAUCGGUUGAACAGAUGGGAAUCUGUUGCAUCAGAUUGGUCUUCUAUUGAUUCAUUCAAUUUUGUGUUACCCUUUUGUAAUGUUCUUUUUAUUCUUCUCUUGUUUGACAUCAAAUGUAUUUCUCUUAUUUGCAGAUAAAAACAAGUAAAACUAGAACAACUUUUGCCCGACCAGCAUUAAAGGUUAGACUAAAGAUCGGUACGGAGGAAUAAGCUACUUGUAGAUGGAACCACUUCAUAUGUGGGAGGUAUGUAUUACUAAUCAAUCUAUCAUAAAAACACACAUCCAGUACAAUAAUUUUGUGAAUGUUGGUUCUUUACCUAUUAGGCAUUAAUCCUUUAAACAAGAUAUGGUAUUUUAUAGUUAAGAUUGUUAAGUUCGAACUAGUAAGACUGAGGGACCAAGUAGGUGGUGUCGAUACCCUGUUACAAUUUAAUAAAGAUUUUACCAAUGUUUAUGUGUUAAGUUUGGAGAAGGGUUAGGGUUUUUGGUGGUAGUGCAAAAUUUAAAUAGUGAUUGCACUGACUUUAAGGGUUCAAUAGACUGUUGAAAGGCCUCCGAAGCCUCGUACUGCUGCGAACAAGAAUGGAAAUGAAUAUAGUUAUUGCUCUGGUCCAAAUUUAUAUGGAUGGGUAGUUCGAGAAGACUAUUAUACAACAAAAGGUUGUUGUAAGAAUACCUUUGUAGAAAGAGGGAGGUGAAGAAGACCAUUUAUAAAAUUAGACCUUAUUAAAUAAGAAACACAAGGUAGGAAGGAAAGUGUAGCAAAACUGGCUGAUGAAAUUGACAUGAAAAAUUAAAAAACUAAAUGAGUUACGAAUGUGAAAGUGUAUCCAAAAAGUGAAAAUCCAUCAGUUUUCUUGAAAACGAAAAAUGCUCAAGUGGAAUGGAGCAGUGCACUUUGUUAUGGGGCAACAACUAGCUAACGUGGACUGAAUAAAGACUCACAAAAUGUAGGAACAGAACUCUAAGGAAGCAGCUUUACGAGCACGGGAGGUGGUAAGAUUGUCGGUCAGAAUUGAAACCUGAACCGACUACUCCUGAAUUAAAAAUAAGGGAUCAAGCCAAGGUGGUAAUUUUUCAAGUUAAACUUGCAUCACAUGUCUCCUGUUUAUGGCUCUGGUCAGGUUAAAGGCAGUGGAAACAACAAGGCAUGGGAUUUUUGCCUAAAUUCAGAUCUUUUUGUUUCUACUGCCAUUGACCUGAUCACAUCCACAAACAUAAGGCAUGGCAUGCAAGUUAGACUUCAAAAAUUGACGCCUUGGCUUCCCUUAUUUUUACUUCUGGAGUUGUUAGUUCAGGUUUUAUUCUUAACUAAAAAUCUUACCAAUUUCCUGCGAUCGCGAAGCUUCUUCCUUAGAGUUCUAGUCCUGUACUUUGUGAGUCUUCAUUGAGGCCACGCUCACUAGUUACAGUCUCUAGCAAAGUGACCAGCUCCAGUCCUCUUGACAUUCUUCUUUUUCUUCAAUGACUGGCAGAUUUUUAUAUUUGAAUACACUUCCACAUUUGAAGCACAUUCAGUUUUUUCAUUUCUCAUGUCAAUUUCAUUGGCCAGAUUCGCUAGAAGUUCCUUACUUUCUUUCCUGUGUUUCCUCUUAAACAAGGUCUGAGAUGAUAUAUGGUCUUCUCUACCUCUUCCUUCCCACACAGGUAUCCUCCUAAGCACUUUUUGUUGUAUAAUAGUCUCCUCGAGCAACCCAUUCAUAUAAAUUUGGACCAGGAAAAUUUCUAUUAGUUCCAUCGUUGUUUGAUACAGUGCGAGGCUUUGGAGGCCUUUUAAGAAGUCCAUUGCGCCAUUAAAAUCGGUCCAAUCACUAUUGGAUAUUUACACUGCCGCCAAAAACUUGAACCCUUCACCGAAAUUGACACAAAAACAUGAGCAUAGACUAUCAUUAAAUUAUAACAGGGUAUCGACACCACCAUCUUGGAACCCUUCGGCCUUAUCAGUUCACACCGAUCAAACUAAACUGUACAAUGCAGGAUCUUGUUUGAAGGAUCAAUGUCUAAUCAGUAAAAAACUCCAUUUACAAAAUCGUUAUACUUUGUGUGUCUGGUACAGUAGCCUGAUCAAUAAUACAUAACUCUCGCGCAUGAAAGUGGAUCCAUUCAUCUGCACGCACCUUAUUUUUCCUACCCCAUCAAUACAUGUCAGAUAGUGUUUAUUUUUCAGCACGCAUGUGAUGACUAUUAAAAAAGAGGUGAAGAGUCAUGACUUUUUAUCUAACACAUUCAAAACAGCUGAUGAACCAAAUUCUCCAUCUGUUGCAACUGAUGAAUUAGCUCUUAGAAGAAAUCAAAACAUCUCCUCCAAUAUAUGGUCCAUCUGUCAUAACAUAUAAUCCAUAUAUUGUGACAGAUGGUAAAUCUGUUACGAAAGAACAGACAAUAUUUAUUCAUCUGCACGCAUGUGAUGACUAUUAAAAAAGAGGCGAGGAGUCGUGACUUUUUAUCAAACACACUCAAAAUAGCUAACAUAUCAAAUUCUCCAUCUGUUGUAACUGAUGAAUCGGCUGUUAGAAGAAAUCAAAAUAUCUCCUCCAAUAGAUGGUCCAUCUGUCGUAACAGAUAAUACAUAUGUUGCACCAGAUGUUGCAACGGAUGAUAAAUCUAUUGUAACAGACCAGACAGUGUUUAUUCAUUUGCACGCAUGUGAUGACUAUUGAAAAAGAGGAGAAGAGUCAUAACUUUUUAUCUAACACAUUCAAAACAGCUGAUAAAUCAAAUCUCCAUCUGUUGCAAUAGAUGAAUCAGCUGUUAGAAGAAAUCAAAACAUCUCCUCCAAUAAAUGGUCCAUCUGUCGCAACAGAUAAUACAUAUAUUGCAACAGAUGUCUCAUCUGUUGCACAUAUAAACCAUAUAUUUCAACAAAUGAUAAAUCUAUUUUGACAGACCAUCUGUUGCACAUAUAGACCAUCUAUUGCAAUAGAUGAUAAAUCUGUUAUGAAAGAUAGACGAACUGUUACAACAGCUCAAUAAUAACGGUUGUUAUCAAGUGUCAAACCAUUUUGAAAAGGUGAGAAAUAUUAAUGUAAAAGAAAAAGUCGCGACUUUUCACAGGAAACAAAAUGCCACUAGUUUGAAUGUAAUUAAUACAAUGGAGCUGAACAGUCAUGCCUUUUUUCCUAACACAUCCAGAUUCAAUCCUCCAUAAAUAGGUCCCUCCUUAAUCUUCAUUCUAGUCAACUUUAUUUAUUUAUUGUAUUUUUCUUUUUGUGUGACAUCUUCAACCACUUCUCUUCAAAGAGCAUAUUCCUUUCUCAUUGAGAUAAGUUUUUUUUUGUGUAAAUCUACCAGUUGGUAGUAUAUGUUAUAUUACAUUUGGAUUAUUUUCUUUACAUUUGUCAAUUCAUGCGUGUUCUAGAUAUGGCUGAUCCUGUUUGGGAUAUUGCUAUUCUGCGUGACACAGUGUGGGAACUUCAGAGGCAAUUUAAUGACCUUCAUAGGGAGUUGGUCGCCGUGAGAGCGACGAUGUUCAGAGAAAUGCAGAGGCUGAUGAGGGCCCUAUUGCUGGGAGUUGAUUGGUUGGCUGUCAUUAAUGAUGAUGAUGAUGAUAAUAAUAAUAAUAAUAAUUAGAAUGUGUUUUUUCUUUUAGCGUAUGUAUUUUAAUUUUUCUAUAGCGGAUCUAUACCUAAUGUAUUUUAUUUUUCAUUUAAUGAAAAAUUUAUUUUUAGUCGAUUGUAGCUUUUUAAUUCUUAUUCAAUUUUCAUUCUGUCUAUUUCUUCUAAACAUAACAUACAUGUUAACAUGUCGACGGUUGGAGGCAAGGAGUAAUUUUGAAUCUAGUAGCAAUAGAAAUUUUGGCUUUUGAGUUCUUUCAAUAGAUGGACCAUGUGUUGGAACAGAUUGAUCAUCGAUUGGGUUUCUGUCAACAGAUUAUUGAUCUGUUGUGACAGAUUUGUCAUCUGUUGGAGAAAAAUAUUUCAGUUUGAUGGAACUGUAUUUUGUUCUUCCAGCUAAUGUCCAUCUUUUCCAUAGAUGGGUAAUCUAUUAAAAAUAAUUAUGGUCUGUUGUAUUAUUUAGUUCAUAUUUUGCCUCUUUUUAUUGAUGCACAAGUUAUUAAAAAAGAUAUUUUAUAUAUAAUAAAUAAUAACAUUACGUUCACAACAAUGAGUUAAAUAUAUAAAAGUCUACAAUAAACAACAACACAAGUUUUUGCAAUUACAACGAUCACGGUGGAUUAUGAUCCGGGCAUGUAGUUCUUUUGUGGCCAGCGCGCUUACAUACAAAGCACUUGUUUCUUCUUGAUGAAAAUGAUUCUCUGACUCCACGCCUCCUCUUAUAUGGAUUUCUUCCCGAUUUGAUAGUGCUUGGAUCAAUAUAUGGAGGAGGUAUUAAUCUCCCUAAAAGCUCUGCAGGAACAACUCAAGAUUCUUCGGGAGACACCAAAGUAAUAUGCCCACUAUAUGCCAUUGUAUAUUUUUCCACCGAAUAAUAUUGAGAGGAGUGCUUGUAAAUUUCAGGUCCAUAUUUUAUAUCGUAUUAAGCUUGAAGCACUGUCAUAGCAUGUGGACAGGGUAUUUUGUCCAAGUAAAAAACUUUGCACGUACAAGAUCUUGUUUGAAGAUCGAUUGUGGCAACAUCACCAUGACCGGUGAUACUAAACUUGUAAUCUUCUAUUUGAUGGGAUAAUAAACUAUUCCUCAGACUGAUGUUCGUUGAUAUUAUUUUUUUCAUUUCUAGAACAAAUGGGGUUCCUGCGUCCUUGAACUGCACACGCCUUUCGUUAAAAAAUUGGCCACACUUUUUGUUUAUUUUUUCAACAAAGCCUUGAUAGGAAAUUCUCUUUCAUCGUCAAACAAUGAAUUCACCGAUUCAGCUAUGUUUGAUGUCAUAAUAUUGUACCUAUACAAAAGAAUCACUUAGUACGACAUCAUACUAAACUUGUAACUCAAACAAGACAUUAAAUUCAUAAGAAUGUACCUAUCUACCGGACAAAAUGUUCGACUCCAUCUCUCGAAAUUGACACAUAUGAGAAGUUUUGCUACCUUGAGAUUCAUAUCCGUUAUUUGAUUGAAAUGGUCUAAAAACUCCUCUCUACUAUAUGCUUUAACUGCUUUAUUAAAAAGGGUCACAACCCAUUCGUCGUGAUAGUUGGUCCGAAUGUUCUUUCUAAGAUGCCUGAUGCAACAACCAAAGUAAGCUGAAGUGAUGAAAAUUGAACCCAUCUUUGGAAUACUUGGAUGCCUAUCCGAAACAAAACACAACUCUUCGGUAUCUUCAAUGCAACUUUGCAGUUGUUCAAAAAAACCCAUAAGAGGCAUCACAUUCCUUGUUCUCUACACAAAAAGCAACAGGAAAGAUGUGAUUCUCCACAUCCUGUGCCACCGCCGCUAGCAAAACUCCAUUAUAACUGCUCCCCAAGAAGGUACCAUCGACGGCUAUGCCUUUUCUCAAAUGUCAAAAACCUUGAAUCCAAGCACCAUAGGAUACAAAAAAGUACUUGAACCUGUCACACCCCUUUUUAAAAGCCAAAAAGAUUCGUUUUAAAUUCGAAAGGGUUUUUAUUAUUCAGUGGCAAAAGAAAAUAAUUUGUUUCGAAGAAGGAUUGUAUUUCCAUUCGAAAUCAGAGUCGCCACUUGGCAUAGAUCGGGUGUGUCAGGUCACCUUUGGAAAUCCUUUUUUCAAAAUAGUUUGACUCUGAAUACUGAUCCACGAACAGAGAUUCCGGCUAAAGAAUUUUGUUGACCGAGGGGAAGGUGUUAGGCACCCUUUGAUCCCGUUGUUCGACCACGGUCGCUUGGUGAGGCGUAUCGGCUAGUUUGGCAUUACAAAUGUAUAAACCACACAAAAUACAUAAAACAAUCAAUCGAAGACACAAAAUAAAACAAAUCCAGAAGUGUAGUGUCCAGUCCGAAUUAUACAGUUCCAAAAUAAAAAUACAGAAAUAUAAACCCUAUUCUAUUCUAAACUAAACUCCACCCGACGUUCCGGGCCUUGACCGUGAACCAUAUUUCGAUACAACUUUCUCGGGGCAUUCCCCGGAUAAGGCAAUACAGAUACCUCGGGGCGUUCCCCGUCCAAAUGAGUAUAAUUGAGUCAAAGGCGAUAAAAUAAAGCUAUUCAACAUAUAUUUCAAGCAUUCCAUAAUCCACAAGUUCUCAAUUUGCCUACUCGAGCCUACUGUUGCCUACACCGUUCGACCUAUCAUGAUACUUUCGCGAAGUUGAUAAUUAGAUGCAAAAUUAACAAUGACAAUGAAUCAAAGCAGCAAAUUUAUCCAUCUUUUAUCAUCCGAUCCCCCAAUCCAUCAACCAAAUUAUCACAUGCUUCGAUUAUCAAUUCAAGUGUUCAAAGUUUGAAACCAACGUCAACUAACACACAACAAAGAUUCAAAUAUACCAAAAAACAAAUCAUUCAUAUUCAUGACAUCAAUGCAUCACGUGAGGGUAAAAUAGGAGAAGAAUAGAGUUGAAGAAUUAGACCUCAAAUGACGACUUUAUUUCGAUCAAAUCGGGUUACUUGAUUAGAGAGCCACCGAACCUUAAACCGGGCCCAAACUCACAAAACUUGAUCCCGAACUUGGUUUAAUCGCCAAAUCAGACCCAAAAUAUUAAAAUAUCAAGAAUGCAUAAAAGAUUUCGCCGAAACCAAAUCCAAGAUUGGUUGACUUGUUUUGUUGCGGGACUUAGACUGCUACGGGUUGAUCGGAGCUCCGGCGACCCCCAAUAGCGACAGGAAGAUGACGGGAUGAUGGUUGGAUUUACUUUUCAUAUCGUCGGAGCUCCGGCGAGCCCCAACAAUGGAUGAAACGGAUAAGAAAGGAUGGUAGCAGCGUUUUUCCGAUGAGAACUUGUCGGAAAAAGUCCUCUCCCGCGUAUCUCUCUCACUCUUUAGUAGCUCUCUCCCUCUUUCUAUUCUCAAUUCCGAUCUCUCUCUAAUUACUGUGCAUGAGUGUGUGUGGAAUUCUAUAUUUUCUAGUGUGACCCGUGUGUGUGUGGUAUAUUGUGAAGGUGAUGAUGAGUGUCUGUUGAUGGUGAGGUCUUUUUGUGAGGGUCAGUAAUGGAUAAGAGGCGUAUGUGUGUGUGAAUUGUAUAUAUGGCUUGUAUUGUUGUUCCCCUUUUUGCUCCCCUAUCACUGUAUUCGUAGGUGGGUAUGUAUAUUGUAAGGAAAAAAUGUGAGUAGGGUGAGGUUAGGUAGGGUAGGGGUAUAGGGUGAGGUAGGAUAGUGAUGUGUUGUCCACUUUUAAUGGGGAAGGUUGUUAAUUUGUUAUCAAUUGGGAUUAUGUGGGAAUUUUUAGGAUAAGAUUUGUUUAGAGCUAGUUUUGAUUUUUUGUCAUUUGUGAAGGGAUAAUUACAUGGUUGAGGGUACACGGUAGGAUAAGGUAAAAUGAGUAAAAGUGAUUGGGGAGGGACAAAAUUAGGUGUCUACAUCAUGCCCCCUUUGAAUGUAAACACGAAGUGUUUUCAGACAAAUAAGUAGAUAACGAGACAAAAUUUUGUCCCGGCCAUUAUUCAGAGAAACAGAUGGAAAAAAAAAAGCAAUUGGGUCUUGACUUAGGACAUCCUACCUACCCAAGUUACGAGGUAAUCAAGUCACAGGUAUCUUAAAGGAUUGGAAGGAGAAGGACUAUACCGAGUUGGAGAGUUGAGUGAGGUCCCGUCGAGGUUCCAGUCCGCGGCUCUGUCAUUACAUCAAAAAUAAAAAUUACAAGUUAGAACAUAAAUGAAAUUACAAAAUCCUAUCUAUGCUGCUUCUUUUGGACUCUUAACUUGAGUUUCAUCACCGUGUUUUUCAGGAGGGUUCCUGACUUGCAAUUUCUUCAACUUGUUGCUUGAUUUUCAAUUUCUUCACCUUGUUCUCCAGACGGGAUCCUAACUUGCUAUUUUUCGAUCUAUUGACUUUCAUUUUCUUCACCUUGUUGCUUGACUUUCAGCUUCUUCACUUUGUUGCUUGACUUUCAGCUUCUUCACUUUGUUGCUUGACUUUCAGCUUCUUCACUUUGUUGCUUGAUUUCCUAUUUAUUCGCCUUGUUCUUCAGGCGGACUCCUACUUGCAUGUUGCAAUGAUGAACUAAGACUCUGACCAAGAAAUGCAUCUCUUGAGAGUAAAAUUGAAUGACCAAGACUAGGAAGUGCAUCUCCUAAGAAUUAAAGUGAGGGAUUCCGACUAGAAAGUGUCUCCUUAUAAAUACCGCUUGAAUUACCAAACAAGGAAGUGCAUCUCCUUACCAAUGCCGCCUUAAUUACCAAACAAGGAAGUGCGUCUCCUUACAAAUGUUUCUUGAAUUACCAAACAAGGAAGUGCAUCUCCUUACCAAUAUCGCUUGAAUUACCAAACGAGAAAGUAUGUCUCCUUAUAGAUGCUGCUUGAAUUACCAAACAAGGAAGUGCAUCUCCUUACCAAUGCCGCUUGAAUUACCAAAAAAAGAAAGUGCAUCUCCUUACCAAUGCCGCCUUAAUUGCCAAACAAGAAAGUGUGUCUCUUUACCAAUGCUGCUUGAAUUACCAAACAAGAAAGUGUAUCUCCUUACCAAUAUCGCUUGAAUUACCAAACACGGAAGUGCAUCUCCCUACCAAUGCUACUUGAAUUACCAAACAAGGAAGUACAUCUCCUUACCAAUGCCUCUUGAAUUACCAAAACAAGGAAGUGCAUACUCUUACCAAUGCAACUUGAAUUACCAAAAUAAGGAAGUGUGUUUCCUUACCAAUGAUGCUUGAAUUGCCCAAACAAGGAAGUGUGUCCCCUCACAAAUGUUGCUUGAAUUUCCCAAAUAAGGAAAUGCGUCUCCUCACAAAUGUUGCUUGAAUUACCAAAACAAGGAAGCGUGUAUCCUUACAAAUGUUACUUGAAUUACCCAAACAAAGAAGUGCGUUUCCUUACAAAUGUUGAUUGAAUUACCCAAAAAAAAGUGUCUCCUUACCCAUGUCGCCUAAAUUACCAAACCAAGGAAGUGUGUCUCCUUACCAAUGUUGCUUGAAUUAUCCAAACAAGGACUAUGAUCAAGAAAGACUUCAUUUUUCUGAAAAUAAUGUCCCAUUUUUCAGGAGAGUCCUGAACAUAAAGUAAAUUCCCAUUUUUCAGGAGGGUCCUGAACAUAAAAUAAAUUCUCAUUUUCUAGGAGGGUCCUAAAAAGAAAGUAAAUUCCUAUUUUUCAGGAGGGUCCUGAACAGAAAGUAAAUUUCCAUUUUCCAGGAGAAUCCUGAACAGAAAGUAAAUUCCCAUUUUCCAGGAGGGUCCUGAACAGAAGCAAAUUCCCAUUUUCCAGGAGGGUCCUGAACAGAAAGUAAAUUUCCACGGAUGUGCUUUUCCAAGGGUAGCUGAAUUAAGUAAAGCAAAUUUGCCCCUGUUUCAACAAAAAAAAAAUUGUCAGUAAAAACUUAGUGGUGGUUUGCAGCACUUGGUUGUCCCAACACCUGCUCCAAUGUUCAUUCCCUUCAUUUUGUUUUUGAUUGCUGGCACUUGCCCCUGCUUUAUCGCGUCAUUGACCCAAACUCAGAUUAUUAAGAGUGACUCUGAAAUAAACACAGUAUCUCUGCUUUACCAUGCUUCCCAGAUAAAUCCAUUAAACCUUGGUAUUUUCAUGAGUUCCCAGAUUUGCCUAUUGACAAAGCUUUCUGCGUGCCUUUUUUCGGCUUACAAUCAUGUCUCUUUCAUGCGCUGGCCUUUUGUCUUGCUUAGUGCAAUUGAAGAAGCUGGUAGCUAGUUUUGGAAUCUUUUCUCACUUGUUUUGACAUGGACUUUUGACUCAAAGACAAGAGAAAAAUGACAAUAAUUUUUAUUUUAUUUGGAUAAUUGACUUAAGAAGAUAAAAAUAUAACUAUAGAGAAGAAACAAACGACAAUGAAUAUCCCUAUUGAAAAAUAUAAAAUAAAAGUUUAUCUGAAAAUGACAGUCAACUCUAAUGAUUAUGACAUGCAUAUCGGAUUAAACUGCAUGAUCUUUCCAUCCAAAACUCUCACAAAUUGUUAUUGAGUUAAUGACCCUGAACUAGAGUUGCUUCCUUGGGCCAAUUGCAUUCGGAGACCUCAUUCGGCUAGUGGCGGCCUGGAGAGUUUUCGCCAGCAAGCCUCUCUCAUUCUCUUUCUCUCAGCUCAACAUCGCCUGAUGGUGCCCGUGAGGAUUUUCAUCGAUAAGACUCUCUCAUUUUUAUUUCUCUCAACUCACAGUCAUCUUACAGUGCCCAUGAGGGUUUUCACAGAUAAGACUCUCUCAUUUUUAUUUCUCUCCUGAUUCCUUAUGCUGAUGAAGACAGGUAGUUCCCAAAAUGUGUCAUUAUAUCCAUUGCAUGCUUAGCCUUAAUAUUCUCAAAGAUUGAUCUGAAGGUCUAUCUUUGGUUGUAACUUGACUUUUGGAUAAGGAUAGAAAAAAAGGAUGAUAUGAGGCCCAAACGACACUUGAAGUUGGGUGGGACUUACAACUUUUAGAAUCGACUCAAACAAUGAGGAUUAACUCAUGCCCCAGUUUCUUUUGGCUGGUUGACUUUAAAUUAUUUAUCUGGUUGGACCGAGCCCUUAGUAGGGCAGCCUAUGUAUCUCAUCCCGAGAGAGGAGAAUCAGGUCAUGCGUAGUUCUGGCAGCUUGUUUUGCAUGAUUUAGACUUUUGAUUCUUUUUCUUUGAUUGACACUCUUUUCUCUUUGAAUUUUUUUGACUCUAUUUGUCUUGGCACUUUUUUUUUGGACAUAUAUAUUUUUUUGACUCUAUUUUGAUUCCAAAAGAGGGGUAUGAAAGAAAAUAUGAGUAAAGCUCAAAUGGGGUAAACAAAGGAGACACGAUGUUUGGAUAGCAGAAUGAAAUGCCUUCAUCAUAUCAAUUCUUGAAAAUGCAAGCACAUAUCAUGCAAUAUAAAAGUGCACGAUCAAUAUCACUUAUGACAUGUUUUACAAUACUAACUUGCCCCGAACAUAUGUACCACCUCUUCUUCUACACUUGCCGAACAUACAACUCCAUCUUUGUUGUACAUCCCUCACAUUGAAUGACUCACGCUUUCGUGGAGUUGAUUUUCGUUCUAUUCCUCGGGAUCACAUAUCUUCUACUUGACCUAAUUGAGCUAUGUUUUUCAAUUGAUAACCAAGUUAUUCUUGUGAUUCUCUAAAUAAUUGCCUUAAUUUUCAAAGAAGGCUUGAACUUGUCACCAAAUGUCUCAGCACUCUACCUGUUUUCUCAGAUGCUUUCUUUUUCUAACUUUAACCCUCUGAUUCAAUGUUCAUGCUUAAAUUAGAUUUUAAGAUCUGGCUGAAAAUUCCGCUAGCAUGUCAUAUUACUAGAAUCAACAUAAAAUGUACUAUGUAAAGAAAACAAACAAACAACACAUAUUUAAAACACAAAAAAAAAAUAGGACACUUCAUUUAGUGGAAACAAAAUAUAGAAGGGUUUGAACAUAAACAACAAAAGGACAAAACAAGAAAGAUCCCGAAGUACAACCCUGAAAUAAUUCGGACAACAGAAAAUAAAACAAAACAAGCUACCAGACCCCUUCCUAGUAAGGAGAGAAGUGACUUCUUAAUUGCUCAGCCUGACAUCUUAGCCACUGGUUUGCAUAUCAGCAUGACUAGAGCUUUCCUCACUGUCAAUGUUCUAUACCAUGAUUGAUUUAUCUUGAAUUAUUUUUUCAAUUUCUCUUUUCAAAGCAUGAUAAUCUUUAAUAUUGUAACCCUGAACAUCAGAAUGAUAUGCACAUCGUACAUUAGGAUCAAAACUUCUUGAAUGUGGGUCAGGAGUAUACCCAAGGAGAGGAGUGAUUAUGCCCUGUUGUACCAAUAUAUGGAAUAAAAUUGCAUACGACUCUCCAAUUGGUGUGAAGUUAUCCCUCGACUUCUACCUCAUUUCAUUAUUUAACUUGGACCGAACAUCUGGCCUAGAAGGGGUUUGGUAUGUUUGUGGAGUUUGAGGAAGACUCUGAAGAGUUGGUACACGCCAUUAUGGGUAAGAAGGGAAUUGAUCAUAGGGUUGUGCAUUGUAUAUUAGAUAUGGAGGUGGAGGAAUAGAGUAUAAUGGAUUUCGGGAAAGAUUCUGUGGAGCUUGGGCAUAAACUUGGGUUUGAGCCUGUGGAUAACGAUGGUGGGGUCCUCUUUCCCGUGCCUGUUGUCCAACUACAAUGGUAGAUGUAUAUUCCUCAUACUUCUUCCCUCCGACACUUUCCAAACCUUUUUGAAUUGCUUGAGUAGUCGCUUUCAAUAUUGCAAAACUCACAAUGUGACCGGUCUUAAUUCCAUCCUCUACCAUCUCCCCCAUUUUGAGGACCUCAAUAAAUGGCUUGCCUAAUGAAGGUAACAAGUGUUAAUAAUAAGAUUCAUCCUGCGCUUGAAUAAAUACCUCCACUAUCUUACUUUCUUUCAUUGGCGGUUUCACCCAAGCAGCUUGUUCACGCCAUCUAACCGCAUACUCUCUGAAAGUUUUAGUACUCUUUUUCUUCAUAUUAGUUAGGGAUUUCUCUUCAGGAAUCAACUCCAUAUUGUAUUAAAAUUGUUGCACGAAUUCAUUAUCUAGGUCAUCCCAACUAAUCCAUUUGUCAAUGUCUUGGUCAACAAACCAUUCCGAAGCAAGGCCUGAAAGACUCUCCCCGAAAUAAGCCAUGAGUAGUUCUUCCUUCCCUCCAGCGCCUCUUAAUUGGUUACAAUAGCAUCUCAAAUGUGACACUAGGUCCCCAUGUCCGUCAUAUUUCUCAAACUUUGGCAUUUUAAAGCCAGGAGGAAGGUUGACCCCUGAAAACAUGCAUAAGUCCUUAUAUGAGACACUUUUGUAACCCCCAAGUCCUUGCAAGUUCUUCAUAGCCAGUUCCAAACUUCUCAAUAUUCUGGUCAUUUUCUCUUGUUUCUCUGUCAUAACAGGCUUCUCAGUGUUAGGAGGAAAUUCAGGCGGGUGAGUGUCACCAUAAAGACCAGUCAACAUAAAUGUAGGCUCGAAAGUGUAAUACUGAUCACCAGUAAUAUUCAAUACAGGCUCUCUUAUAGAGUAGGGAAGCACAACUUGUGAAUGAACAUCAAAAGUAGGAGCUUCAGGUGGGGGUGGCACUGAAAAAUCAUGAACAGCAAGUGGAGUCGAGUAUGUGGUAGUCUUGGAUUGGGGAGUGAGAAAAUGAACAUUGAAAGUGGUUGGAUAUUGUUGCCCCGGAGUCGAUCCUGAUGCAUGUUGUGGCAUAUUAACAAAAAUGGAAAAUUAUGCAUAUGACACGGGAGGCAAUCUAGAAAGAUAUUCCAGAUUAUCAGUGGGAACUGGAGGAGGCGACAAUCCAUUAGCCCAAGCUCGAUGUAUUUCUAUCACUUGUUGCCUUAAUUUCCGAAUCUCUUCAUUAUCUCCUAAAUUCUCAUUUCCCAAACUCCCUGUCUGAUUAGUGACAACAAACUCGAUAUCCUUGUUGGCCAUAACCUUCUCUGUGACUUGGUGCAAUAUGGAGGACCAACCAAAAUGCCACAAACCAACCACCUCAAACUAACUGAACAAGAGAUAGCAAAUGUGUUAGAGUUCAACACUUUCUCAAAAUCUCUCCUUUUAAAAAAAAAGAUCACCAAACCCAAGAAGGGUGCCUACGUAUCUCACUCCCGAAAGAGGAGAAUCAGGUGUGCAUAGUUCGUGAAGUCUUGCCAAAAUGACCAAUUAAACUCUUUUUCUUUUUCUUUUUAUUGAAAUUUUAAGAAGAAAAGAAAAAUGACAAAUUUUCAAAAGAAUAGACGAAAAUAUUUUUUUUUGAAUUUUCUAGAUUUAAUAACCUAUAAAAAAAUGAAACUUAUGAUUACCAAAGAAACUCCUUUUGGGUUUUCGAUUUUGAAUUUCAUAAGAAAAUGAAACUUGAACCUAUUAAAGAAAAAUAUUUUUUUUAGUUUUAUUUUUAAGGAAAAUCUUUUUUUGUAUUUUUGUUUUCAAGGCAUAUAUGAAACACCUACUCUAAAUGACGAGAAGAAAAUCUUUUUUUGAUUUUUUAAAUAAGAUCCCCGAACCAACAAUAAGCUUCCUACGUAUCUCACUCCCGAGAGAGGAGAAUUAGGGGUGUGUAGUUCGUCCAGAUAGGACAAUUAAGGAUUAAAUAACAGACUGAACCCUGACUUGAGAGACGCGACCACAAACAGAAGAUGAAAAACAAUAAAAUAUUUUUGAGUUUUUAGUUUGACACUGGGUUUGUUGUUGUUGUUGUUGUUGUAGUUUGACACUUCACAGAAGACUGACACCAACAACUAUGAAAGAGAAAAUCUUUUUGGUAUUUUCGUUAUAAGAGAUGCACAAAACUUUUACCAUCUUUUGACUUUCUUUUAUAAAACGCUCCUAUUAAGGAAAAAAAAAUUUGAAAUUUUUGAAUUAUGAAUGCUUACUAAAGAAACAAAAGAAAAUCUUUUCAACAUUUUUGAUGUUUUGGGAAAUGAGUGCAAAAAGUAAAAAAAAAAUAUUUUUUUUUUGAAUUUUUGAAUUGUGAAAAAACAAAAGCCAUAAAGAACCCUAAAAACUACCAAAUCUCUUUUUUUUCACUCUUUUUUUUUCUUCCUUUUUUCAACAAUUUUCUUCCUACACACGUUGCUUCUAACUCAUGCUUUUGCCCAAAUCAGUCUGUCAAAUGACCUUGUUACUCUCAAAGAUGCAAUAUUUAGCACGUAGGGAUGCUUUAGAGGUGAGUUUCCUACAAAGGAUCAAGUGGGCCCAGCUAGGUUGUCACGCCCCAAAAUCCCAUCGGGCCGGACUGGCACCCNNNNNNNNNNNNNNNNNNNNNNNNNNNNNNNNNNNNNNNNNNNNNNNNNNNNNNNNNNNNNNNNNNNNNNNNNNNNNNNNNNNNNNNNNNNNNNNNNNNNNNNNNNNNNNNNNNNNNNNNNNNNNNNNNNNNNNNNNNNNNNNNNNNNNNNNNNNNNNNNNNNNNNNNNNNNNNNNNNNNNNNNNNNNNNNNNNNNNNNNNNNNNNNNNNNNNNNNNNNNNNNNNNNNNNNNNNNNNNNNNNNNNNNNNNNNNNNNNNNNNNNNNNNNNNNNNNNNNNNNNNNNNNNNNNNNNNNNNNNNNNNNNNNNNNNNNNNNNNNNNNNNNNNNNNNNNNNNNNNNNNNNNNNNNNNNNNNNNNNNNNNNNNNNNNNNNNNNNNNNNNNNNNNNNNNNNNNNNNNNNNNNNNNNNNNNNNNNNNNNNNNNNNNNNNNNNNNNNNNNNNNNNNNNNNNNNNNNNNNNNNNNNNNNNNNNNNNNNNNNNNNNNNNNNNNNNNNNNNNNNNNNNNNNNNNNNNNNNNNNNNNNNNNNNNNNNNNNNNNNNNNNNNNNNNNNNNNNNNNNNNNNNNNNNNNNNNNNNNNNNNNNNNNNNNNNNNNNNNNNNNNNNNNNNNNNNNNNNNNNNNNNNNNNNNNNNNNNNNNNNNNNNNNNNNNNNNNNNNNNNNNNNNNNNNNNNNNNNNNNNNNNNNNNNNNNNNNNNNNNNNNNNNNNNNNNNNNNNNNNNNNNNNNNNNNNNNNNNNNNNNNNNNNNNNNNNNNNNNNNNNNNNNNNNNNNNNNNNNNNNNNNNNNNNNNNNNNNNNNNNNNNNNNNNNNNNNNNNNNNNNNNNNNNNNNNNNNNNNNNNNNNNNNNNNNNNNNNNNNNNNNNNNNNNNNNNNNNNNNNNNNNNNNNNNNNNNNNNNNNNNNNNNNNNNNNNNNNNNNNNNNNNNNNNNNNNNNNNNNNNNNNNNNNNNNNNNNNNNNNNNNNNNNNNNNNNNNNNNNNNNNNNNNNNNNNNNNNNNNNAGCUCACAAUCAGAAUGUAGCAGUAUAUCAAAACUUCUGAUUCUUUGAACACACUCAACGGUUGAAGAUCACAAAGAGCUUUUUGAAAUUAGAAAAGUGUUUUCAAUACUGAAAAUUUUCGUUACCACCUGAGGAAAAAGUGCAGUAUUUAUAGCCAUAAAGUGCCCCUUCAGAAAGGAAGCAAUGGCUCAUCAGAAAGGUGCAUCGCUUCGGCACAGUCAUGUCUGUUUAUUUUGAAAUAAUGUCUUUUCAGAAUAGCCACAUCCGACGAACAACCACCGUUUUUCCAAUACAGUAUGUCAUUUCCUUGAAGGGUUGUAUCCCUUUUGAGUUACAUUUCAGUGUUUAUGCAUGCAUGUUCAUGAAGAAAAUAUUUUUUUUCCGUUGGUUUUUUAGAUUUAAAAAUUUCACUUGGUUUUUCCAAGUUCCAAAACAACUUUGUCUAAAAAAUUAAUCUUAUCUUUGACCGAACCCGAAGCCGAGUGAAUGAUGACGGCGAUGAUGACGGCGUGAGGAACCUCUUGGUUCUUGCCCCACUAUCCACUUGAAGGAGUGUUUCUUAAUAAGAACACAAUAAAGUUGCUUUCUUCCACCUGGGAGGAGUUGUCACAACUCGAGUCGAGGCCCUAGCCGUGACGAGCAUCCUGAACAGCAAAGGCCCGAGAGACCCCUUAGCCCACCCAGUAGUGAUAUUGUACGCUCAGAGCCCAGGCCCGCAUGGCUUUAAAAUACGUGUAAGGCUUGCUUACUUAUAUACCCAAAAUCCCUCCUAUGUUUUACCGAUGUGGGACUUCUUAUCUUAAGUUGGUGUGUUACAUACACCCUCUUCCCUUAUGGACACAGCGUCCUCGCUGAGGUUUGCCUCACCUAAUUAGAUUUGCAUAGACUCAGGACUCUGGCCCACAUCGACAAGGCUGACACAGGAGCGACUCUGAUACCAUUUUGGUCACGACCCGAGUCGAGGCCUUGGCCGUGAUGGGCAUGCCGAACCACGAAGGCCUAAGAGACCCCCCUUAGCCCUCCCACUAGUGAUAUUAUUUGCUCUGAGACUAGGCCCGCACUACUUUAAAAUGCUUCACUAGGGAGUAAGGCUUUCUUACUUAUAUAUCCAAUAUCCUUCUUGUAUUUUGCCAAUGUGGGUGUUACAUACACCCCCUUAUGGACUCAGGGUCCUCGCUGAGGUUUGCCCCACCAAAUGGAAUUUGCCUAGAUUCAGGACUAAAGUUUGCCCCACCCUAUCGGAAUUUACAUAAACUCAGUUUGGACUCUAGCCCACAUCGACAAGUCUAACACAGGAGCGACUUUGAUACCAUUCUUGUCAUCACUCAAGCCAGGGUCCUGGCCACGACGGGCAUCCCAAACAAUUAAGGCUCGAGAGACCCCUUAGUCCAUCUACUAGUGAUAUUGUCCGCUCUGGGCUCUGGCCCACACGAUUUAAAAUGCAUUACUAGGAAGUAAGGCUUUCUUACUUAUAUACCCAAUAUCUCUCCUGUGUAUUACCGAUGUGGGACUCUUUAUCCUAAAUUGGGGUAUUACAUGCACCCCCUCUUAUGGACUCAAGGUCCUCGCUGAGAUUUGCCCCACCAAAUAGGAUUUUCCUAGACUCAAGACAUAGGUUUGCCCCGCCUUACUGGGAUUUGUCUAAACUCAGUUUGAACUCUGGCCCACAUCGACAGAGCUGAACACAAGAGCCGCUCUGAUACCAUUCUUAUCACGACCCGAGACAAGGCCCUGGCCGUGAUGGGCAUCCCGAACAAUGAAGGCCUAAGAGACCCUCCUUAGCCCGCCCACUAGUGAUAUUAUCUUCUCUGGGCUCAGGCCCGCAUAGCUUUAAAAUGCAUCACUAGGUAGUAAGACUUGCUAACUUAUAUACCCAACAUCCCUCCUGUAUUUUGCCGAUGUGGGACUCCUUAUCCUAAGUUGGGGUGUUACAGAAGUAUACUUUCCUUUAGUGAGUACACUUUCCUUUCAAGUGUGUGAUCACUUUCCUUCUAAAAAUUUCCUCAAUUUUCCAUCUACAUCCUAUUGAACCCAACAAUGUCUUUCUAUACAAAAAGAAAUCUUUCAUAAUAUUAGAAAAAAAUUAUCAAAACACACCUUCAUUGUCUAUUGUUCCCUUUUCCUACAUGAAAUAUCACCAUCAUUCAAGUAGGAAACGAGAACAACUGAUAGUUAGGGUAUGUUCCAAUAAAUAUUGUGAUAGUUUAGGUAGAAAACUUGCUCACCGAAUAAUUCAGGUAUAAAACUCAAAAAACCAGCUAAGGGCAAGUUGAAGUACACGUUUAUGUCUUAUGUUUAAAAGAAAACCAGAAACCAAAGAAAAUUAGUGAUUUUCAACAUGAAAAUAUCUCUGCUUGCUUUGUUGUUAUUGAACUACAUUCAUCAUCACCAUCAAAUAAGUAAAUUCCACAAAAAUAUAUGUACAAAUAAGCACUAAUAAGUGUUAGAAUAGUGGGAGGAUGUAAGAGAAGUUUUGUAUAACAGUGGUUUUAUACCAGGGAUCUUUACCUAGAGUUGAGGGACUAUAGCAAAUAGUCUUUCUACCCUACGCUUUAAUGAUGGUAUUUCUUGAAAGAAUUACAAAAGGCAAAAUUCAUAAAUAUGCGCUUUAACUUGGCCUCAGAUCACAUCUAUAACUUCCAAAUUUGGGUGUGCACAAGUAGGCACUUAAAUGAAGGAUUCUUUGUUAAAUGGCAUUUUCAAGUCUUCUUUUUAAUUAAAGAAACUACACAUUUUUUUUAGGCAAAUGACACAUUUUUUAGAUAGAUCUAUUAUCUAUCCGAUUGAUAUAUAGACAGAUCGAUUAUCGAUCUGACCUAUAUAUUGACAGAUCGAUUAUCAAUCUGACCUAUGUAUAGAUGGAUCGAUUAUCAAUCCGACAAAUGAGAAAAUAUAAGUAUGCCAUUUUGCUAAUUGGAAACUUGAAGAGGCUUAAUAACCAAAUUUACUCAGUAGGCCAUUUUUCUAAUUGGAAACAUGAAGAGGCUAAUAGCAAAAUUUUCUUCUUAAGCUUGUAUAAAGUUGAACAAGUAGACACAUAUGUCCUAUAUGGCAUCCUAUGUGGCCAAUUCUUGUCCUACAUGGCGUCCUACGUGUAUUAUGCCACAUAGGACGUGUGUGUCUAUUUGUUCAUCUUUAUAAAAGUUUAAGUGCCUACUUAUACACACCCAAAGUUGAAGAUCACAGAUGUGAUUUUUAGUCAAGUUAAGGGAAUGUUUAUAUAUUAUGCCUUUACAAAAACAUAAAAAACACUGAGAUAUAUGUAACACAUCGAUAUUUUUGAGCUAAAAUUCAAACCGUCAUUUCUAUGUGUAUAAUCAUGGAUUCUAUUAUUUAUAUAAAAAAAUAUGUAUAAUUUUCAUUAACCUAGCAUGAAAAGUGCCUUUUAGGGGAAGAAUGUUAGUAGUAAACACUUAGCAUGAACUGGAGUUAAGAACUUUCACUAUCGACCAAAUUUUAAAAUUUGCUUCUACAUGGGUCAACUUUGAAUGUGUAUAACUUGCGAAAUAUGUGUAAUUUUGGAGUUAAAUACCUACCAAUUUGUACAUAAUUGAAUUAGAUUUCCAACUCCUCCAAUUUCGCCUUAAUCCGAUACCCGAGCCAAAAGUUAUGAACAUUUUUGUACAAACCAGUGAGCGUCCGUGAUAGCAGCGCGACACGGAGCUCAUCAUGGAUAUUAGACUCUACGACGCACCGAUGUUUUAAAUUCAUCAAUUUUUGGAUUUUUUGAUUUGGAAAGAAGGGUAUUGAAGUCCUUUCACUUUUAAAUGACCCCUAAACGCUAUAUUAUUCUAUUUCUAUUCGUUUCACGAUAUAACAUUGUUAUAUCACCUCUCCAAAAUCCCUAAUCAUUUCUCCAUAAGAAAGAAAGUAGAAACUACCCAGGGUUUGAGAAAUUCAGGCUUCGGGGGUCCAAUUUCUCUAUGUUCUCUUGGAUUUCUCUCCGUCAAAAGGUAUGUGGGACUAUCCUAAAUCUCAUGGGCAUGAUUUUAUCGUUUUACAAGCUUUACGAAUAUAUAAUUACGUAUAUGCAAUGGGUUUUGAAAUUAUUGAAGAGCAUGCAUUGGGGACCCCGUUUUAUGAUGAAAUCUUGUUAAAACUAUGGGGGGUUUCCUAAACUUGAAUUAUAUUUUUGUGUAUGAAUGUUAUGAGUUUUGAGAAUUCAUAUGAGAGCACAAUUUACGAGAUUCCCUCUCUUGUUAUGAAAGUCAUUGUCUUAAUGUGUUGUGGGUUGUUCAAAUGCAUGAAUUACAAGCUCGAGAUUCAAAUCUUUACAGUCAUGAUGGGUUAACAUUGUUUAUGAUAUGAUGAGAGGGUAUUUCUCUUGUUUAUAAUUGUUUAUCCUGUGAAAGAAUUGCAUGUAUUUUAUGAAAGGAUUGGCCACCACAUUAUAAAGUAUUGAAAAGGGAGUAUUCAGCAAAUGUUUUCAUAUGUUUUGAAAUAAUAACUCUCUUGUGUGAUGUUUAAAUCUUUUGGGUGACCAUCAACAUGAUUUUUGAAUGAAAGGGGCUAUGAUUAUGACAUGACAUGAUAUGACUUGCAAGUCUAGGUAUGAUGAUACCUAUCACGAGAUGCCCUUGACUUGAAAGAGAUAAAUGUUUUAAAAGCAUGAAGCAUGAUUUUAAUGGACUAAAAUUGAGCUUAAAGAGAGGUAGUUGGUUAUCCGAAGAAGUCUUGAGUUAGAUAACUCAUAGCCCGAAAUUGUGUUUUGUCGAUACGGGUUUUAUAUGUUAUUCGGCAAGUGGAAUAACAUGGUAUGUCGGCAAGUUGGGCAUACCUUUUCAUGAUACUGCAAUCCUUGAGGCAAACUCGGAUUGGGGGGUUUGGCCAACGAGUUAAUGGCGGACCUAUAUAGCCCAUGGGUAUUAAUGUUUUGUAGGGUGUACAUCUAACUCAGAAGUAAUACGAAGAGUUGAGUCAGUGUUCUACAAGAAUGGUUGAAGCUCAUCAAAUUAUGCCCAUGUGUUUUCAUUUACAUUAUCCUAAAUUGAUUUAUGAAAUGCUCUCACCUAUGUUGUAUAAAAAUAUAUGUUAUAUUUUUGGAUUGUUCUGCAUGCCAGUACUUUCAAGUAUUGACCCCCCUCCUCCCCCCAUAUUACAGGUUCUGUUGUAUAGUCUCACGGUCCAUCACAUCAAUAGAACACUUGAGGUAUGACAGAAUUGGUGAGCCAUCUAUCUUUUGGAAGGCAUUUACUCAUAUGUUGAGUAUUUUAGUAUAUGGUCUAGCCGGGGGCUUUAUCCCGACCUAUACAGUUUAGUUUUCAUUAGAAGCUUCGUCAAUGGAAUUCGAGUACUGUAUUGUCAUACUUUGUUGACACAGUUUGUAUUAUAAGUUUUUGUUGAACUUCAUUAUAUAUUCCGCACUUUGAUUUAUGUAGGUAUUAUGCUUAUGAUAAAAUGCAAAGGGGUCUCUCGAGCCUUCUAUGGUUUGGGAUGCCCGUCGUGACAAUAUAGAACAAAUUUCAUGUAGUACAGAGUUUUCCAACCUUUUAUUUAACUUCAUUCUUUUCCAUUACAGCGGAGAUUCAGUGAUCCCAAGUAGAUUUCUUGAUUUGCCAACAAUUCAGUCCGUACCAAAGAAGAGAUAAGAGUAUACGAGAAGAAGAAUUUGAAAGAACAAAUAUUGGAAUAUUACUAGACAACUUGUUUUUAACUAUAGGCAAACAAAAUGAAGAAAAAGGGAUAAAAUUGAAAAAAAAAACCUGUCAUAACAAUAGCAAUACAACUUCAUCACUUAUUCACCACAAUAAAAUAAAAGAAAAAAGGGGAAAAUAGCUCGGAGAAUGCAAUCGAUGUCUGACAAUUUAUCUUUAGCCUCUGACGUCUUGGCGAAGGAAUUGUAACCAUCUUCUUAACAUAUGCUCUGCAAAUAAAAAUUACACUGGUCAAAGUAAUUGGAAAAAAUAUAAAGAAGAGACGUUACUCAAUUUUAUGUGGCACUCUUUUUCUUUUUGCUAUGUCCAAAAAGAAUGUAGCUACACCUAUGUUGCUCGGACUCUUAAAAAAUGUGGGUGCAUGUCGGAUUCUCCAAAAGUAGUGUAUUUUUGGAGAAUCCAACAUGAAUACGGCAUCAAAAGUGAUGAGUCCGCGCAACUUAGAGCUACACUGUUAAAGAAUAGAAGUUUCAAAAGUUAUUAUUGACUUUCUCAAACUCCACCGCAUAUCGACAACACAUUAAUAAAGUUAUGCUAGUUUUAACAUGAAUAACUCUUCUCUAACCCGGAAGUCAGAAGUUGUAAUGUUUUGAGUUAGAAUCUGUUGUUGCCCAUUUAGUCUUUGCUACUUUAUUGACAAUUUGAAACAAAAAAGAAAUUGUACAUCUGCAUAUGCAUCAGACUUCUGAAGGAAACAGGUUACCACUGCUUUGUACAUUCCCAUUACUCGUUCCAUACUUGCCUCGGCUUCUUCCUUUCCGUGUUUCUCUGCCAAGGACAGUGAAAAGUGUAAUCAACAAGUUGAUGAUUAGCUAGAGGAAGUUAGUGUGUGUGAUGUAUGUGCGACUGAGUUAGUUAGUUAAGUGUGACAGCUGUCAUUAUACAACUGUCACAAGGUGCAAACCAACUCUAUAAAUGUGACUUGUAGUGCCAUAAAAAGCUAAGAGAAAAUCAAUCAAUGAAAACUACUCUUCUUCUAGAAUCUUCUACUCCUCUUCUUCAAGAUCUUAGCUCAAUACUAUAGAAAGCUAAUAUGGUAUCAAAUCCACUACUGAUCGCUAGCUGUAAUCGGUACUAGAGACUAUCGAUUUCACUUGAUCAGUGAGAAUAACAGCUACUAUUCUAUUGGUUACAGUGAACUUUAAUGGCGGUUACUCGAAACUCAGUUGCAUAUCCUUCAACUACAACUGCAGUACCUGGAAAUACACCUACUUCAACUGGUACAAUUGAAAUUGACCACAAUUAUCCUCUGUAUUGGCGUCCAAAUGACACUCCAGGUAGCUCUCUUAUUUCUAUCCAGCUUACUGGCACUGAAAAUUAUGCCCUGUGGAGUAGAUCUAUUGCGUUGAGUCCCAUAGGUAAGAACAAAAUAGGCUUUGUUGAUGGGAGAUAUCCUAAAAAUCACAUUGAUGAAUCAGUACAUGAUCAGUGGGAGAGUGUUAAUGCUGUUGUUUUGUCAUGGAUUAUGAAUUCAGUACGAAAGGAUCUGUUGAGUAGUAUUAUGUAUGCCUCUAAUGCUCAUAAUGUGUGGAUAGAUUUAAAGAAAAGGUUUGAUAUGGUGAGUGGCUGUAGAGUAUUCUACUUGCAUAGAGAAAUUAUGACCUUCUCUCGGGGAACUCUGUCAGUUGCUGAUUAUUUUUCUCGAAUGCGAACUCUUUGGGAUGAAUUUGAUGCUAUUAUGCCUUCUCCUAGAUGUAGAUACCCUGAAUCUAGAAGUUAUGCUCAACACUUUGAUUAUCAAAGAGUAUUACAGUUCCUAAUGGGUCUAAAUGAAACAUACUCUCCGUGUAGAAGCCAACUCCUAUUAAUGACCCCUGUACCAUCCAUUAGCAAAGUGUACUUCAUGAUUGUAGGUCAUGAAAGCCAUAGAUCCAUAGCUUCUAGUUCCUCUGUGGAUCAUCUUAGUGAUACACUGGAUGUAGCAGCUCUCUUUACCCAUAAACCAGGUUACAAAGGCAAAGGUGGAUAUCUAGGUCCUGGUGGUUCAGUUGGUACAAGUAUAGUUAAGACUACAGGUAUCGAUGAAGGAAGACCACUAGCUUCUACUUAUAGAGGUGCUCCACAAAAAAAACCAUCAGUGGUUUGUGAGUUUUGUGGUUAUAAUGGUCAUACUAAGGAUCAAUGUUUCAAGCUGAUUGGUUACCCAUCAGAUUAGCCCAAGUCCAAUAAGAAAGGAUCAGGACAGUAUGCACAUAUGGUAGACUCUGCAUUCCCUGUGGACACAUACCCUACUAGUAAUAAGUUGUCUCAAGCCAGUUCAUCCCCAACUACUUCAAGUCCUACUCCUCAUUUUACACCAAGAUUAUAUCAACAACUUGUCAUGCUGCUCAACAAAGGGAAGGAAAAGGAUUCCAUUUCACCUGCAUCAAAUGCAGGCAUCACGAUAGCUCCAACUAGUCCUACUUUAAGUGAUAGGUGGAUUAUUGAAUCUGGUGCUACUAAUCAUAUGGUCUCCAACCCUGAUAUGCUUCAUAGUUAUCAUAAAAUGCAUCAGUCUUUAUAAAGUCAGGUCUAUCUUCCAACAGGUAACUAGGUUUCAGUCUUUCACAAAGGCACCUCUGGUGUACUCAACAAUUCCCUCAUUACUGAUGUCUUAUAUCUGCCUGAGUUCAAAAUAUAAUCUUCUAUCUAUUUCAAAACUUACCAAGGAGUUGCAAUGUUCAGUGAAGUUUUUUCCUGACUUCUGCAUCUUCUAGGAUCUCUAUACUAGCAUGGUGAUGGGGAUUGGUAAAGAAUAUCAAGGACUUUACAUUCUCCCAAAUGCUUCCUCUAAACCUACAAGUGUAAAUAAGUGUGCCAAUAAUGUGAAGUUGUUGUCGGAUUCUAGUGUUCUUUGGCACAAAAGACUGGGUCAUGCACCUAUUGAGGUGCUUAAAAGGCAUGCUGAACUAAGUCAUUUGAAGUUUGAAGAUCACAUAUGCACUGUGUAUCCCCUUGCUAAGCUGAUUAAACUUUCUUUUCAGCAUAGUAUCUCUGUGUCUAAGGCUCCCUUUCAUCUGCUUCAUUAUGAUAUAUGGGACCUUAUAGAGUGCCUACCUAUGAUAAAAAGAGAUUCUUUGUUACAAUUUUUGAUGAUCAUUCUAGAUUAACUUGGUUGUUUCUUAUCCAGUUUAAGUCUGAAGUGAUAGUUGUACUCAAAGAUUUUCUGACUAGAAUGCAAAACUUGCUCUCUACUUCUGUAAAAAUUCUUAGAACUGAUAAUGCCUGUGAGUUCUUUAGUCAUGAAUUUAAAUCUCUUAUGUCUAAUCUUGGUAUUUGCAUCAAACUUCAUGUGUCUAUACCCCUCAACAGAAUGGGGUGGUGGAAAGAAAACACAGAACUAUUUUGGGAGUUGCAAGAUCCCUCAAAUUUCAAGCAGGUGUACAUCUCAAGUUUUAGGGUGAAUGUGUUGAGACUGUUGUGUACUUGCUGAACAGAAUUCCCUAAGAAAUACUUCACUAUAAAUCUCCCUUUGAAAUCCUCCAUCAACAGGUGCCUUCACUUUUUCAUUUAAAAGUCUUUGGCUGUUUAGGCUAUACCUCUAGUCCUUUGUUCAGAUAAGUUUGCUGCUAGAGCAAUUCUUUGUGUCUCUAUGGGCUACUCAUCCACCCAGAAAGGGUACAAACUAUAUGAUUUUCAUACCAGACUAUUCUUUACUAGUAGAAAUGUCAGCUUUCAAGAGUCCACCUUUCCUUUCCUUCACCAAGCUACCAUUGACUCUUAAUUAUUUCCUGACCUGCUGACCACUCUUGUUGAUCAUUCUGUUCCUUUUUUCUCUUUCCCCUCCAUUCCUUUAUCUACUUCUUUUCCAGUCUCUCCUGAGCUGGAGCAUGGUCGGGCCUAUACCUUCAUCCUCAGCUCCUACUCAUCCCUCUGUAUCUCAUUCUGACCCCCCCUCUUCUCAAAAAAUCCACCAGACAUAAGAAACCUCCUAGUUGGAUCCAUGACUUUGUCACUACCAAGCUUGUCUCAGCUCACCAAUGUUUGUAUCCAUUAUCUUCCUAUGUCACAUACUUUCAGUUCUCUUCAUAUUUUAAUCAAGCUCUCUCUGUCUAUUUUUCUAUUCCUGAACCCUCUACUUUUCUUGAAGCCUUCAAAGAUCCAUCUUGGGUUGAGGCUAUGAAGCUAGAGAUUGCAGCUCUUGAGGAGAAUCAUACUUGGUCUAUUGUUGACUUUCCACCUGGUAAAGCUCCUAUUGGUUAUAGGUGGGUGUACAAAGAAAAGUACAAGACAAAUGGAGAUGUAGAAAGUUAUAAAGCCAGACUAGUAGCUAAGGGCUAUAGUCAACAGGCUGGGGUUGAUUACUCAGAUACUUUCUCUCCUAUGGCAAAGAUGGUGACAGUAAGAUCCCUUAUUGCUCUUGCUGCUUCUCGACAAUAAUUGUUUUUUCAAAUGGAUGUGACAAUGCUUUUCUUAAUGGUGAUCUGUCAGAAGAGGUCUACAUGCAUAUUCCUGAUGGUUUUUGCAGACAGGGAGAGACUCAGAAAGUCUACAAAUUACACAAGUCUUUGUAUGGUCUAAAGCAGGCCCAUAGACAAUGGAAUAUGAAGCUGACCGAUGCUCUCUUACAAGUGGGGUUCAGUCAAAGUUAUUAUGACUACUCCUUGUUUACCAAAAAAUCAGAAAAUGAAAUAGUGAUUAUUCUUGUCUAUGUGGAUGAUUUAUUAAUAACAGGAAACAAUGUCCCCUUGAUUAAUCAAGCUAGAUCAGAUUUAUAACAAAAGUUUAAAGUGAAGGAUCUUGAUGAUCUGAAGUUCUUCUUGGGCAUAGAGGUAGCCAGGUCCAAGGAAGGGAUAGUGCUGAAUCAAAGAAAGUAUGCUCUUGAACUUAUAUCUGAGGCUAGACAAAGUGGAUCAAAAUGUGCUAGUACUCUACUGGAAAUGAAUCAGAAACUAACAUUUGUGGAAUAUGACAAUCAUAUGUCCAAUGGAACAGGAGAUGAUAAUGCAACGCUGAAGGAUCCAACAACAUAUCAAAGACUAGUAGGAAGGCUAUUGUAUNNNNNNNNNNNNNNNNNNNNNNNNNNNNNNNNNNNNNNNNNNUGGGGUGCUUGCUUACAAACUAGAAGAUCAGUGGCUGGGUAUGUAAUAAAGUUUAGAGGUGCUUUAGUCUCUUGGAAAUCAAAGAAACAAGAGACUGUGUCCAGGAGCUCUGCAGAAGCAGAGUUUAUCCCUCCCGAAGUCAUUUUUUUUACUCAUUUACCACUUUACCAUACACCUCCUUUUAGUUGAUAAUUUUUCCACAAAAGAACAAAAAAUAAUAAUCAGCCCUUAACAAAAUCCCUAACAAAUUUUAUCUUGUUUUAAUCAUCCUAACAACUUACCCCUACCCUACCCUUAUCCUACCACGUGGUCCCCACCUCCCUAACAAGACCACGAAUUAUACGCACAUAAGAAUACAGGAUAAACACAAAAAAUUGGAAGCAUAUAUAGAGAAUUCCAGUAAGAGGAGGGUGGGACCCACAUGUAUUAUUCCCUCAACAUAUACAACACACAACCUCCAUUAAAGGACCAUCAAUACACUCUCCAUUUUUGGAUUUCAGGGGAGAAACACUACAUACACCAAAAAUACUCUCCAUAUCCUCAUGAACACACACACAGACGCAUACACACAUAUUACACAUCGGAGAAAAGGGGAAUUCUCAAAGAUAAAAAAAAAUAUGCACAAAGUAGAGAGAGACAUCAACAAAUAUCAUCAUCCUCCAUUUUCUUUCAUCUUCCAAAAAUAUACACACACUAAAAUCGUGACUACACAAAGAGAAUAGCACUCCAUCUUUGAACACUUCAUUUUUCUUUCCUUUUCUUCUUCUUGGAACACACAAUUUCCAUGGAGAGAGUUAGAAAUUGAGAGAGAUAGAAAUUGAGAGAGAAUGACAGAUUGAGUAAGACAGAGAAAAGAGAGCUUGAGGGAGAGAAACAACGAAAGGAGCUCUAUUCCGGUGGUUGAAAAUUUGGGGAGCUUGAGGGAGAGAAACAGCGAAAGGAGCUCUAUUCCGGUGGUUGAAAAUUUGGGGGGUGGGAUUGUUUUUUUUUUGGUUUAAUUUUACUUUUUAUUAAAAAUAAUCACAUGAUGGACCAACCCAUCUUACAAAAAAUUCAUCCCUCCCAUUAUUCCCAUACCCGGCCCAACCCAAAAACCAAAAUAAAACAUUUAACAUGAGUAGGGUUUCUAAAAUCAAAAGUUUCCUAAACCAUAUUUCAGCUCCACCGCCUCUUGCACUACUGUUUCGCUUCCUCCCGUUGAAGAUGAUAAUCGAUCUUGUAAAUCCUUCUUCAUGGUAUCGUGUUUCUUUCAGCUUACAGAGAUGACUGAAAUCUCUUUGAAAUUUUACUCUUUUGUUUCCGAUUCCCUCUAACUAUUGAUACUCUCCUCUUCUUAGCUUCAUUCUUCAAUCUUUGCAAAAAUUGAAUAUUGUUUUGCAUCUAAGAAGACCUGAUCUGCAGAGUAUACCAGCUAAGUAUGUUAUCUUCUUAUUUUGUCCCCUCACCUUUUCUGGAUCUGCUUUGACCGCAUCUUUAUUUGCUUGUACGAUUUGAAGAUCAAUGGAGAAUUGAUGUCGCAUAUAUUCAACUAUCCGACUCCAUCUCAGGUAUUUGCAGCUCUAUCUGGGUCAUCUACACUUUCUUGAUACUGUGCACUAGUUACUGCUCACACUUAGUAAUCUAACCCCUUCUUUUUUUGUUUGUAUUCCAAAACAAAAAACCUGAUAGAUUUGAAGAGCAAGUAAUUAUUGAUGUCAGAUAUAAUCAGCUAUCCGCCUCCAUCUCAGGUCUUUUCAGAACCCUAUGGUCCAUCUACACUUUUUUGAUGCUGUGAACUAAUUUCUGUACAAGCUUAGUAAAACAUGCACUUUCAUUGAUGAUACAUACUUCUGUAUAUAAAUUACAUGUAAACUAUGAAUCUUGAAUGUUUUCCUGUUCCUUAUUAUCUUACUGGUAUGAUCCUCAAGCAUGGCCUUUGCCAUUUGUCACUAUUUAAGAUUGCUUUACCUUUUUCCCCUAAUUGCUGAUAGCUUGUGAUGAUGAAAGCACCCGUGUCUAUUGCUAAAUUAGCUAAAUAAUCAGCUAAUUGAUUUCUCUCUCUAUAUAUAUAUAUGUUGAUACCGCACUUGCUUGUUUUGCAUGAAACUGUGUAUCUGCUUGACUGUGUUUGCUAUGCUCCAUGGACACAACCAAACAUUUGUCAAUACCUUCUGCAUUAAUAGGGAGUCCGUCUGAAUGAUAAUCUUAUUGUGCUACAAUUGUGAACAAUGCUUAACUGCCUGUAGAAUUGCAUUACCCUCUGCCUGCAUACUAUCUGCAUAAUGUUGUGGUUCUCCCUUAGCAAAUAAGACAUCUCCAUCUUUAUUCCUCAAACGAAAAGCAUAGGAAUUUCCUCCAUUCUCUCCUCUUACAUCUCCAUCAGUAUUAUAUUUUACCCAGCCCUCCUAAGGUGUCUUCUACAGUACUAUUAUAGCCUUCACUCUUAUUUGCAUUUGCUCAAUUCUGCAAUUAUAUGUGGCCAUUCUGUUGGGAAUUCCAUUUGUGGUUUCCCGACCUUCAACAGCUUUCUAAAAUUCCUUAUAACAUUAUAUAUGAUCCUCAAUCCUGUAGUUUCCUUAUCUUCAUGUUUCUUCCUGUUCCUUCUUCUCCACAAUUCCCACAGAAUCAUGCUAGGAAUUGCAAAGUAGUAAGGCUUUUCUCUUCCUUUUACUUCAGCAUUCCACCAUCUUAGAAUUGUUCCCCUUAGAGUCAAACUGUGAACAUGAAUACCUUCAUAAGAAGAAAAAUAGGACCAAGUCCUAUUAGCUUGGUAAGAAUUCUUGAAUACAUGAGAAAAUGUCUCCACUUCUGGGGCAUUACAACACCAGCACUUAGAUGGCCCCUACAUCCCCAUCUCAUAAUAGUAUCAUCUACAGGAAUUCUUCUUUUCCACAGUCUCCACAUGAAAAACUAAUCUUAAAAGGUACUCCUUUCACCCAUAUCUUCUUGAAAAUGUUUUCUAUCCCCUCCCUAUUCCUUAUAUACUGCCAGGUUGAUUUAACUGUAAAUAAUCCUUUAGAAUCAAUACUCCAUAUAGGCCAGUCCUCCUCUAUUCCUAUUGGAGGGAUGAUUUUGGUAAGAACAUGAUCUGCUACUUCAUCAGUGAAUAACUCUCUAAUCAAUUGUUCAUCCCAUGUAUCAUUUCUCAGGUAAAAAAUAGGGCACCCUAGGUUAAUGAAAGGGAAUUAUCUUAUCAAAAUAACAGUAGCCACUUCUGCUAACACCCUUACUGCAUGAGAUACUCCUUUGUGCAUAUAAAUUGCACUCUUCUCCUUGUUUAUUUUUUGUCCUGAUAUUUCCUCAUAUUUAUCCAAAACUGUAAUGACCAACUGUAAAUUUUUCACUUCAGCUUUGCACAAGAUGAUCAUAUCAUCUGCAAAUGCAAGGUGAUUUAAUUUUGGACUUUCUCUCGGCAUCCCAAACAUCCUGAAAUCCUUCUUCUUCUUCAGUUUCUUCAGUGCUCUUGAUAAAACCUCUGCUGCUAUUAUAAACAAAGUUGGUGACAAAGAAUUCCCCUGCUUCAACCCUCUUGUAGAUCGAAAAAUUCUUUAGGCUGACCAUUCAAAAGUAUUGAAUACCAAUUAUUUUCCAAUAGUCUAAAGACCAUGUCUAUCAGUACCUCUGAAAAACAAAAUGAUCUCAAUAUCUUUGUUAAAAACAACCAUUCUACUCUAUCAUAGGCUUUCAUCAUGUCAAGCUUCAACACCAUGUUAGGUGACUUCCCUCUCUUUCUAAUUUUAGACACAACUUCCUACACUACCAAAACAUUUUCAGUAAUACUCCUACCUUUAACAAAACCUUCCUGUUCCAUGGAUCAAAUGGGGUAAAAUUCCUUUUAUCCUUUCAUGAACUAUUCUUGAGAAAAUCUUAUUGAAAAAAUUACUAAGUGAAAUAGGCCUCAUGUCUGAGAAAUUAUUCACUACUAACUUCUUUGGUAACAAUACCAAAUUAGUAUGAGUAAUAAAUCUAGGAAGUUGAAAUCCACAAAAGAAAGAUUUUACCAUUUUAUGGAUGUCCUGCUUAAUGAUUUCCUAAGCAUCUUUGUAGAAUGCCGUUGUCAUCCCAUCUGGUCCACCUGCACUAUCUCUAUUCAGCCCCAUCACAACAUUUUUGACCUCAUCCUCAUUAGGAAUUCUCAUUAUUUCUACAUUUUGUUCAUCAUUCACCAAUUCUGGUAUUUUCUUCGGCAUGCUAAAAUCAUCUGCAUCAUUUUGUUUUGUAAACUAUUUCUGGAAAAAAUUAACUGUAGCUUCUGCAAUAUCUGGUACUUCUUCCAACCGUUGUCCAUCUUCAUUUUGUAUCUUACUGAUCCUGAGCCUGCUUCUCCUUCCUUUCACAAUAGUGUGAAAAAAUUUGGUGUUUCUCUCUCCAUCUUUGAACCAUUCAUACCCAGCCUUUUGUCUCCAGUAAUCUUCUUCCCUUUUUAAUUGCAUAUUCAGUUCAGCAUGAGCUUUAAAAAAAUUAGCUCUGUUCAAUCCACUAGGAUCCUCCUCCAAUUGUUUUUCUCUUACCUUGAUAAUAUCCUCCUUUCCUGGAAAAUAUCUCUUUACUCCAUUUAGUUAAAGCUGACUUAGUGUUUUUCAACUUUUGUUUAAACACUAUAAAUGGAUUUCCUUCAAUCUAAGAAUUCUAAUUUUGUUUAAUCACCUCCAAACAUGCUUCCUCUUUUAACCAAAAAUUCAGAAAUUGGAAAGAUUUAACAAUCUGCUCAUUGUUUGUUUUGCACUGAAUUAGCAUAGGAGAAUGAUCUGAUCCACUCCUAACUAGAUGUUCCACUUCCAUCUGCUGAAACAUAUGUUGCAUUCUAUCAUUGCACAAAACCCCAUCUAACCUCUUGAAAAUGCAAUCCUCAUCUGUUCUCCCAUUCCACUAAGUGAAUUUACUCCCUUUAAAAUGGAUUUCUUCCAUAUUACAUUAGCUGAUCGACUGAUUAAAGUCAUGAGUUUCAUUAAAAGUAACAGGUAAACCCCCUAGCUUUUCUUCUUCACUUCUAAUCACAUUAAAAUCCCCUCUAAUCCAAGUACUUGAUAGAAAUCUGACAAAUCUGUUAAUGGAUCCCAAAGUACCACCCUUUCAUUUGCAUUACAUUUAGCAUAGACUAAAGUAACCAACAAUGAGAUACCUGCAUUUUGAUUGGAUACUUUCAGAGUUAGCUGCUUCUAUUCAUCUUUCACAAUGCUAAAUUCCACAUUGUCUUCCAUAAAUGCCCAAAUUUUUCCAGAUACAUUUAGCACAGCAUGCUUCAUCCCCAGCCUCCUCCUAUACUCUUCAAUAUAUUGACCAUCUUGGAAAGGUUCCAUUAAUCCAAUGAAGUAAAACUGGUACCUUUUUUGCAUUUUUAUAAGUCUAGUAAAAGCCUGUUGGGUGUUAACAGACCUUAUGUUCCAAAUCAAUGCAUUCACUUGGAUUUUGAUUUAGCAGUGUGACUCCUUGUAUGCAUUGUUUGUGAUUUAGCCUCUGCUCCGCUACCACUCUUUUUCUUUUUCCUUAUCCCUACUUGUUUCUCCUUCAUAGCUUCUAUUUGUUUAGGGGAUAGAUCUGCUGCUUUAGCCACCUGAUUGAUGUUUUCUUCAAUAUCAUUCUCAUCAAUAUCUUCCUUUGUCUGAUUACUAUUUUCUAUCAUGUUCUAUGCUUGUAUUGCUAAGGGUGUAAUCCCCUCUAAUACCAUCAACUCCUCCAGCUCUUCAUCAUAGGCCUGCAGUUGCAUUUUUUCAGUCCCUUCUUCCUGAUCAUACUGAUCCAUAUCAUAAUGUGAAAUCCUCUCCUUGUUACUAUCUUCAGUUGGCUCCACAAUUUUACUUGAGUCAGUCUGUUCCUCAAUGCUGUUGUGAUCUGCUGCACUGUAAUUCUUUGCAUUCCUAUCAAUUACCUCCUGAUUUAUUUGCUUUUCGUCAGCUGACUUAUCCCCUUGAUUAGCUACUUUGCCUUUGCCAAAACUUGUAUUGACCUAAUCUUUAGUGCUGAUCUUUUCUCCCCCCUUCUGAUUAUUAGAUUCACCUUGUCCUUCCUUGUCAUUAUUGGUGUUUUCCAUGUUAUCUGCAUCUUUAAGAGCUACAAGAGUAUUUGACAUCUGUAGCUCCUUUCCUUCUUCUUCGUUCAACUCUCCCAGAAUGUGACCAAAUCUAUCCUUUUUAUAUUUGUUUUUCCUUGUAAGCCACUGAUUAGUAGUGAUACCUCUCUUUGUACUAUUCUGAUUAUGUGAUUGAUUCAUCUGUAUAUUAUUCUCUUUGUCUGUCACCUUUGUUUCUGCCUCCUUACUCUCCUCCUUCUGUUUGUCAUAUAACUCUGGGUGUUUAUUCCAACAACUUGCCUCAUCAUGUCCUUGCAAAAAACAUUUUGUACAGUACUUUGGCAUGUAAUCAUACUGAAUUUGGACCCACUUGGAUUUGAUUUCCUAUGUAACUUCAUUCUCUUCAUUAAUUCGAAUCAUUUGGGGUAAUUUUGCUACUAGAUCCAUCUCCACUUUCACUCUUGCACAACUAGGUCUUGUGUAAUUUUUUGUGGCCAUAUCAACAGUAAGAGGUUUGCCAACUGCUGAAGCAAUAGAAAAAAUUGCAUCUUUUGCGAAAAAAUUCGGAGGUAAAUCUGGCAUGGAGAUCCAGGCUACUGCAAUUGUGGUCUCAAUAUCUGGUUCAAAUCAUGGAUCCCAUUUCAAUGUCCUCAUCUGCCAAUAUUUUUCCAUUGAACCAAUGUAAUAAGCUGCAGUUGACAAUAAUUGAACGUAGCCCUCAAACAUCUCCAGCCUUAAUAAUAGUACAUGCCUUUCAUCCAAUACUCCAAUGGUGCAUGCCACUUUAUACGCAUUGAUUUGGGAUGAUUUUACGUAAAACUUCAAUAUGUGGCUUACCAUAUGAGAAUUUACCUAUGAUAGCAUAUUGUAAGUUCUCUUGCAUGAUAAUAUUUUGCACUUCUGAUGAUUUCCACGUAAUAGAAGGCUCUCCAUGCAACAUAAUAAUGGGUUUAGGCGGAACCCUAAUAUUAGUCAUAUCCACCACUAUUGGCUUCAAUAAAUUUGCAUAUUUCUUAAUUUCAUCUCCUUUUUGAAUGUUCUAAUUACUGUCUUCAUCAUUACUAUUAUCCGGUGGGAUGGUCCCACCGGCUAUGCUGGCCAUAAUGGCCGGAACAAAAACAAUUUUGGUAUUACUCGUCCAUAGGGUUUAGGGUUUUUCCGUCCUUGUUGGUUGAAAAAUAUCAUUAAAAGUGUGUUUACCCAUGGGGAAUUGAGAAAUUGAUAAAAAGGGUGAAUUUAGAUUUCUUUUGGUUUAUUGUUGUUCCGGUUAAAUAAGCAUGAAUGUCGUUGGAAUAUGAUAGAAUUAUGACAUGUUGAAAUGGAUAGGCAAAUAGUAGGGUCAGGUAGGCAAAUGCAGAACUCAUGGAAUGUUGAAUGUUGAAAAUGUGUGUUGAAUGUCUUGGUUUUUAUGGUUUUUUUGGAAAAAAAAAUGUACUCAUUUAGCCGAGGAAUGCCCUGAAGUCAUUUGUAUUUGUUCACCAAGGAAUGCCCCGACGUAUUAUGUUGGCGGAAGAUGUUCAUGAUGAAGGCUCGAUGCAUCGGGUAAAGCAUUGAAGCUUAGUCUACGAUUAGUUUAGAAUAUGAUUUAUAUUUCCGUAUUUUUCUAUUUUUUGGACUGUAUAACUCGGACUGAACACUAAAUUUUGAAUUGUUUUGUUUUGAUUGGCUUGAUUGAUUGUUUUACGUACUUUGCGUGGCGUAUACAUUCAUAGUGUUAAAAUUAGUCGAUAUGCUCCACCAAGCGACCGUGGUCAAACCACAGGAUCGAGGGGUGACUAACACCUUCCCCUUGGUCAACAGAAUUCCUUAGCCGGAAUCUCUGUCCACGGAUCAGUUUAAAAGAGUCAAAACUGUUUUGAAAAGGAUUUUCCAAAGGUGACUUGGCACACCGAAUUAUGCCAAGUGGAGACUCUGAAUUUGAAUGUAAAAAUCAUCUUUUUUCGAAAUAAACCUUCAUUUUGUCACUUAGUAAUAAAAACCCUUUCGAACCUUAAAAUUUAAUAUUUCUUUUGGUUGAAAAAGGGGUGUGACAGUAGUGUCAUAACAAGCUAAGAGAAAAUCAAUCAAUGAAAACUACUCUUCUUCUAGAAUCUUCUACUCCUCUUCUUCAAGCUCUUCACUCAAUACUAUAGAAAUCUAGCAAAGGCAUCACCUUCAAUCAAAGAGUAUUUAUCAAUCAUAUGUCUAUUUGUGUAUCUCACCAAUCCUAUAUUUAAAGUUCUCACCUGCAGUAAAGAAGACACAGUUAGAAGAUACUAGCGAAAAGAAAUAACUAGGAUGAUUUAACCUACAGUAGAGCUGAUAUUCUCGAUGAUAGUAUCUCCAUUACCCUGGACAAAUUCGGCAUGGCUAAUAGCUUGUGGCAUCAACUUUGAUAUCAAAUUGAGAGAGUCAAUAAUGGAGGCCGAUAGCCAUGUUCAAUAUGCAGAAGAUAAUCAAAGUGUAAUCUAUCAAUGAAGGAUGUGAUAGCUAUUUAUCUAGUGGCACUUGCACAUUUGAAUUAAUUUCUUUAGUAGCGGUAGUAGUCAAAUCGAACUUCUUUUUCUUAUAAAUAGGAGGGAAAUAGGCACCAAUUUUUUCUUGAGUUUGAGAUGGCAUAUCCGACUCUUACAGUUGCACAUGAGGCCAAAUGUUGUACAGCAGCAUCAAUUUGAACAGCUUGAUCAUAAGAAACAGCAGGCCCUCAACAUGAAAUGCCUAUCGGUGGCUGAUUCUCGGUGCAAGUGAAUUCCACCACCCUGCAUCACAAUUCAAACUCUUUGCACUACAAAUAUCCCACUUCUUAUUGAAUUGGAGUUUCUCGGUAACUUUAUUACCUGCAGAGGUUUCACAUUGUUUGUGAUGAUGGUAUUUCUUGAAAGAUCUACAAAAACUGAGAUAUAGCAUAACUUGCAUAUGGUAUAGAGGUUGCCGAUUACCUUAUGUUUGAUUUCCAUCUUGUCCAUCAUAUUAGAGUCAGCAAUCCCAUGUUCAGUUGAAGUCGCCAGCGUUCGGUAGCAGCAAACUCACAGUGCUAGGCAUAGCAGCAGACGCCAACUAGGAGGUGUGAACUGAGCAUGGCGGCAGAGCUCGGGGAAGAAGGGAAGGGUUCUGCUUUUUGACAGGUACAGAAUGAAAGAAACUUUUAUUAUUUAUGCUUCAGAUUAUGAACUUUUGAAUAACAAUUCUUUAAACAUUUACUAUGGAUUACUAUUGUAUGACGUACCGAUGAGUUGUUUGUUUCCCCCUCCUUUAUUUCUCCUUCAUUUUCUUCAUUCUACCAAAGUAACUUCUCCUUCCCUUCCUUUCAAGUUCUCGAUGUAUAAAACGUGCAUAAAAUGUCAUCUUUGAGCUAUUGAUCACGGUCAAACAUCAAAUGGUAUUUACAAAACAUUAUCCCAAAAUGUUAUACACAUUAUCGUCAUAAGUCGUCUGAAAAAAUUGUGAAAAUUAUCUGCACACUUGAGCAGACAUCACAACAAAAGCAAGCCAUUUUAAUUUGUUUUUUCCCUAUUACCAAAAGCUUAUAGCGAUGAAACAGAAUCACAUCAUCGACACAUUUUUACUUGAAGUUCACAAAAAGUUCAAUUGAGAAUUCAUCAAACACAUUGUAAGCAACACGCGUAAAUUUGGUUUCGAAGCAGCAAAAUAAUAGAGAAGAACCUGUCUUAAAUAAUGGGAUAUUAUUUGGGCCAAGGAUCUGAAGCUUGUCUUCUCCCAUCAUAUAUUCAACAUAUUGUUUAAUCUCCAGAGCUGAAUCUUCAAGCUGAGGGCUCGUCAAGUUCGAUAAUUUUCAAUGAACCAAUAUCCCCAAAAUUAGGCGGAAUCUCUGUAAGCUUACGACAAUCUCACAGUGCUAAUUUCUCAAGCACGGGAAAUGAUUCCUCUCCAAACUCCCACUUAGCAAGAGUCAAUCCUCUCAAAUCCAAAUAUUUGAGAUUCUCAAAGGUGUCUUCCUCCCCCAUGUUCCAUUCUUCCUCCAGGAUGAUUGUUCUCCUAAGGCACAACUCUUCAAGGUUGGGCAGUUUCGCUAUUGUUGAUAGUGAAUUGGAUGUCAGAGGAAAGUUCCACAACGACAAUAUUUUCAAAUUGGAAGGAAAAUGAAAAUUCCACGACCAAUUUUUCACUAAAAAGGGCCUACUGUCAUUUGCGUAUGAACUUUCAAAAUCUACUCUGAGUAAAUCUAGUUCGGUUAGGAAAUCCAAUCUCGGGAACCAAUAUCGCUCUGUUGAAUAAUCCCAUGAUUCCUUGAGAAUAAGUGUGAUCUCUUGAAGAUUGGGAAACCUUUUGAAAAUAUCCUCUGUAUUUUUCGUACAAGAAAGCACGACACUAAUAUUCUCAAGUUCUCUAACUUUGAGUCCUCUGCUAUCAGUAUUGGUGCAUUUGUAUCCAAGUCAAAGAAUGAACAAGGAUCAAUGGACAGCACUCGCAACUUUACAAGAUCCCAAAUACUCGGUAAUAGUACCAAGGUUGAUCCUUUGUUUUCAACUAAAAGGGUUUCGAGAUUCCGGAGGUUUGACAAAGAUGAAGGCAGAGAUUUAACUUUUGUCCCAAUGAAUAACAACCUCAAAUGAUUCAACAUGCCUAUUUCAUUCAGCAAAGAAUCUUUCACCGUGAUAAAAGAGGGAUACAGGACCAACACUCUAAGAAGCCUCAAGUCUCUUAGGUGACAUGCAUUAGAAAGGCGAUAGUUCAGCUUGUGUCCAGUUAUUUCCAAAGAACAGAGGUGUUUACCAGAAUGCCUUUUCAUUUUUGAACUAAACAGGAUGAAAUUGUUAGGCUCAAAGUGCUCCUUAUCAUUAUCAAUUCUUACCAUACGUGGCAUCAAAUGUGAAGAAGAAGAUGGAUCACUUGAACUUAUCUGCUCAAACAACUUUUCCUCUUUUGCUUUAAUCAAGCAAUAUUCAUGCACUAGAUCAUGUAUGUGGCAAGUCGGUAGAUCCCCUAUCUCAUUGAUAGCAAUUACCAAGCUACUGAGGUGACAUGCAUUAGAAAGGCGAUAGUUCAGCUUGUGUCCAGUUAUUUCCAAAGAACAGAGGUGUUUACCAGAAUGCCUUUUCAUUUUUGAACUAAACAGGAUGAAAUUGUUAGGCUCAAAGUGCUCCUUAUCAUUAUCAAUUCUUACCAUACGUGGCAUCAAAUGUGAAGAAGAAGAUGGAUCACUUGAACUUAUCUGCUCAAACAACUUUUCCUCUUUUGCUUUAAUCAAGCAAAAUUCAUGCACUAGAUCAUGUAGGUGGCAAGUCGGUUGAUCACCUAUCUCAUUGAAAGCAAUUACCAAGCUACUGGAAAUUAAAUUAUCCAAAUAAAUUUCCAUCACUUCUUCCAAACUCUUCAUCUCUGUCCGUUCCACAAGUCCUUUGGCACGCCAAAACGUUUUCAACCCAUCUCUGUUGAUUUCUUUGUCCUUCGGAUAACUUGCAAGGUAGAGAAAACAUGGCUUCAUAUGAUGAGGUAAAUGGUCAUAACUUAAUUCGAUAACCUUUAUCACAUCCACUUCACUGUUCAAAAUAAAGGAAUUCAAAUUAUUUCGAACUACAAGCCACACAGACUUUGUCUUUUCCAAACCUGCAAUGACUCCAGUAAUCAGAUCAACAACCAAAGGAAGUCCCUUACAAUUUUGGACUAUAUCUUUUCCAACAUCCAAUAGUUCAUCAGGGCAACUCUCUUUUCCAAAUGCCCCUUUCUCUAAUAACUCCCAACUUUCCUCUGAACUUAGCAAUCGAAGAUUAAGAGGAUCAGUGUUGCCCUUUCCAUGAAAAGCCACUUCCUUUUGUCGAGUCGUCAAAAUAAUUCUGCUUCCUUUCACAACUUCAGGGAAAGGUCUUGUUAGCUCAUCCCAUGUGUCAGUAUCCCACACAUCAUCUAACACAAUUAGGUACCUCUUUCCAUACAGUUGUUUUCGUAGGAGCCAGUAACUUGAUUGAAAAGUUUCAUCAGCAACUUCUUCUCGUCAUAUUCUUGGUCGAUUGUGCACCAUGCACGAAUGUCGAAAUGACUACAAACUUAUUCAUCAUUGUAUACUUUGUAUGCCAAAGUAGUUUUGCCCUAACCCGGCAUACCAGUGAUUGAGAUGACAUCUAGGUCUUUCGGUCCACUGGUGAGCUUACUAAUUAACCAGUUUGUCUCCUCCUUAAAACCUACAAUUAUUUUACCAGUUGUCAAUGAUUUUCUUUCAACUGGAUUCUUAGGAGUGUUUACAACAAUGAGGCUCUUGUUCUUCAGAAUCUCCUCAGGUAAAUUGGAGACUUCUUCUCUUAUAAGCUUGAUCUUUCUUAUGGUAAUGGGAAGUGAGAAAAUAAGAUGCAAGAGACUAUUAUCUCGAACAAUAAUUGAAUCAAUGACAUCUUUUGCCNNNNNNNNNNNNNNNNNNNNNNNNNNNNNNUUUCUUCCUUUAUCAAAGAAAUUGAAUAAGCAUCGGAAUCUAGCAAAUCAGUUAAGUGUCUGUGUAGCAGAUGCAUAAAGAGCGGUCCAUCACUCAUGGGGAAGCUCCAUUGACAUGGGUCCGGGACUUUCAGAUAAACAUAUUUGACAUCUUCCUUGAGGAGUUCAAUAAUUUUCAGCAAGUAUUGAGUUGCACGACUUGCUUCAUCGGUACUCUCUUUAUUCUUUGAUUUUUCUUCUAAGUCGUGAACGAGAGUUGAUACCUCCCUGAUAAGUGCUCCAACACGUGACAAAAGAUCAAACAAUUUAUCAUGAUGAAUAAAGUCCUUGGGCUCAUCAGUAAGAAUAAUUAAUAGGAACUCUAUCAUGACAUGAAUGUUUCGAGCCCCUGAAGUGUUUGCGGUAAUAACAGUUACCACUUGCUCUUGUAGAUGAAUAAGAUAUUCUCUCAGAACUUGCGGAGAGGUUUCAAGGAGUUGCUUAGUAAAGCGUCCAACUUCUACUGAUGGUUAAGCGUUCAAAUUUGUAUAACAUAUGUGCAUCACCUCCAGUUCAAUUGGAAUAAUCUUCAAGAGUAGAUGUGCUAGCUUGAAGAGUCAAUAGUCUCCAUCAGUCAAUCAUCCCAAAGGAAGAGUGCAACUCUCUCAGCCAUGAGUUUAAACUGAGGUAAGACAAAUUGAAUAAUUUCAUGCUCAACGCAACCAUUCACUUUCAACCCAUCGAAAUCUCUUACAUUUCCACAUACAUUCUGAAGAAUCUCAUACUGAGUCUCUAAUGGAAAUAUCUUUUCAGCACGAUACUUGGACAUAUGAUGGAGAUUCAGGAGGAGGAAGUUCAACUGCUCGUCAGUCAUGGUGGCACUUGAUGUAGAAUGAUGACAUGAACUGAUACAUUCAUCGAUAUUAUCCAUGAGGCUAGGAAGGACAUGAUCCACGUUGUAUUUACACCUGACGGUGUUGUCAACAUCAUCCAAAAUUGGUCUAAGCAGAUUAUCGACCUCUUGUCGUUUGCCAGUCAUUAUAUCUUCAAACUUUUUCAAAUCAGAAUAAGAAAGCUGGACGUACGUACAAAAAAAUGCCCGCAGCAAUUUUAGCUUUUCAAUUUGAUCAGCUAUAUCGACUGCAUUUUAACCUUUUUCAUUCUUUAACCUCUCCAUGAAAUCCAGAACGUUAACAACGUCCUUGCGUAGAGCAGAAAAUGACACCUGCCAAACGACCAAAUAUUAUAUCAAAAUUUUCAUAGCGAACAUAUAUACCAUGCAAAAUUUACUCUAUACAGGCAACCAACACGUUGCACAUGUAUUUUAUAUAUAUAUAUGCUUUAUCUUCUACGAAGAUAAUUCAAAUAACACAAAUCAAAAUAAUGGGAAAAGGUCUAAAUAUACUGCAAGACUUGAACCAAAUAUGCCCCCCGCCCCCCCCAAAGAAAAAGGGCAAUUUAUACCCGUGGCGUAACACCAAUGACUCCAAUAUGCCGUUUUUAACCAAAGGAAGUGAGAUAGUCGAUGUUAAAAAAAAAUUUCUAUUUUUUUUUUAAAACAAAAGCCACAUGGAAAAAUGGUCAAAAUUAACCCCCUCUACUUUCAAAACAUGUAUACAUUUAAGAGAUAAGCAUCCAAUACCUCCCCGAACUAUGACCAAAAUUGCUACAACACACUCCAACUUCACAGGGGUCCUAUUGCACCCUUUGUGCUGACGUGACACCUUAAUUACAUAAAAAGGGGUUUACGUCAAACGUGUUGUUGAGUUCAAAAUCGAGAGGGCGUCAUGCGGAAGCUUAAAGUUUGCAAAUCAAGAUGACGAUAAUUCAGAUGAUACAAUAUAAACUAAAAACAUAAUAUUAUUGGUAUAAUUUGGCCAACUGCCCUACACAUGAAAAACAAUAUUAAAGAAAACAUAAAACUAUUGGGAGAAAAUCUCCCCCUAAACAAGACUCGUAAAUGACUACAUUUUGGACUGUGUCAUGGUAUGAGAAGAGGGGUCUUCUAUUUAUAGAUGUCCAAAACCUUUUUUCCAAGAAAGAGUUUGCCAAAUAUGGAAAAGUUUUAUAUUUUUCUUUUAGGAAAAGUAAAAGUAAUUAUGGUAUUACUUUUUUUUUUUCAAGAAAAGUAAAACUUAAACUUGGUGAUAAAUUAGCUAACAGAUGUCAUGUUAGCUAAUAAGAUUGACAAAAGGUAUCACGUUAGCUAAACAGGUUGACAAAAAUAUGCUAAAAUUUAGUUAGGGGGUAAAGUUGAAGUGUUCGUCGCAAAUUUGAUUAUAGUUUAGGGGUACUAGAUGCUUUACAUUUAAUCUCCAUUUUACAAUCUGACCUUUCGGUAAAUUGUAUUUUCAGGAAAAUUAGCACAUAGUUCAAUGACUCAAAUGGGACAAAGGUUUUAUUUUGUGACUAUACUGAUACAACAAGUAAAGUUCAGUGAUUUUAGUGAGUCAAAAUUAGUUUAUAUACGUAGCUAAUGAACAGACACAUACAUAAGUAAAGUUCAGUGAUCAUAACUUACCGCAAAAUUGUUUGCUUUCCCUUUCUCUAUUUCUCCUUGUUUUUCCAUGACUGUAAGUGUCUUUCAAGUUUUACUAGCCAAAUUCUCCGGAUCUAAUGUAAAAAAGAAAGAAGCAUAAAAUUAAUUUCAUAGACGUUUUUGCACAUAUAAAUAGGUCAAUAUAAUCUAGCACCUGCAGUCACAUUCAAAAGUAAAGAAAAAAACUUUUUUCGCCAGUAAGGACGGAAGUACUCAGAAAAGGGUAAUCUAAGAAGACAAAUAUACUCCCUCAUUUUCUAGUUAUGUUUCUUUCUUUUAUCCUGUUUGGAAAAGAAUGCAUCAUUUUAAUUUCAACAUUCCCAUUGGACCAUUAAUGACGCUCUUUUGUGGGAAUGGCACAGCAGGUUUAAGACCACAAAACGAGACAUCAAUUCCACCUUGAGUUGCACAUGGUCAUCGUCACAAUCUGUUGGAUCUUGUGGGAGUUGCAGCUUUGGCAACUAGCCUCGCAGAAAUGGCUGUUGGAGCAAUAUCAAAUCUCUUAAGCGUCAAUACAACAGCACAUGCUAUAACUGUUAUACUGGGAGUUUGCUUUACAUAAAACAGACAAUGGAUUCCUCUUGGAUGACUUAGGCAGAUAAUGGACAGCAUCCAUGGACAGCAUUCGCAACUUUACUGAGAGUAUGGACUAUGGAGGAAUAAUAAAUUGUUAUUUUCGUUUGUACCUCGGGUACACAGAAUCAGUAUAUGUAGAACAAUAACUUCAACUAGAGUUCAAGUAUAAACAAGAACACAAUAAAGUAUAUCAAAUACCCUCAACACAAGAUCAAAAUGACCUUUCCAAGAGGUGUAUUUUAUUCUUUCAGAAAUUAAGAUGAAACAGAAAAUAGCCAAGUCGUCCGAAUUCACGGAGUUUCCUUAAGGAAAUAAUUCCCCUCACUAUACCCGAGGUUGUGGAAUUUUUCCUCCCAGGAUAAAAUGGCUAAACAGACCAACUGUAGCGGUACCUCAAACGGUUGGAAUAUCUUCGAACGCAAAGAACGUUUUGAUUAAUCAUACAGAGUAAUUUGGAAGACAAGAAGUGAUGUAUCAUUUCUAAAGCACCAGUUCACUUGAAACAGUGCGCAUGUAUAUAUAAAUGGAGGUUCGAAAGCAUUUUUCCUUGGCAUUCUUCGGAAUUCAAAUAAAGUUUGUCCAAAAAUUGGAAUAUCUUCGAACGCACAGAACGUUUUGAUUAAUCAUACCGAGUAAUUUGGAAGACAAGAAGUGAUGUAUCAUUUCUGAAGCACCAGUUCACUUGAAACAGUGCGCAUGUAUAUAUAAAUGGAGGUUCGAAAGCAUUUUUCCUUGGCAUUCUUCGGAAUUCAAAUAAAGUUUGUCCAAAAAGAUAGAUCUCAUCGAUCCAAAUCCAAAUCUGAGCUGAGCAAGCGACAACGACGCGAAGCAUCUCUUAUUCCUUGCCUCACUUAUCUAUGUGGGAGUGUGUUUCACAAUAUAAACACUUUAAAGCUUCUUUCUCCCACCAAUGUGGGAGAAUUUAGUAAGCUUUCCUAUUUUUGAGUACACUUUCCAUAUUGGUGUGAUCUCAAUUUUUCUCUUCCACUUGAUUUUUCUCCAUUUUCCAUUCACACUUCUCAUUUACUAUGAACCCAACAUAAAUGACACCAAAUCAUGGUGCUGAUGGGUUUAAUGCUUAUAAAAAGACAAUAUUUUUUUGGUUCGUAGGAGUGAACAUGUACAACUUUGUUAGCCUAAAAAAUAAUAAUAUGGGAAGCUUUAAUAAAGAAAAACACAUUUUGUUCAUUCCUCUUUUUUGCUACAUGUAUAGGUUAUACACUUAAAUAGAUAAGACCUGGAUAAACUUAUUGAAUAGGCUUGAUCCAUUAUAUGAGAAUGGAGCCAAAGAAUUUCUUCAUUUUGCGUCCUUAGAUAGCCCUAAUGCAUCUUUAAUCUUGUGUCCAUGCCGAAAGUGUCGUAAUAUGAAAUUUGUCAAAAAAGAUUUGAUUGUUGAACAUGUUGUGGUUGAUGGAUUUGUAACUGGUUAUACCUUCUGGAUUUAUCAUGGUGAGCAAUUAUAUUGUGGUUAAUGAAGUUCUAACUAGAUAUUCGGUCGGUCAACUAUGAAGUGGUGAGCCCUCUAUCUUUCGAAAGGCCUGGUCUCUCUUUUAGUUUUCAUCUAUUAUCCUAGAACUUUGAAUUUCCUUUGUCAUAAUCGGGGGCAUGUCCCGACUUAUUUGGUAUUCUUUGGAUUAGAGGCUUUUGUGGAGAGUAAUGAUGUAUCUUUAUGGAUGGGGUUUUGACUCUUAAAUAUAAAUUUUAUUUUGCUAUUUUGUUCUUUGGUUAUAAUAUUAGAAAAUAUUUACUUUACAUAUAUUUCAUGUGGUUGUUACUUAUGAAUGUACAGAUUAAAUUAAAUAUAAAUAUUUAUGUUAUGGGAAAAAUUAUAGAGAAUUUGUAUCCAUAUUUAAAAUGAUAGUGGCGUUAAUCUAAAUGCACUAAUAUUGAUGAUAAAUUUACAAUGUUCUAAAUAAAUGUCACUAAAUUUUACGACAUUAAUAUUUUAUUUAUUGACAUUAACUAAAAUGUUGGUAAUUUCAAUGCAACAUUUUAUGAACACAGCCUUUUUGCAUCCUUGUUUUUGUCUUAAGAAUCGAAGUACUAUAUAAAAAUGAGAGUUGUUGCCUCUUUAUGAUAUAUGAAAUGCGAAAUAAAUAUAUCUAGGUAUAUAAAUAAUCAAGACUUAUUGUCACGACCCGAGUCGGGGGCCUUAAGACUAUACUUCUUCUUAUGGACUCUGUGUUCAUAUUUUCCGCUCUGGGUCUAGACCCGCACAACUUUAAAACACAUCACUAGGGAGUAAGACUUGCUUACUUAUAUACCCAGUAUCCCUCCUGUAUUUUGCCGAUGUGGGACUUUUAUGGACUCAGCGUCCUCGCUGAGAUUUGUCUCACCGAAUGUGUUUUGCCAAUGUGGGACUCCUAUGAACUCAGCGUCCUCACUGAGCUUUCCCCCCACCAAAUGGGAUUUGCCAAGACUCAGGACUUAGGUUUUUCCCGCCUUAUCGAGAUUUGCCUAAACUAGUGAUAUUGUCUACUCUGGGUCUAGACCCGCACGACUUUAAAACGUGUCACUAGGAUAUACCCAACAUUUCUCCUGUGUUUUGCCAUGUAGGACUCACUAUCCUAAGUUGAGGUGUUACAUAUCUAGAUGGAGAAAUAAAAAAAUAGUAUCAAAUAAAAAUGAAAUGAAAAGAAGUUUGUUUCUUGUGAGAAAUUGUGAUUAGCUUUCUAACUAAAUUAAUCUAAACCCAACUAUCAAUCCUGUAAGUGUAACCUUUUGAACUUUGUUGCAGACAAGUGAUUAAUGUUUUUGCUUUUUAGACUUUCAUGGAAGUAGCACCAACUUACCUUUAUAAACUUUUUAAGAUAUGAUUUUUCUUAGUACUGAUCCUUAUUAAUGGUGGUUUUUCAAAAACAAUUUUGCCUCGUGUCAUCUUACUAGAGAUACACAUCAUUAAUUUAAAUUAUGGAAAAAGGAUCAAAUAUGCUAUCAGACUACCAGAAAUGACUCAUUUAUGCCAUCCGUUAAAAUUUCAAUAAUUUUUCCUUAAUUGAAAGGGAAUAAGAGAUGAAAAUUUUGUAGGGUUUUCAUCAGAUUUCACAUCUUCUAAGUGAACCUUUUAAUUUUCAUCGGACUUGAAUGUUAUUUUAAUGAAGGAAACCUUUAAUGAAUUAUUUUUUACUUUUUUAAAGCAAAACUCUAGAAAGUACAUAUAUUUGUGAUAGUCCUAUAUUAAGUUUUCUUUUAACAUCUAAAGGCUACGUGUAUCUUUUUAAUUAGGUGGCAGCAUUUGGUUGGAGUAUUAGUCCAUGUAGGAGCGAUUUUUAUGCAUAUGUGUUGCAAGAUUUAAUGGAUGACAUAAAUGAGCCAUUUCUGAUACUUCGAUGACAUAUUUGAGUCUUUUCUUUUUGUUUUAAUUAAAGAUGUGGACCUCUAGUAAGACGACACGUUAACAAGUAAUGACAUGGGUCCUGUCAAACACUCAAUUUUUAGGAUACAAUUGACCCACAAUUAUUUAGGGUUUUGAGUCAAGAAAUAUUGAAAUUAAUAUCAAAUUAGAGGAAUUCUUACCUUGGAUUUGUAGUAAAAAGAUGGAUUACACAAGUUGUUUAAGUUUCCAAUCAACCCACAAGACCAAUUUUUGAGUCACCACUCUUUUAGGGCUACAAGGGUUUUAAUAGAGGUGAAGAAUGCUCAAAAUCUGUCAAAAGCCCUUUUUUAUAAAGUUUUAGAUGGGCCCACAAGGUCAAAAUUUAUUUUUGACCGUCCGAACUCAUUUGGACUCCGUUUUUCGCAAAUGAACUAUGUAACCCCACUAAAUUCGACAUUCCGAACGCAUUGGUGAAGUCGAAUUAUUCAUACGAGAUUAUUUAGAUUAUUUGUGGGUCCCACACCCCUAUAUUUCGAUAUUUGACUUUUCGACUAAUUGGUCAAUAUGAGCUCGGGUGCUAUGGGAUGCGAACCAAGGGUCUAUUUAUCCUAAAAUUGAUCUUACAUAGAUGUUGGCACAGUCGAGAUUUGCAUGCGAAAUUAUUUUACUGAAAUUUCGUUCGGCGGACGUUUGGAAUCGAUGAAGACUUCCAAUUAUAAAAGUGGUUCUAAAAAUCAAACGAACCGUCAGGUAACCGAACUAUCAAUUCUAGCAAAUCACUAAUGACUUGAGAUGACUAUGGAGGAGCUAUAUCAGCAAAAUAAGCAAGAAUACGGCUAAUGACCUGAAGGGUCAUUACAAUUAGAAAGCAUUAUAGGAACAAUACUCUGCUUAAUUUAUACUCUGACCAGGGAAACCUUAUGGUAUCGUAUCAGAUGACACCUCUGAUGAUAACUUCAAAAUUAAUCCUUGGCAAUUUCUGAGUUAGCAGACAUUGACCAACAGGCAUAGAUCGCCAUUCCCCGCCAAAGCUAUGGAGAGCAUCCCUAGAUUCUUAGUAUGGGCCCCGAUGUAAUCAAACACCCGAUCUGUAAGGAGGCCAGAAAGGGCAAGUCGCCACGAUCCCUUGCAGUGAUGGACAAACAAUGGCCACAAAACCAGUAUGGAGCGGUCCAAGGGUUAGGUAAUCUGGAGUUUGAGGCUUGACUAAACACAAACGAAAACAAGUGGAGCUUAGGGCAGCCAGAUGAGACUGCUACAAGGCCUCUCUCAGUCAAGGAUACAUUCGUCAUCUUCAAUAUAAUCUAGCACCUGCAGUCACAUUUAGAAGGAAAGAAUAGAACUCUUUUCCAGUAAGGACGGAAGUGUAACAGAUAGGCUUCAUAUAUAGAUUAGAUUCCUAUUAGAUCUAAACUAAUCCAAACUAUGUAAGAAACCUACCCGUUACAGGAAGUACUUAGAAAAGGGCAAUCUAAGAAGACAAAUAUACUCCCUCAUUUUCUAGUUACGUGUCUUACUUUCUUUUAUCCUGUUUGGAAAAGAACGCAUCAUUUUAAUUUCAACAUUCCCAUUUGACCAUUAAUGAUGCUCUUUUGUGGGAAUGGUACUGCAGGUUUCAGACCAAAAAACGCGACAUCAAGCCCACCUUGAGUUGCAGAUGGUCAUCGUCACAGUCUGUCGGAUCUUGUGGAAGUUGCACCUUUGGCAACUAGCCUUGCAGAAACGGCUGUUGGAGCAAAUAUCAAAUCUCUUAAGUGUCAAUACAACGGCACAUCUUGCUAUUACUAUUAUACUGGGAGUUUGCUUUACAUAAAACAGACAGUGGAUUCCUCUUGGAUGACUUAGGCAGAUAAUGGGUUAUAUAUCCUUGCUCACAGCUAAAAUUCUUUGCUCACAGAUAUAUCCCACUUCUUGAUCACCUGAUGAUUUAUCACAAAUUACUGACGGUAUUUCUUGAAAGAUUUACAAAUCAGGAAUUACUUCAUGCAUUGCUUGACAUAAAACUGUUGGUCGAUUCUUCUUUGAUGGUCUAGGCAGAUGCUCGGGUGAUGUAUCUGUGCUACUCUUGAAUGAUUCUGAGCAACAGAUUUUCCAUCCUCAUCCUUAUCUUCCUGCAACGGCAAUUAUAUCCCAACACUGUCAAAUUUGUAUUUCAGAAAGCACUAAAGAAUUGACCAGUUCUGUUUCUAUAUAUAGAUAUAUUGAACAUAAGACUCUUAGCAUAAUUAUGAAACUGACGAUAACACACUUGGAAAAAACAUACACAAUAAAGGUCAGAUAGCAUUUCUCGGAACAUAACCAUAUGCAUCAGGGUUCUGAAGGCGAUAGACUUGUUGAAAUGUCACUCCAUGUAGUAUGUGCUUGUCUACCAAAGUUAAUGAACUUAAAGGCGACACCUGCAGAAAAGAAACCAUGGUUAGAAGAUAUUAGUGAUGAAAAUGAGAGUAUCCAAAGUUCGAAAAGAAUUAACCUUCAGGAAUAUUGUUAGAACCUCCAUUACGUUGGACUCAUUCGAUUUUGUCUGAAGUUUGAGAUGGCAUAGCCAGCAUCGAUAUAUUAAUAGGCACAUGAUGCCAAAUGAUGUACAACAACUCCAAAUUCUUAUCAAUGGUUGAUACCACUUCAGGUUGCCUUAGAAUUUGUCAAUGACUUCAGUAUCUGAAGAGUUUUACAUGUUUGUGAUGAUGGUAUUUCUUGAAGGAUAACUUUCAUCAUAUGGUAGAGAGGUUGCCGACCUUUUUUUUCACUUCCUUCUUUCCCAUAUAGCAGAGAGUCGGCAACUCCAAUUAUGUUUCAAAGAGACAUUUACAGUUGAAGUCGCUGGAGUCUGAUGGUAGCAAACUCGCAGUGCUAGACAAAGCAGCAGCACACAGACUAGAAGGUGAACUGAGCAUGGUGGAGGAGAUGGGGUUCUGCUUUUUGAAAGAAUGAAAGAAACUUUUACUCCGUAUUAUUUAUGCUUCAGAUUAUGAACUUUUGAAUGACAAUUCAUUAAACAUAUGUACAACAUUUAAUAUGGAUGACUAUCGUAUGACGUAUCGAUGAGUUGUUUGUUUCUUCCUCCUUUAUUUCUCCUUCAUUUUCUUCAUUCUACCAGAGUAACUUCUCCUUCCCUUCCUUUCAUGAUCUCAGGACCUGAUGUAUAUAAAACAUGCAUAAAAUGUCAUUUUUAAGAUAUUGAUCAAGGUCGAACAUAAAAUGGUGUUUACAGAACGCUAUCCCAAAAUGUUAAUUUACACACACACACACAAAGAAGAGUAGUAAAGAAGAAAACAGAAGACCCAAAUAUUCAAUGCAAUCCCUUCUGAUCCAAAUAUUCAAAUCCAAUAGUUUUGGCUUGUAUGUGCAUUAAAAAAUAUCCACUAAAUAAAUAUCUGCACAUUAUCCCUUUUUUAUACACAUUGUCGUCUUAACUUGUUUGGAUCCACCCCAACCCAAUAUCUGCUUGCUCUUUUAAAGCUUAUUGUGAUGAAACGGGAUCACAUCAUCUACUCAUUUCUACUUAACGUUCACAAAAAGUUCAGUUGAGAAUUUCAUCAAAUACAUUGUAAAUUUUGUUUCUAAGAAGCAAACUAAUAGAGAAGAACCUGUCUUAGAUAAUGGGAUAUUAUUCGGGCUAAGGAUCUGAAGCUUGUCUUCUCCUGUGAUAUCUUCAACAUAUUGUUUAAUCUCCAGAGCAGAAUCUUCAAGUUGAGGGCUCUCGUCAAGUUGGAUAAUUUUUAAUGAACCAAUAUCCCCAAAAUUAGGCGGAAUCUCUGUAAGCUUACGACAUCUCCAUAGUGCUAAUUUCUCAAGAACGGGAAAGGAUUCCUCUCCAAACUCCCACUUAGCAAGAGUCACUUCAUUUAAUCCCAAAUAUUUGAGAUUCUCAAAGGUGUCUCCCUCCCCCAUGUUUCAUUCUCCCCCCUCGAUGAUUGUUCUAAUAAGGCCCAGCUCUUCAAGGUUGGGCAGUCUCGCUAUUGUUGAUAGUGAAAAGUCAACGCCAAUUUUUUCAAAUUGGAAGGGAAAUGAAAAUUCCACAACCAAUUUGUCGCUAAAGAGGGCCCACUGUCAUUUGUGUUUGAACUUUUAAAAUCUACUCUGAGGAGUUCUAGUUCAUGAAGGAAAUCCAAUUUCGGGAAAGACAUGCAUCAGAAUGACAAUCUUUCAUCUCAUCUCCCGUUAUCUCCAAAGAAUAGAGGUGUUUACCAGAAUGCCUUUUCAUUUUUGAACUAGACAGGACGAAAUUGUUAAGCUCAAAGUGCUCCUUAUUAUACUCAAUGUUUACUAUGCGUGGCAUCAAAUCUGAAGAAGAAGAUGGAUCACUUGAACUUAUCCAUCGAAACAACUUUUCCUCUCUUGCUUUUAUAAAACAAAAAUCGUGCACAAGAUCAUGAAUUUGGAAAGUCGGGUGAUUACCUAUCUCAUUGAAAGAAAUUACCAAGCUACUGGAAAUUAAAUUAUCGAAAUAAACCUCCAUUACUUCAUUCGCACUCUUCAUCUCUCUCUGUUCAUCAAACCCUUCAGCACGCCAAUACAUUUUCAACAUAUCUUUUUCAAUUGCUUUGUCCUUUGGGAAACAUGCAAGGUAAAUUAAGCAUGGCUUCAGGUGAUAUGGUAAAUGGUCAUAACUUAAUUCUAUAACCUUCCUCACUCCCUGUUCACUGUUCAAAUUAAAGGAAUUCAAAUUAUUUCAAACUUCAAGCCACACAGCCUUUUUCUUUUCCAAACCUACAAUGACUCCAGCAAUCAGAUCAGCCACCAAAGGAAGUCCCUUACAAUUUUGGGCUAUUUCUUUUCCAACAUUCAAUAGAUCAUCUAACACUCUAAUAACUCCCUAUAAUUUUGGGCAACUCUCUUUUCCAACUUUUCCAAAGGAAGUCCCUUAUAAUUUUGGGCAACUCUCUUUUCCAAAUGCCCUUUUCUCUAAUAACUCCCAACUUUCCUCUAAACUCAGCAAUUGAAGGUUAAGAGGAUCAGUGUUUCACUUUCCAUAAAAAGCUGCUUUCUUUUCUCGAGUCAUCAAUAUAAUUCUACUUCCUUUCUCAACUUUAGGAAAAGGUCUGGUCAACUCAUCCCAUGUAGUAGUAUCCCAUACAUCAUCUAACACAAUUAGAUACCUCUUUCCAUGCAAUUUUCUCCGUAGCUCAUCAGCAACAUCAGUAUCCUCACAGAACUUCAAAUCCAAGCCAGUAACCUGAUUGAAAAGUUUCACCAGCAACUUCUUCUCGUCAUAUUCUUGGUCGACAGUGCACCAUGCACGAACGUCGAAAUGACUACAAACCGAUUCAUCAUUGUAUACUUUGUACGCGAAAGUAGUUUUGCCCAAACCCGGCAUACCAGUGAUUGAAAUGACGUCAAGAUCUUUCAACCCACUGGUGAGCUUACUAAUUAACCAGUUUGUCUCUUCCUUAAAACCUACAAAUAUUUUAGCAGCCGUCAAUGGCUUUCUUUCAACUGUCUUCUUGAUACAGUUUACUACAGUGAGGCUCCUGUUCUUGGGAAUCUUCUCCGAUAUACUGGAGACUUCUUCUUUGAUAAGCUUGAUCUUUUUUAUCGUAAUGGGAAGUGAGAAAAUAAGAUGUAUGAGACCAUUAUCUCGUACGAUAAUUGAAUUUAUGACAUCUUUUGACUCAUAUGCCACAUCUAAAACACGUGCCAGAGAUCUGUAUUCAAUUCUUGCUCAAUUGCCAGACACAUUCAUUAGAAUCUCAUACUGAGACUCUAAUGGAUAAAUCUGUUCAGCAUGAUACUUGCAUCGAUGAUGUAGAUUCUGGAGGAGGAAGCUCAACUGCUCGUCUGUCAUGGUGGCACUUGAUGUAGAAUGAUAACACGAGCUGACACAAUCACCAAUAUUAUCCAAGAGGCUUGGAAGGACAUGAUCCAUGUUGUAUUUACACCUAAUGUUGUUGUCAACAUCAUCCAAAAUUGGUUGAAGGAGAUUCUCAACCUCUUGUCUUGACUCACUCAUUGCAUCUUCAAACUCUUCCAAAUCCCAAAAAGCUGGACAUAUGUACAAAUCACUCAAGUUUCAGCUCUUCAAUUUGAUCCACUAUGUCAACAACAGUUUGAUCUUCUCCAUUCUUUAACCUCUCCAUGAAAUCUAGAACGUUGACAAUGUCCUUGCGAAGAGCUGAAAAUGACACCUUAGUUGGUCAUCUAUAGUUGUGUCUACAGAAUGUUGCGGCGCGGCGAAGAUAUUGAUGAUGGAGGAAUAUUAUUUUUUUUCGAGAAUGUAAUUCUUGGAUGACAGAAUCAGUCUCCAAGUGGGAGAAUUGUUGGGUUGUGGAGCCUGAUUAAUAUGUGAUGUACCGUUAUAUAUUAAUGUUCACCCAAAUUUUAGGUUGUACUGUUCAUUCUCAUUUCUCUGUGUAAAUGUACAUACUCUGAAUCAAUAAUAUAAAUAGCCCGUCCGCCGUGGAGGUUACCCACGGGUGUUACACGAAAAAUAUUUCUCUCUCUUUCUCCUCACUUACUCUCUCUCUCAUCUUUUUCAUCCUCGCCGCAGAUCUAGUGUGUGUAUGCAAAUCGAUCCUAACAUUUCUCUCGGAUAUGGAUUUUGCUUCAUUUUUUAUUACUUCCCCAAACCUGUUGACUUUCGUGCCGUGCCGACUCGCGUCUGUUGGAAACCAGCAAUAAGUCUGUGGGUUACCGUGCCGACUUGCAUCUGUUGGAACUGUGGACGGGAAGAAAUGCUAGGUGUUUUGAAAGGAAAGCUUUCUCUGUACUAAGGUUUACAAAUGUCUUUAGCUUAUGGCUUUUUGAUGCAACUUGCAGGAUGUAAAGGAUGAAAACAGUAUGUUCGAUUUCAUCAAUUCACUACAGGAAUAGAUUUCAGUAUAGAUUGGCUGCCCCUCUUUUUGUUUUUGCAUGGGGGGAUAUUCUGCUUUGUGCCUACAGAGCACCUUCUCAGCGCUUUGCUGUUAAUCUCAAUAUACUUAAAUGCCAGUUCUUUCUUUUGUGUAUUGCUUUUCCCCCUUACUUUUGGGGUUCUCUGGGUAACAAGAUUAAAGGUAUUUCAUGAAGAUAUCAGUGUAUCAAUUUUUAAUUUUUAUUUUUUUAAAAACACUAUUAGAGACUAAUCUUUUAAAUUGAUGAAAAUAUUGUCACGACCCAAACCAGGGCCUGGCCGUGACGAGCAUUUCAAACCAUGGAGGCCCGAAACACCCCUAUCUGAUAAUCAUGCACAUAAUUCAUAUGAUCAAAGUAAUGUGGAAGAAACACAAUAUAACGGAAACAUGGUCAAGAAUCAUAUGAAAAUGACAAUGGGGAAUAGUGUCCCACAAUCUAAAUCAACAUCUCUAAAACCGUCUGCGAAAUCUCUACUACAUGACUGAAACAAUGUCUAUCUGAAAACUGGGACAAGGCCCCCAGCAGACCCAAAAACUGAAUAUAAGGUAAAAGAACUGCAGGACAUAAGACCUUCCGAAACAUAGAAGGCUCACCACUUGUCUCUACAGCUCUGUCUGAAAGUUCUACUAAUUUUUUUGACCCCUAGACUAGGCCUCUGAACCUGAGAGGUUGGAGAGGGGAGGGGGCCAGCACAAAAGUACUGGCACGAAGAGAUAUCAAAGCAAAACAUAAUAUUUUUUCAAAAUAUAGUUGAGAGCCAUUAUAAAGCAAUUUCGUAUCAAAUCAUUAUAAAACACAUGGGUGUAAUGCAAUAGUUUUUCUCAACAAUAAUGAAAUGCAACUGAGCUAGGUGGAAUAUCCUACAUAAUUUACACCAACUGUCAAACCUCGGUUGCCGCCGAGAUUAGAGUAUAAGUGAGGAAGAGACACAGAAGACCACAAAGCAUGGCGUCUCAACCCAAAUCAAAUAUGGUAGUGCACAAGACCACAAAGCAUGGCUCCUAACCAUAAUCCCAAUUUGGGAUAAUAUAAUAUCAGAUACACAAGACCACAAAGCAUGGUACCGAUAUUCCGUGUCGGCAAACACGUUCUUCCAGCGAUGAGCCGCUUGUGUCUCAAACGCCUUCUUCGGGCAUCCACCUUUCCAAUGUAAAAUCAAUGCAUUCAAAUUUCAUNNNNNNNNNNNNNNNNNNNNNNNNNNNNNNNNNNNNNNNNNNNNNNNNNNNNNNNNNNNNNNNNNNNNNNNNNNNNNNNNNNNNNNNNNNNNNNNNNNNNNNNNNNNNNNNNNNNNNNNNNNNNNNNNNNNNNNNNNNNNNNNNNNNNNNNNNNNNNNNNNNNNNNNNNNNNNNNNNNNNNNNNNNNNNNNNNNNNNNNNNNNNNNNNNNNNNNNNNNNNNNNNNNNNNNNNNNNNNNNNNNNNNNNNNNNNNNNNNNNNNNNNNNNNNNNNNNNNNNNNNNNNNNNNNNNNNNNNNNNNNNNNNNNNNNNNNNNNNNNNNNNNNNNNNNNNNNNNNNNNNNNNNNNNNNNNNNNNNNNNNNNNNNNNNNNNNNNNNNNNNNNNNNNNNNNNNNNNNNNNNNNNNNNNNNNNNNNNNNNNNNNNNNNNNNNNNNNNNNNNNNNNNNNNNNNNNNNNNNNNNNNNNNNNNNNNNNNNNNNNNNNNNNNNNNNNNNNNNNNNNNNNNNNNNNNNNNNNNNNNNNNNNNNNNNNNNNNNNNNNNNNNNNNNNNNNNNNNNNNNNNNNNNNNNNNNNNNNNNNNNNNNNNNNNNNNNNNNNNNNNNNNNNNNNNNNNNNNNNNNNNNNNNNNNNNNNNNNNNNNNNNNNNNNNNNNNNNNNNNNNNNNNNNNNNNNNNNNNNNNNNNNNNNNNNNNNNNNNNNNNNNNNNNNNNNNNNNNNNNNNNNNNNNNNNNNNNNNNNNNNNNNNNNNNNNNNNNNNNNNNNNNNNNNNNNNNNNNNNNNNNNNNNNNNNNNNNNNNNNNNNNNNNNNNNNNNNNNNNNNNNNNNNNNNCGUCGCUUAUCACUUGGAAAGGUCAUAACUUCUUGCUCGGGUGUUGGAUUUUAGCCAAAUUGGUAUCGUUGGAAAGCUAAAUCUAAUACCUAUCAUUUGACACAUAGUAGGCUUCCUAAUUCGACAUAUACAGAGAAUUAUGGUCGAUGGAAGCUGACACACUUUACAACGUCCACUAAAACUUAGUCGACCGAAAUAGUUUCAACUCGUCCUUGAGUUGAAGGACCUCUAUGGUCUAAAUUCAAGCUUGAGCGGAUUCACAUACUACACAAUAAUUAACAUGCCGUAUUGGCAUAGGAUUUUAUGGCUUCGGAAUUAGCAACGCAUCGAAAUCAUGGUUUUUAUUCUAGCCCAAAAUGCGGGGCGUUACAAAUAUCUUCUGCUUUACUUUUAUUAUUCAUCCGGCAACUUCAAAUUGUGGGGAGAUGUUUGGUUUCGGGGUAGUGAAGAAAAUAAUUUUAGUAUUGAAGAUAAUUGUAGAAAAAAACCAUGCAUGGUGUUUUUAAAAAGUCUAGAAAGUAAAAGGAUGAAGCAAUGGAUCCUCACAGCUUGUCUACCACAAGUCUAAAAGGAUAAAGAAGAGUAAGCUAAUCAAAGUGAUAAGCAUCCAGUACCCCUUCAAACUUUGAUCAAAGUGGCUACGACAUACUUCAACUUCACAGGGGUUCUAUUAUCUCCAAACUCAAUUUUAGCGUGUUUUUCAUGACACCCUUAUUACAUAAAAUCAUGCCUACAUCAAAGGUUCUACAUCAGCUAUAAAGGCUGACAAAAGAUGUCAUGUCAGCUAACAAGGUUGAUAAAAAUAUGCUAAAAUUUAGUUCAAGGGGAUAAUAGAGACCCGUGAAGUUAGAGUGUGUCGUAGAAAAUUUGAUCAUAGUUUAGGCGGUACUACAUGUUUUACUCUUAAUCAAACUCUCAAUAGUUUGCUCACUUUAUAUUAUUUCCUUCAUUUCAUUUUAUUUGACACUAUUUUCUCAUUACAUCGUCAAAAUAAUAUUAACAUUCUUAAUUAAAAGCUUUUAUAUUCACACAAAUAUUAUGACAUGUGUUAGAGUUUGUGACCCGAAUUUUGUUGAUCCAGUCCUAAAAACAUCGCGGUGCGACCCAUGUUUGAGAUUUUUUGGGGGGUCUGUGCUGGUAGCGGAGGGGUCAGGCCUAUAGUGGGUUGAUUUUGGGCUUAGAAUUUAUUUGUACGCGCGUACUAUAUAGUGUAUUUCCUCCUCCUCUGCUUGUGGCUUUUCCCGUCAAGGGUUUCUACGUAAAAUCUAUGUGUUCUUAUUUUCUUUUGUUUAUGGUAUUGCUUAUUCCUGUCUGUUCAAUGACAACGUGUUUAUUGUAGGAACCAAAUAAUCAUACGUCAUGAGAAAACUAAUCAAGCAAACCAUCGAAAGAAGGAAGCUAAAGUCUAUAAAGGAAAGAGAACAAAAGGCAAUCAAACUUCUGAAUUUGUUAUAAUCUUACCUUUUGACCACUUAAUGUUCGGUAAACCAAGAUUGUUAGAACACCUCUUGUUUGAGAAAUAGUUAGUUAGAAAGAAAUUGGCUAAAACAAGUAUUUGGAAAGUUCACCAACAGAAAGAAUAAUCAAAUUUCAAGAUUAUUAGAACAGUAUGAGAUUCAAUUUUAAUGGGGCUUACCUGUCUGCCACUUAGCACAGUGAUUUGAUUAUAAAACUAUGUAUUUACAAAAGAUGUGUGAAACAAACAAAUCAACAAAUGAAACUGUGUAGUUAUAAAAGUUUCUAAGUUUCCUAACAGAUAAGGCACAGGAUCGUAUCAUAUACUCAUUGCUACAUAAUAUUAACAAAUAGUUGUAAGUGGUUGUGCCUAUUCACUUUGGUGGCACAUUGGAGGAUCUAUAAAAGACAUAGGUUGUUCAAUUGGAAUAUUUCUACAAUUCCAAUAUAAAACUACAAUUGAAUUCUCCUCAGUUGAAUGAAGGAGAUCUAAUGAUCAUUAGAUACAACAUCCCUCAAAUUUAAAAUAAUUAUCGAUGACUGAUUCUUGGUGCACGUAAAUUCCACCACCCUGCAUCACCAACAGUUGCAGUGAACGCGCAUGGUCAAGGGAGAAAUUGAUGGUGUAUGAGAUUCAAAAGCCUUCUUCAAUAACCUUUAGCUCCCAUGUUCCGUCGACUACAACAGCACGUUAAACCUACCCAAGGGACUCGAGCUACAAAAUUGUGGAGAAAGAUCAGUGUAGAACUGAUAACUACAGUCCUCCUAUGUAGAACCUGCUGCAUAUUCAUCAACGGUCCAAGUGGAAUCAGUCAUGCCGAACCUCCGUCCUGCCACUGUCCUGUAAAUGAAGAAUUUCUCGACCGGGAAACUUUCUGGUCUAGUGUCCGGAUGACCUUAACACUUGGAAACCUCUGAGCUAGCAGAAAACACGCGACAUAACUUAAUGAACAAGAAGACAUCCAAAGAUACCGCAUCGUCUCCAGCUUUGACUUACAGCCUUGCCGCCAAAGGAGCAGUCUCAUAUGUCCAAGCAGAGGACGUUGUGGAGGCCUAGAUAUACGAAGAGCAUCUCUAGAUUCUUAGCACGCGAUCUGUAAGGAGGCCAAAAAGGGAAAGUUGUCGCAAUCCCUUGCAGUGAUGGACGAUGGCGUCAAAACCAGCAUUGAGCGGUCCAAGGGUUAGGUAAUCAGGAGAUUGAGGCUUGACUAAACACACACAAAAUCGGAUCAUGUUAGGAUGGUUCCUUGCAAUAGUAACUAAGGCGGCAUUUGUCAUUUUGCGGCAGAAGUGUAGAACUGAGUGGAGCUUAGGGAAGCCCGCGGAGAUAGCUACAAUGCCUCUCUCUGUCAAGGAUACAUUCAGUUCUUGCGCAUAAGGAAAUGCCCUAUGGUUUCAAGGUCCUUACAAUAGGUGGCAAUAUCCUCAAGACUGAUUUCGUCAACAUAACCACGCACCUGCAGUCACAAUCAGAUGCAAACUAAGAUCAAAACUUUUUUGUAAGGACAAAAGUACUCUGAAAAAGAGUAACCUACAAAGCAAAUAUACUCUCUCCAUUUCAAUUUAUGCGUGUUACUUCCUUUUUAGCCUGUUAAGAAAAGGGCACAUCUCUGUAUUUAGUAUGAUUUUAAUUCCAACAUUGUCAUUUUACAUUUAAUGAUACUCCUAUGUAGGAAUGGUAUUGCAUGUCUAAGACCAACAAUUUUCUCUCGGAAAUUUUUGCUUUUGCGACUAGACAACAUGUUCAUGAAGGUAGAUGAUUAAUAACCGUGAUAAAUUCUUCCAUUUUAUCACAAACACAGUUAUUGUAUCUAGUCUCGAAAGUAUCAAAAAUGUAUAAAACUAUACAAAAGAAAAAUCAAGCUAGAACUUACCGACAGCCACUGCAACUUGUAAGACUGUCUGAUCAUCAUACCAAGAUCAGGGCUUAAAACCAAAGGCGCGAGGCUAUGGUGAACAUGACAUACAAGUGAAAAAAUAGGCUGGCACUGCGUCCCAAAACCUGCUCAAGCCGUCGAGUUUAUAGCUGUCUUGAAAAGCAUACUGCAAAUUUAUCUGAACUCCGUCAGGAUCUGCCUGUACGCCAGCAAAGUAACAAAAUACAACCAACUGGGUAGCAUGGAGAAGAAUGUUAGGAAGAGCUUAGAGUCCUCAAAUUAGUGGCUUUUCCUGCGUUGAUGUAUCAAAAGGAAUAUCAACUUACUGUUGCAGAAGAGGCCAAAUGUUGUACAGCUAGCACCUAUUUGAACAUAUUGACCAUUACACACAGCAGCCCCUCAACUCCAAAUGUUCAUCGGUGGCUGAUUUGUUGUGCACGUGAAUUCCACCAUCCUGCAUAUCACAAUUCAAACUCUUUGCACGCACAUAUUCCACUUCUUGUUGCAUUGGGAUUUCACAUAUUUGUGAUGAUGAUAUCUCUUGAAAGAUUUACAAAAACUUGAAAAAACUGAAAUGAGUUGGAAAGAAAUAAACUUUUAUUAUUUAUGCUUCAGAUUAUGAACUAUUGACUAACAAUUCUUUAAACAACUGAUGGCUAUUGUUUGACGUAAAGAAGAGUUGUUUGUUUUCAUUUUCUUUUCCUAUUUCCAUGAUUGUACUUUCCAAUAGUCAAUACCAAAGUAACUUCCCCUUCUAUUUCUUUCAAUGUUCUCACGAUCUGAUGUAUAAAAUGUGCAUAAAAUUUUAUUAGGUGGAAGAAGUUAGAAUAGAAGAAAACUGAAAUAAGUAAAGAAUACAAGAAUAUAGCUAGAUUUGAUACUUAUUUUUUCGAGUUACCAAGGUCAGGGCCAAAUGUAAAUUUUUAUACAUGUAAAUGAGAUGAAGAAACAAAACAACAAAUACUUGCUAAAUUUUGACUUAGUAUUAUUCACGAACAGACAGUUCAUCAGACAUAUAGUAGACAUCAAACAUAAGAACCGGAACAGCACACGUAUAUAAUAGAGAAGAACCUGUUAUGGUUGUGCUCAAGGCUUCCCCCACAUAAUUCUUCAAGCUACUUAAAUAAUGGGAUAUUAUUCGGGCCAAGGACCUCAAAAUCCCGUCCCAUAAUAUCUUCAACAUAUUGUUGAAUCUCCAGAGCUGAAUCUUCAAGUUAAGGGCUCUCGUCAAGUUGGAUAAUUUUUAAUGAAUCAAUAUCCCCAAAAUUAGGCGGAAUCUCAGUAAGCUUAUGAAAUCUGGACAGUUCUAAUUUCUCAAGCACGGGAAACGCUUCCUCUCCAAACUCCCACCUAGCAAGCGUCACUUCUUCCAACACCAAAUAUUUGAGAUUCACAAAGGUGUCUUCCUCCCCCAUGUUCCAUUCCUCCCCUUGGAUGAUUGUACUCAUAAGGAACAACUCUUCAAGGUUGGGCAGUCUCGCUAUUGUUGAUAUUGAAUCUGAUGCCAGAGGAAAGUCAUACAACACCAAUGUUUUCAAAUUGGAAGGGAAGUGAAAAUCCCACGACCAAUUUGUCGCUAGAGAGGCCCCACAGUCAUUUGCAUUUGAACUUUCAAAAUUUGCUCUAAGGUAAUCUAGUUCAGCUAAGUGAUCCAAUUUCGGGAACCAAUAUCGCUCUUUUGAGUAAUCCCAUGAUUCCUUGAGAUCAAAUACAAGACUUUGAAGAUUGGGAAACCUUAUGAAAAUAUCCACUAUUUCUUUUGAAUAGGAAAG